Molecule: long non-coding RNA, 107352 nt
Filed under: Sorghum bicolor (sorghum)
Lineage: Eukaryota; Viridiplantae; Streptophyta; Magnoliopsida; Poales; Poaceae
Description: long non-coding RNA (SBIC_LNC010501)
Source: RNAcentral
GCGAAAGGUUCUAGUAACUAUCAAUUUGGUGGAAACGAGACCCAAAUCAAUCCAUCUUGCGAACAACGCGGUUCGAAACUCUGCAAUUCUUUUUAUUUUUUUUUGAUAUUUUUAUUUUACUUAGGAGCACUCAAGAAGUAACCAUAGGAAAUUUGAGCUUAAACAAGUGAAAGACUUGGCCUGUGGAAUUUUUUGAAGAUUGCGAAAAAUAUAAAAAAACAUUAGGAGGUGAAAACUCAAACUUCAGGAGCGAAUUUGGGGAUUCUAAAAUUAUCGAACCCACCUCUAGCGGAGAUAGACAGAUCCAAAAAUUUGUUGUGAUCGAUUCUGAUAUAUGGAACGUCAAUAUCGGAGUUCGUAUGCGAAAGUUAUGGCUGUUUUACGAACGGACUCCGAAUUAGAGGACAAAACGGUCCGGAAGUGGGAAAAAUUUGUGGUGGUGGCUAGAAAUUGAUGGAAACGGUGGGAAAAAACACACAAACUGGACUCUAACAAGACCAAAUCAGUAACAAGACCUCGACCAGGACACAAACUCAACACUACGGACUCUGAAACUGAAAUAUGCAAAGGUUAUGGCGCGGAUGGGUUGUAGGACAUAAAAAUAAUUUGGCACUAGACUUAUGGGAGGAACACAAGGACACUCAAAACUAAGGGUAGAUGUGAACCUAACGGUACGUCUCAAGCUUUGAUUACCACUUGAGGAGAACAAGGCCCGAUCUUCCGAAAGGUUCUGGUUACUAUCGAUUUGGUGGAAACGAGACACAAAUCAAUCCAGUUUGCGAACAACACGAUUCGAAACCCUACAAUUCUUUUUUUUGAUAUUUUUCUUUUAAUUAGGAGCACUCAAGAAGUAACCACAAGAAAUUUGAGCUUAAACAAGUGAAGGACGUGGCCUUUGGAAUUUUUUGAAGAUUGCGAAAAAUAUGAAAAUAAAGUUUAGGAGGUGAAAACUCAAAUUUUCAGAGGCGAGUUUGGGAAUUCUAAAUUUGUCGCACCCGCCUAUGGCGGGGAUAGACAAAUCCAAAAAUUUUUCUGAUCGACUUUGAUAUAUGGAACGUCAAAAUCGGAGUUCGUAGGCGAAAGUUAUGGCUGUUUUACGAACGGACUCUGAAUUAGAGGACAAAACGGUGCGGAAGUGGGAAAAAAUUGCGGUGGUGGCUAGAAAUUGAUGGAAACGGUGGGAAAAACACACAAACUGGACUCUAACAAGACCAAAUUAGUAACAAGACCUCGACCAAGACACAAACUCAACACUACGGACUAUGAAACUCAAAUAUGCAAAGGUUAUGGCGCGGAUGGGUUGUAGGACAUGAAAACAAUUUGGCACUAGACUUAUGGGACGAACGCAAGGACACUCGAAACUAAGGGUAGAUGUGAACCUAACGGUACGUCUGAAGCUUUGAUUACCACUUGAGGAGAACAAGGCCCGAUCUUCCGAAAGGUUCUGGUAACUAUCGAUUUCAUGGAAACGAGACACAAAUUAAUCCAGUUUGCGAACAACACGAUUCGAAACCCUGCAAUUCUUUUUAUUUUUUUGAUAUUUUUCUUUUACUUAGGAGCACUCAAGAAGUAACCACAGGAAAUUUGAGCUUAAACAAGUGAAGGACGUGGCCUGUGGAAUUUUUUGAAGAUUGCGAAAAAUAUGAAAAUAAAGUUUAGGAGGUGAAAACUCAAAUUUUCAGAGGCGAGUUUGGGAAUUCUAAAUUUGUCGCACCCGCCUAUGGUGGGGCUAGACAGAUCCAAAAAUUUUUCUGAUCGAUUUUGAUAUAUGAAACGUCAAAAUCAGAGUUCGUAGGCGAAAGUUAUGGCUGUUUUACGAACGGACUCUGAAUUAGAGGACAAAACGGUCCGGAAGUGGGAAAAUUUUGUGGUGGUGGCUAUAAAUUGAUGGAAACGGUGGGAAGAAACACACAAAUUGGACUCUAACAAGACCUAACCAGUAACAAGAUCUCGACCAGGACACAAACUCAACACUACAGACUCUGAAACUGAAAUAUGCAAAGGCUAUGGCGCGGAUGGGUUGUAGGACAUGAAAACAAUAUAGCACUAGACUUAUGGGACGAACACAAGGACACUCGAAACUAAGUAUAGAUGUGAACCUAACGGUACGUCUGAAGCUUUGAUUAACACUUGAGGAGAACAAGUGUGGCCCGAUCUUCCGAAAGGUUCUAGUAACUAUCAAUUUGGUGGAAACGAGACCCAAAUCAAUCCAUCUUGCGAACAACGCGGUUCGAAACCCUGCAAUUCUUUUUAUUUUUUUUGAUAUUUUUCUUUUACUUAGGAGCACUCAAGAAGUAACCAUAGGAAACUUCAGCUUAAACAAGUGAAAGACUUGGCCUGUGGAAUUUUUUGAAGAUUGCGAAAAAUAUAAAAAAACUUUAGGAGGUGAAAACUCAAACUUUAGGAGCGAAUUUGGGGAUUCUAAAAUUAUUGAACCCACCUCUAGCGGAGAUAGACAGAUCUAAAAAUUUGUUGUGAUCGAUUUUGAUAUAUGGAACGUCAAUAUCGGAGUUCAUAUGCGAAAGUUAUGGCUGUUUUACGAACGGACUCCAAAUUAGAGGACAAACGGAAGUGGGAAAAAUUUGUGGUGGUGGCUAGAAAUUGAUGGAAACGGUGGGAAAAAACACACAAACUGGACUCUAACAAGACCAAAUCAGUAACAAGACCUCGACCAGGACAGAAACUCAACACUACGGACUCUGAAACUGAAAUAUGCAAAGGUUAUGGCGCGGAUGGGUUGUAGGACAUGAAAACAAUUUGGCACUAGACUUAUGGGAGGAACACAAGGACACUCGAAACUAAGGGUAGAUGUGAACCUAACAGUACGUCUGAAGCUUUGAUUACCACUUGAGGAGAACAAGGCCCGAUCUUCCGAAAGCUUCCGGUAACUAUCGAUUUGGUGGAAACGGGACACAAAUCAAUCCAGUUUGCGAACAACACGAUUCGAAACCCUGCAAUUCUUUUUUUUGAUAUUUUUCUUUUACUUAAGAGCACUGAAGAAGUAACCACAAGAAAUUUGAGCUUAAACAAGUGAACGACGUGGCCUGUGGAAUUUUUUGAAGAUUGCGAAAAAUAUGAAAAUAAAGUUUAGGAGGUGAAAACUCAAAUUUUCAGAGGCGAGUUUGGGAAUUCUAAAUUCGUCGCACCCGCCUAUGGCUGGGAUAGACAGAUCCAAAAUUUUUUCUGAUCGAUUUUGAUAUAUGGAACGUCAAAAUCGGAGUUCGUAGGCGAAAGUUAUGGCUGUUUUACGAACGGACUACGAAUUAGGGGACAAAACAGUCCGGAAGUAGGAAAAUUUUGCGGUGGUGGCUAUAAAUUGAUGGAAAGGGUGGGAAGAAACACACAAAUUGGACUCUAACAAGAUCUAACCAGUAACAUGAUCUCGACUAGGACACAAACUCAACACUACGGGCUCUGAAACUGAAAUAUGCAAAGGCUGUGGCGCGGAUGGGGUGUAGGACAUGAAAACAAUAUAGCACUAGGCUUAUGGGACGAACACAAGGACACUCGAAACUAAGGAUAGAUAUGAACCUAACGGUACGUCUGGAGCUUUGAUUAACACUUGAGGAGAACAAGUGUGGCCCGAUCUUCCGAAAGGUUCUAGUAACUAUCAGUUUUGUGGAAACGAGACCCAAAUCAAUCCAUCUUGCGAACAACACGGUUCGAAACUAUGCAAUUUUUUUUUUGAUAUUUUUCUUUUACUUAGGAGCACUCAAGAAGUAACCAUAGGAAAUUUGAGCUUAAACAAGUGAAAGACUUGGCCUGUGAAAUUUUUUGAAGAUUACGAAGAAUAUAAAAAAACUUUAGGAGGUGAAAACUCAAACUUCAGGGGCGAAUUUGGGGAUUCUAAAAUUAUCGAACCCACCUCUAGCAAAGAUAGACAGAUCCAAAAAUUUGUUCUGAUCGAUUUUGAUAUAUGGAACGUCAAUAUCGGAGUUCCUAUGCGAAAGUUAUGGCUGUUUUACGAACGGACUCUGAAUUAGAGGACAAAACGGUCCGGAAGUGGGAAAAUUUUACGGUGGUGGCUAUAAAUUGAUGGAAACGGUGGGAAGAAACACACAAAUUGGACUCUAACAAGACCUAACCAGUAACACUGAAACUGAAAUAUGUAAAGGCUAUGGCGCGGAUGGGUUGUAGGACAUGAAAACAAUAUAGCACUAGACUUAUGGGACGGACAUAAGGACACUCGAAACUAAGGAUAGAUAUGAACCUAACGGUACGUCUGAAGCUUUGAUUAACACUUGAGGAGAACAAGUGUGGCCCGAUCUUCCGAAAGGUUCUAGUAACUAUCAAUUUGGUGGAAACGAGACCCAAAUCAAUCCAUCUUGCGAACAACGCGAUUCGAAACCCUGCAAUUCUUUUUAUUUUUUUUGAUAUUUUUCUUUUACUUAGGAGCACUCAAGAAGUAACCAUAGGAAAUUUGAGCUUAAACAAGUGAAGGACGUGGCCUGUGGAAUUUUUUGAAGAUUGCGAAAAAUAUAAAAAAACUUUAGGAGGUGAAGACUCAAACUUCAGGGGCGAAUUUGGGGAUUCUAAAAUUAUCGAACCCACCUCUAGCAGAGAUAGACAGAUCCAAAAAUUUGUUCUGAUCGAUUUUGAUAUAUGGAACGUCAAUAUCGGAGUUCGUAUGCGAAAGUUAUGACUGUUUUACGAACGGACUCCGAAUUAGAGGACAAAACGGUCCGGAAGUGGGAAAAAUUUGUGGUGGUGGCUAGAAAUUGAUGGAAACGGUGGGAAAAAACACACAAACUGGACUCUAACAAGACCAAAUCAGUAACAAGACCUCGACCAGGACACAAACUCAACACUACGGAAUCUGAAACUGAAAUAUGCAAAGGUUAUGGCGCGGAUGGGUUGUAGGACAUGAAAACAAUUUGGCACUAGACUUAUGGGAGGAACACAAGGACACUCGAAACUAAGGGUAGAUGUGAACCUAACAGUACGUCUGAAGCUUUGAUUACCACUUGAGGAGAACAAGGCCCGAUCUUCCGAAAGGUUCUUUUAACUAUCGAUUUCGUGGAAACGAGACACAAAUCAAUCCAGUUUGCGAACAACACGAUUCGAAACCCUACAAUUCUUUUUUUUGAUAUUUUUCUUUUACUUAGGAGCACUGAAGAAGUAACCACAAGAAAUUUGAGCUUAAACAAGUGAAGGACGUGGCCUGUGGAAUUUUUUGAAGAUUGCGAAAAAUAUGAAAAUAAAGUUUAGGAGGUGAAAACUCAAAUUUUCAGAGGCGAGUUUGGGAAUUCUAAAUUCGUCGCACCCGCCAAUGGCUGGGAUAGAUAGAUCCAAAAAUUUUUCUGAUCGAUUUUGAUAUAUGGAACGUCAAAAUCGGAGUUCGUAGGCGAAAGUUAUGGCUGUUUUACGAACGGACUCCGAAUUAGGGGACAAAACAGUCCGGAAGUGGGAAAAUUUUGCGGUGGUGGCUAUAAAUUGAUGGAAAGGGUGGGAAGAAACACACAAAUUGGACUCUAACAAGACCUAACCAGUAACAAGAUCUCGACCAGGUCACAAACUCAACACUACGGACUCUGAAACUGAAAUAUGCAAAGGCUAUGGCGCGGAUGGGUUGUAGGACAUGAAAACAAUAUAGCACUAGACUUAUGGGACGAACACAAGGACACUCGAAACUAAGGAUAGAUAUGAACCUAACGGUACGUCUGAAGCUUUGAUUAACAUUUGAGGAGAACAAGUGUGGCCCGAUCUUCCGAAAGGUUCUAGUAACUAUCAAUUUUGUGGAAACGAGACCCAAAUCAAUCCAUCUUGCGAACAACACGGUUCGAAACUAUGCAAUUUUUUUUUUGAUAUUUUUCUUUUACUUAGGAGCACUCAAGAAGUAACCAUAGGAAAUUUGAGCUUAAACAAGUGAAAGACUUGGCCUGUGAAAUUUUUUGAAGAUUACGAAGAAUAUAAAAAAACUUUAGGAGGUGAAAACUCAAACUUCAGGGGCGAAUUUGGGGAUUCUAAAAUUAUCGAACCCACCUCUAGCAAAGAUAGACAGAUCCAAAAAUUUGUUCUGAUCGAUUUUGAUAUAUGGAACGUCAAUAUCGGAGUUCCUAUGCGAAAGUUAUGGCUGUUUUACGAACGGACUCUGAAUUAGAGGACAAAACGGUCCGGAAGUGGGAAAAUUUUACGGUGGUGGCUAUAAAUUGAUGGAAACGGUGGGAAAAAACACACAAACUGGACUCUAACAAGACCAAAUCAGUAACAAGACCUCGACCAGGACACAAACUCAACACUACGGACUCUGAAACUGAAAUAUGCAAAGGUUAUGGCGCGGAUGGGUUGUAGGACAUGAAAACAAUUUGGCACUAGACUUAUGGGACGAACACAAGGACACUCGAAACUAAGGGUAGAUGUCAACCUAACGGUACGUCUGAAGCUUUGAUUACCACUUGAGGAGAACAAGGCCCGAUCUUCCGAAAGGUUCUGGUAACUAUCGAUUUGGUGGAAACGAGACACAAAUCAAUCCAGUUUGCGAACAACACGAUUCGAAACCUUGCAAUUCUUUUUUUUUUGAUAUUUUUCCUUUUACUUAGGAGCACUGAAGAAGUAACCACAAGAAAUUUGAGCUUAAACAAGUGAAGGACGUGGCCUGUGGAAUUUUUUGAAGAUUGCGAAAAAUAUGAAAAUAAAGUUUAGGAGGUGAAAACUCAAAUUUUCAGAGGCGAGUUUAGGAAUUCUAAAUUUGUCGCACCCGCCUAUGGCAGGGAUAGACAGAUCCAAAAAUUUUUCUGAUCGAUUUUGAUAUAUGGAACGUCAAAAUCGGAGUUCGUAGGCGAAAGUUAUGGCUCUUUUACGAACGGACUCAGAAUUAGAGGACAAAACGGUCCGGAAGUGGGAAAAAUUUGCGGUGGCGGCUAGAAAUUGAUGGAAACGGUGGGAAAAACACACAAACUGGACUCUAACAAGACCAAAUUAGUAACAAGACCUCGACCAGGACACAAACUCAACACUACGGACUAUGAAACGGAAAUAUGCAAAGGUUAUGGCGCGGAUGGGUUGUAGGACAUGAAAACAAUUUGGCACUAGACUUAUGGGACGAACACAAGGACACUCGAAACUAAGGGUAGAUGUGAACCUAACGGUACGUCUGAAGCUUUGAUUACCACUUGAGGAGAACAAGGCCCGAUCUUCCGAAAGGGUCUGGUAACUAUCGAUUUGGUGGAAACGAGACACAAAUUAAUCCAGUUUGCGAACAACACGAUUCGAAACCCGGCAAUUCUUUUUAUUUUUUUUGAUAUUUUUCUUUUACUUAGGAGCACUCAAGAAGUAACCACAAGAAAUUUGAGCUUAAACAAGUGAAGGACGUGGCCUGUGGAAUUUUUUGAAGAUUGCGAAAAAUAUGAAAAUAAAGUUUAGGAGGUGAAAACUCAAAUUUUUCAGAGGCGAGUUUGGGAAUUCUAAAUUUGUCGCACCCGCCUAUGGUGGGGAUAGACAGAUCCAAAAAAUUUUCUGAUCGAUUUUGAUAUAUGGAACGUCAAAAUCAGAGUUCGUAGGCCAAAGUUAUGGCUGUUUUACGAACGGACUCUGAAUUAGAGGACAAAACGGUCCGGAAGUGGGAAAAUUUUACGGUGGUGGCUAUAAAUUGAUGGAAACGGUGGGAAGAAACACACAAAUUGGACUCUAACAAGACCUAACCAGUAACAAGAUCUCGACCAGGACACAAACUCAACACUACGGACUCUGAAACUGAAAUAUGCAAAGGCUAUGGCGCGGAUGGGUUGUAGGACAUGAAAACAAUAUAGCACUAGACUUAUGGGACGAACACAAGGACACUCGAAACUAAGGAUAGAUAUGAACCUAACGGUACGUCUGAAGCUUUGAUUAACACUUGAGGAGAACAAGUAUGGCCCGAUCUUCCGAAACGUUCUAGUAACUAUCAAUUUGGUGGAAACGAGACCCAAAUCAAUCCAUCUUGCGAACAACGCGGUUCGAAACCCUGCAAAUCUUUUUAUUUAUUUUUUUUGAUAUUUUUAUUUUACUUAGGAGCACUCAAGAAGUAACCAUAGAAAUUUUGAGCUUAAACAAGUGAAAGACUUGGCCUGUGGAAUUUUUUGAAGAUUGCGAAAAAUAAAAAAAACUUUAGGAGGUGAAAACUCAAAUUUCAGGGGCGAAUUUGGGGAUUCUAAAAUUAUCGAACCCACCUCUAGCGGAGAUAGACAGAUCCAAAAAUUUGUUCUGAUCGAUUAUGAUAUAUGGAACGUCAAUAUCGGAGUUCGUAUGCGAAAGUUAUGACUGUUUUACGAACGGACUCCGAAUUAGAGGACAAAACGGUCCGGAAGUGGGAAAAAUUUGUGGUGGUGGCUAGAAAUUGAUGGAAACGGUGGGAAAAAACACACAAACUGGACUCUAACAAGACCAAAUCAGUAACAAGACCUCGACCAGGACACAAACUCAACACUACGGAAUCUGAAACUGAAAUAUGCAAAGGUUAUGGCGCGGAUGGGUUGUAGGACAUGAAAACAAUUUGGCACUAGACUUAUGGGAGGAACACAAGGACACUCGAAACUAAGGGUAGAUGUGAACCUAACAGUACGUCUGAAGCUUUGAUUACCACUUGAGGAGAACAAGGCCCGAUCUUCCGAAAGGUUCUUUUAACUAUCGAUUUCGUGGAAACGAGACACAAAUCAAUCCAGUUUGCGAACAACACGAUUCGAAACCCUACAAUUCUUUUUUUUGAUAUUUUUCUUUUACUUAGGAGCACUGAAGAAGUAACCACAAGAAAUUUGAGCUUAAACAAGUGAAGGACGUGGCCUGUGGAAUUUUUUGAAGAUUGCGAAAAAUAUGAAAAUAAAGUUUAGGAGGUGAAAACUCAAAUUUUCAGAGGCGAGUUUGGGAAUUCUAAAUUCGUCGCACCCGCCAAUGGCUGGGAUAGAUAGAUCCAAAAAUUUUUCUGAUCGAUUUUGAUAUAUGGAACGUCAAAAUCGGAGUUCGUAGGCGAAAGUUAUGGCUGUUUUACGAACGGACUCCGAAUUAGGGGACAAAACAGUCCGGAAGUGGGAAAAUUUUGCGGUGGUGGCUAUAAAUUGAUGGAAAGGGUGGGAAGAAACACACAAAUUGGACUCUAACAAGACCUAACCAGUAACAAGAUCUCGACCAGGUCACAAACUCAACACUACGGACUCUGAAACUGAAAUAUGCAAAGGCUAUGGCGCGGAUGGGUUGUAGGACAUGAAAACAAUAUAGCACUAGACUUAUGGGACGAACACAAGGACACUCGAAACUAAGGAUAGAUAUGAACCUAACGGUACGUCUGAAGCUUUGAUUAACACUUGAGGAGAACAAGUAUGGCCCGAUCUUCCGAAACGUUCUAGUAACUAUCAAUUUGGUGGAAACGAGACCCAAAUCAAUCCAUCUUGCGAACAACGCGGUUCGAAACCCUGCAAAUCUUUUUAUUUAUUUUUUCUGAUAUUUUUAUUUUACUUAGGAGCACUCAAGAAGUAACCAUAGAAAUUUUGAGCUUAAACAAGUGAAAGACUUGGCCUGUGGAAUUUUUUGAAGAUUGCGAAAAAUAAAAAAAACUUUAGGAGGUGAAAACUCAAAUUUCAGGGGCGAAUUUGGGGAUUCUAAAAUUAUCGAACCCACCUCUAGCGGAGAUAGACAGAUCCAAAAAUUUGUUCUGAUCGAUUAUGAUAUAUGGAACGUCAAAAUCGGAAUUCGUAUGCGACAGUUAUGGCUGUUUUACGAACGGACUCCGAAUUAGAGGACAAACAGUCCGGAAGUGGGAAACAUUUGCGGCGGUGCCUAUAAAUUGAUGGAAACGGUGGGAAGAAACACACAAAUUUGACUCUAACAAGACCUAGCCAGUAACACUGAAACUGAAAUAUGCAAAGGUUAUGGCGCGGAUGGGUUGUAGGACAUGAAAACAAUAUAGCACUAGACUUAUGGGAUGAACAUAAAGACACUCGAAACUAAGGAUAGAUAUGAACCUAACGGUACGUCUGAAGCUUUGAUUAACACUUGAGGAGAACAAGUGUGGCCCGAUCUUCCGAAAGGUUCUAGUAACUAUCAAUUUGGUGGAAACGAGACCCAAAUCAAUCCAUCUUGCGAACAACGCGGUUCGAAACCCUGCAAUUCUAUUUUUUUUUUGAUAUUUGUCUUUUACUUAGGAGCACUCAAGAAGUAACCAUAGGAAAUUUGAGCUUAAACAAGUGAAAGACUUGGCCUGUGGAAUUUUUUUAAGAUUGUGAAAAAUAUAAAAAAACUUUAGGAGAUGAAAACUCAAACUUCAGGGGCGAAUUUGGGGAUUCUAAAAUUAUCGAACCCACCUCUAGUGGAGAUAGACAGAUCCAAAAAUUUGUUCUGAUCGAUUUUGAUAUAUGGAACGUCAAUAUCGGAGUUCGUAUGCGAAAGUUAUGGCUGUUUUACGAACGGACUCCGAAUUAGAGGACAAAACGGUCCGGAAGUGGGAAAAAUUUGUGGUGGUGGCUAGAAAUUAAUGGAAACGGUGGGAAAAAACACACAAACUGGACUCUAACAAGACCAAAUCAGUAACAAGACCUCGACCAGGACACAAACUCAACACUACGGACUCUAAAACUGAAAUAUGCAAAGGUUAUGGCGCGGAUGGGUUGUAGGACAUGAAAACAAUUUGGCACUAGACUUAUGGGACGAACACAAGGACACUCGAAACUAAGGAUAGAUGUGAACCUAACGGUACGUCUGAAGCUUUGAUUACCACAUGAGGAGAACAAGGCCCGAUCUUCCGAAAGGUUCUGGUAACUAUCGAUUUGGUGGAAACGAGACACAAAUCAAUCCAGUUUGCGAACAACACGAUUCGAAACCCUGCAAUUCUUUUUUUUGAUAUUUUUCUUUUACUUAGGAGCACUCAAGAAGUAACCACAGGAAAUUUGAGCUUGAACAAGUGAAGGACGUGGCCUGUGGAAUUUUUUGAAGAUUGCGAAAAUAUGAAAAGAAAGUUUAGGAGGUGAAAACUCAAAUUUUCAGAGGCGAGUUUAGGAAUUCUAAAUUUGUCGCACCUGCCUAUGGCGGGGAUAGACAGAUCCAAAAAUUUUUCUGAUCGAUUUUGAUAUAUGGAACGUCAAAAUCGGAGUUUGUAGGCGAAAGUUAUGGCUGUUUUAUGAACGGACUCUGAAUUAGAGGACAAAACGGUCCGGAAGUGGGAAAAAUUUGCGGUGGUGGCUAGAAAUUGAUGGAAACGGUGGGAAAAACACACAAACUGGACUCUAACAAGACCAAAUUAGUAACAAGACCUUGACCAGGACACAAACUCAACACUACGGACUAUGAAACUGAAAUAUGCAAAGGUUAUGGCGCGGAUGGGUUGUAGGACAUGAAAACAAUUUGGCACUAGACUUAUGGGACGAACACAAGGACACUCGAAACUAAGGGUAGAUGUGAACCUAAUGGUACGUCUGAAGCUUUGAUUACCACUUGAGGAGAACAAGGCCCGAUCUUGCGAAAGGUUCUGGUAACUAUCGAUUUGGUGGAAACGAGACACAAAUUAAUCCAGUUUGCGAACAACACGAUUCGAAACCCUACAAUUCUUUUUAUUUUUUUGAUAUUUUUAUUUUACUUAGGAGCACUCAAGAAGUAACCACAAGAAAUUUGAGCUUAAACAAGUGAAGGACGUGGCCUGUGGAAUUUUUUGAAGAUUGCGAAAAAUAUAAAAAUAAAGUUUAGGAGGUGAAAACUCAAAUUUUCAGAGGCGAGUUUGGGAAUUCUAAAUUUGUCGCACCCGCCUAUGGUGGGGAUAGACAGAUCCAAAAAUUUUUCUGAUCAAUUUUGAUAUAUGGAACGUUAAAAUCAGUGUUCGUAGGCGAAAGUUAUGGCUGUUUUACGAACGGACUCUGAAUUAGAGGACAAAACGGUCCGGAAGUGGGAAAAAUUUGCGGUGGUGGCUAGAAAUUGAUGGAAACGGUGGGAAAAACACACAAACUGGACUCUAACAAGACCAAAUUAGUAACAAGACCUCGACCAGGACACAAACUCAACACUACGGACUAUGAAACUGAAAUAUGCAAAGGUUAUGGAGCGGAUGGGUUGUAGGACAUGAAAACAAUUUGGCACUAGACUUAUGGGACGAACACAAGGACACUCGAAACUAAGGGUAGAUGUGAACCUAACGGUGCGUCUGAAGCUUUGAUUACCACUUGAGGAGAACAAGGCCCGAUCUUCCGAAAGGUUUUGGUAACUAUCGAUUUGGUGGAAACAAGACACAAAUUAAUCCAGUUUGCGAACAACACGAUUAGAAACCCUGCAAUUCUUUUUAUUUUUUUUAUUUGAUAUUUUUGUUUUACUUAGGAGCACCGAACAAGUAGCCACAGGAAAUUUGAGCUUAAACAAGUGAAAGACGUUGCCUGUGGAAUUUUUUUAGAUUGCGAAAAAUAUGAAAAUAAACUUUAGGAGGUGAAAACUCAAAUUUAAAGGCAAAUUUGGGGAUUCUAAAAUUAUCAAACCCGCCUCUAGCAGAGAUAAACAGAUCCAAAAAUUUGUUCUGAUCGAUUUUGAUAUAUGGAACGUCAAAAUCGGAAUUCGUAUGCGAAAGUUAUGGUUGUUUUACGAACGGACUCCGAAUUAGAGGACAAAACAGUCCGGAAGUGGGAAACAUUUGCGGCGGUGGCUAUAAAUUGAUGGCAACGGUGGGAAGAAACACACAAAUUGGACUCUAACAAGACCUAACCAGUAACAAGAUCUCGACCAGGACACAAACUCAACACUACGGACACUGAAACUGAAAUAUAGGCUAUGGCGCGGAUGGGUUGUAGGACAUGAAAACAAUAUAGCACUAGACUUAUGGGACGAACACAAGGACACUCGAAACUAAGGAUAGAUAUGAACCUAACGGUACGUCUGAAGCUUUGAUUAACACUUGAGGAGAACAAGUGUGGCCCGAUCUUCCGAAACGUUCUAGUAACUAUCAAUUUGGUGGAAACGAGACCCAAAUCAAUCCAUCUUGCGAACAACGCGGUUCGAAACCCUGCAAUUCUUUUUAUUUUUAUUUUGAUAUUUUUCUUUUACUUAGGAGCACUCAAGAAGUAACCAUAGGAAAUUUGAGCUUAAACAAGUGAAAGACUUGGCCCGUGGAAUUUUUUGAAGAUUGCGAAAAAUAUAAAAAAAACUUUUGGAGUUGAAAACUCAAAUUUUAGAGGCAAAUUUGGGGAUUCUAAAAUUGUCAAACGCGCACACGGCGGGGAUAGACAGAUCCAAAAGUUUGUUCUGAUCGAUUUUGAUAUAUGGAACGUCAAAAUCGGAGUUCGUAUGCGAAAAUUUUGUCUGUUUUACGAACGGACAACGAAUUAGAGGACAAAACAGUCCGGUAGUGGGAAAAAUUUGCGCGGUGGCUAUAAAUUGAUGGAAAUGGUGGGAAGAAACACACAAAUUGGACUCUAACAAGACCUAACCAGUAACAAGAUCUCGACCAGGACCCAAACUCAAAACUACGGACUCUGAAACUGAAAUAUGCAAAGGCUAUGGCGCGGAUGGGUUGUAGGACAUAAAAACAAUAUAGCAUUAGACUUAUGGGACAAACACAAGGACACUCGAAACUAAGGAUAGAUUUGAAAAUAACAGUACGUCUGAACCUUUGAUUAACACUUGAGGAGAACAAGUGUGGCCCGAUCUUCCGAAAGGUUCUAGUAACUAUCAAUUUGGUGGAAACGAGACCCAAAUCAAUCCACCUUGCGAACAACGCGGUUCGAAACUCUGCAAUUCUUUUUAUUUUUUUUUUAUAUUUUUCUUUUACUUAGGAGCACUCAAGAAGUAACCACCGGAAAUUUGAGCUUAAACAAGUAAAAGACGUGGCCUGUGGAAAUUUUUGAAGAUUGCAAAAAAUAUAGAAAAAAAUUUAGGAGGUGAAAACUCAAACUUCAGGGGCGAAUUUGGGGAUUCUAAAAUUAUCGAACCCGCCCUUAGCGGAAAUAGACAGAUCCAAAAAUUUGUUCUGAUCGAUUUUGAUAUAUGGAACGUCAAAAUCGGAGUUCGUAUGCGAAAGUUAUGGCUGUUCUACGAACGGACUCCGAAUUAGAGGACAAAACGGUCCGGAAGUGGGAAAAAUUUACGGUGGUGGCUAGAAAUUGAUGGAAACGGUGGGAAAAAACACACAAACUAGACUCUAACAACACCAAAUCAGUAACAAGACCUCGACCAGGACACAAACUCAACACUACGGACUCUAAAACUAAAAUAUGCAAAGGUUAUGGCGCGGAUGGGUUGUAGGACAUAAAAACAAUAUGGCACUGGAUUUAUGGGACGAACACAAGGACACACGAAACUAAGGGUAGAUGUGAACCUAACGGUACGUCUGAAGCUUUGAUUACCACUUGAGGAGAACAAGGCCCGAUCUUCCGAAAGGUUCUGUUAACUAUCGAUUUGGUGGAAACGAGACACAAAUCAAUCCAGUUUGCGAACAACACGAUUCGAAACCCUGCAAUUCUUUUUAUUUUUUUGAUAUUUUUCUUUUACUUAGGAGCACACAAGAAGUAAGCACAGGAAAUUUGAGCUUAAACAAGUGAGGGACGUGGCCUGUGGAAUUUUUUGAAGAUUGUGAAAAAUAUGAAAAUAAAGUUUAGGAGCUGAAAACUCAAAUUUUCAGAGGCGAGUUUGGGGAUUCUAAAUUUGUCGCACCCGCCUAUGGUGGGGAUAGAUAGAUCCAAAAAUUUUUCUGAUCGAUUAUGAUAUAUGGAAUGUCAAAAUCGGAGUUCGUAGGCGAAAGUUAUGGCUGUUUUACGAACGGACUCUGAAUUAGAGGACAAAACGGUCCGGAAGUGGGAAAAAUUUGCGGUGGUGGCUAGAAAUUGAUGGAAACGGUGGGAAAAAAUACACAAACUGGACUCAAACAAGACCUAACCAGUAACAAGACCUCGACCAGGACACAAACUCAAAACUACGGAUUCUGAAACUAAAAUAUGCAAACGCUAUGGCGCAGAUGAGUUGUAGGACAUGAAAACAAUAUGGAACUAGGCUUAUGAGACGAACACAAGGACACUCGAAACUAAGGGUAGAUGUGAACCUAACGGUAUGUCUGAUGCUUUGAUUUCCACUUGAGGAGAACAAGUGUGGCCCGAUCUUCCGAAAGGUUCUGGUAACUAUCGAUUUGGUAGAAACGAGACACAAAUCAAUCCAGCUUACGAACAACACGAUUCGAAACCCUACAAUUCUUAUUUUUUGAUAUUUUUCUUUUACUUAGGAGCACUCAAGAAGUAAGCAUAGGAAAUUUGAGCUUAAACAAGUGAAAUACGUGACCUGUGGAAACUUUUGAAUAUUGCGAAAAAUAUAGAAAAAAAUUUAGGAGGUGAAAACUCAAACUUCAGGGGCGAAUUUGGGGAUUCUAAAAUUAUCGAACCCGCCCUUAACGGAAAUAGACAGAUCCAAAAAUUUGUUCUGAUCGAUUUUGAUAUAUGGAACGUCAAAAUCGGAGUUCGUAUACGAAAGUUAUGGCUGUUCUACGAACGGACUCUGAAUUAGAGGACAAAACGGUCCGGAAGUGGGAAAAAUUUACGGUGGUGGCUAGAAAUUGAUGGAAACGGUGGGAAAAAACACACAAACUGGACUCUAACAACACCAAAUCAGUAACAAGACCUCGACCAGGACACAAACUCAACACUACGGACUCUAAAACUAAAAUAUGCAAAGGUUAUGGCGCGGAUGGGUUGUAGGACAUAAAAACAAUAUGGCACUGGAUUUAUGGGACGAACACAAGGACACACGAAACUAAGGGUAGAUGUGAACCUAACGGUACGUCUGAAGCUUUGAUUACCACUUGAGGAGAACAAGGCCCGAUCUUCCGAAAGGUUCUGUUAACUAUCGAUUUGGUGGAAACGAGACACAAAUCAAUCCAGUUUGCGAACAACACGAUUCGAAACCCUGCAAUUCUUUUUAUUUUUUUGAUAUUUUUCUUUUACUUAGGAGCACACAAGAAGUAAGCACAGGAAAUUUGAGCUUAAACAAGUGAGGGACGUGGCCUGUGGAAUUUUUUGAAGAUUGUGAAAAAUAUGAAAAUAAAGUUUAGGAGCUGAAAACUCAAAUUUUCAGAGGCGAGUUUGGGGAUUCUAAAUUUGUCGCACCCGCCUAUGGUGGGGAUAGAUAGAUCCAAAAAUUUUUCUGAUCGAUUAUGAUAUAUGGAAUGUCAAAAUCGGAGUUCGUAGGCGAAAGUUAUGGCUGUUUUACGAACGGACUCUGAAUUAGAGGACAAAACGGUCCGGAAGUGGGAAAAAUUUGCGGUGGUGGCUAGAAAUUGAUGGAAACGGUGGGAAAAAAUACACAAACUGGACUCAAACAAGACCUAACCAGUAACAAGACCUCGACCAGGACACAAACUCAAAACUACGGAUUCUGAAACUAAAAUAUGCAAACGCUAUGGCGCAGAUGAGUUGUAGGACAUGAAAACAAUAUGGAACUAGGCUUAUGAGACGAACACAAGGACACUCGAAACUAAGGGUAGAUGUGAACCUAACGGUAUGUCCGAUGCUUUGAUUUCCACUUGAGGAGAACAAGUGUGGCCCGAUCUUCCGAAAGGUUCUGGUAACUAUCGAUUUGGUAGAAACGAGACACAAAUCAAUCCAGCUUACGAACAACACGAUUCGAAACCCUACAAUUCUUAUUUUUUGAUAUUUUUCUUUUACUUAGGAGCACUCAAGAAGUAAGCAUAGGAAAUUUGAGCUUAAACAAGUGAAAUACGUGACCUGUGGAAACUUUUGAAUAUUGCGAAAAAUAUAGAAAAAAAUUUAGGAGGUGAAAACUCAAACUUCAGGGGCGAAUUUGGGGAUUCUAAAAUUAUCGAACCCGCCCUUAACGGAAAUAGACAGAUCCAAAAAUUUGUUCUGAUCGAUUUUGAUAUAUGGAACGUCAAAAUCGGAGUUCGUAUACGAAAGUUAUGGCUGUUCUACGAACGGACUCUGAAUUAGAGGACAAAACGGUCCGGAAGUGGGAAAAAUUUACGGUGGUGGCUAGAAAUUGAUGGAAACGGUGGGAAAAAACACACAAACUGGACUCUAACAACACCAAAUCAGUAACAAGACCUCGACCAGGACACAAACUCAACACUACGGACUCUAAAACUAAAAUAUGCAAAGGUUAUGGCGCGGAUGGGUUGUAGGACAUAAAAACAAUAUGGCACUGGAUUUAUGGGACGAACACAAGGACACACGAAACUAAGGGUAGAUGUGAACCUAACGGUACGUCUGAAGCUUUGAUUACCACUUGAGGAGAACAAGGCCCGAUCUUCCGAAAGGUUCUGUUAACUAUCGAUUUGGUGGAAACGAGACACAAAUCAAUCCAGUUUGCGAACAACACGAUUCGAAACCCUGCAAUUCUUUUUAUUUUUUUGAUAUUUUUCUUUUACUUAGGAGCACACAAGAAGUAAGCACAGGAAAUUUGAGCUUAAACAAGUGAGGGACGUGGCCUGUGGAAUUUUUUGAAGAUUGUGAAAAAUAUGAAAAUAAAGUUUAGGAGCUGAAAACUCAAAUUUUCAGAGGCGAGUUUGGGGAUUCUAAAUUUGUCGCACCCGCCUAUGGUGGGGAUAGAUAGAUCCAAAAAUUUUUCUGAUCGAUUAUGAUAUAUGGAAUGUCAAAAUCGGAGUUCGUAGGCGAAAGUUAUGGCUGUUUUACGAACGGACUCUGAAUUAGAGGACAAAACGGUCCGGAAGUGGGAAAAAUUUACGGUGGUGGCUAGAAAUUGAUGGAAACGGUGGGAAAAAACACACAAACUGGACUCAAACAAGACCUAACCAGUAACAAGACCUCGACCAGGACACAAACUCAAAACUACGGAUUCUGAAACUAAAAUAUGCAAACGCUAUGGCGCAGAUGAGUUGUAGGACAUGAAAACAAUAUGGAACUAGGCUUAUGAGACGAACACAAGGACACUCGAAACUAAGGGUAGAUGUGAACCUAACGGUAUGUCUGAUGCUUUGAUUUCCACUUGAGGAGAACAAGUGUGGCCCGAUCUUCCGAAAGGUUCUGGUAACUAUCGAUUUGGUGGAAACGAGACACAAAUCAAUCCAGCUUACGAACAACACGAUUCGAAACCCUACAAUUCUUAUUUUUUGAUAUUUUUCUUUUACUUAGGAGCUCUCAAGAAGUAAGCAUAGGAAAUUUGAGCUUAAACAAGUGAAAUACGUGACCUGUGGAAACUUUUGAAUAUUGCGAAAAAUAUGAAAAAAACUUUUGGAGGUGAAAACUCAAACUUUAGAGGCGAAUUUGGGGAUUCUAAAAUUGUCAAACCCGCACACGGUGGGGAUAGACAGAUCCAAAAAUUUGGUUUGAUCGAUUUUGAUAUAUAGAACGUCAAAAUCGGAGUUCGUAUGCGAAAAUUAUGGCUGUUUUACGAACGGACACCGAAUUAGAGGACAAAACAGUCCGGUAGUGGGAAAAAUUUGCGCGGGUGGCUAUAAAUUGAUGGAAACGGUGGGAAGAAACAUACAAAUUGGACUCUAACAACACCUAACCAGUAACAAGAUCUCGACCAGGACACAAACUCAACACUACGGACUCUGAAACGGAAAUAUGCAAAGGCUAUGGCGCGGAUGGGUUGUAGGACAUAAAAACAAUAUAGCACUAGACUUAUGGGACGAACACAAGGACACUCGAAACAAAGGAUAGAUGUGAACCUAACGGUACGUCUGAAGCUUUGAUUACCACUUGAGGAGAACAAGUGUGGCCCGAUCUUCCGAAAGGUUCUGGUAACUAUCGAUUUGGUGGAAACGAGACCCAAAUCAAUCCACCUUGCGAACAACGCGGUUCGAAACCCUACAAUUCUUUUUUUUUUUAUUUUACUUAGGAGCACUCAAGAAGUAACCACAGGAAAUUUGAGCUUAAACAAGUGAAAGUCGUGGCCUGUGGAAAUUUUUGAAGAUUGCGAAAAAUAUAAAAAAACUUUAGGAGGUGAAAACUCAAUCUUCAGGGGCGAAUUUGGGGAUUCUAAAAUCAUCGAACCCGCCUCUAGCAGAGAUACAUAGAUCCAAAAAUUUGUUCUGAUCGAUUUUGAUAUAUGGAACGUCAAAAUCGGAGUUCGUAUGCGAAAGUUAUGGCUGUUUUACGAACGGACUCCGAAUUAGAGGACAAAACGGUCCGGAAGUGGUAAAAAUGUGCGGUGGUGGCUAGAAAUUAAUGGAAACGGUGGGAUAAAACACACAAACUGGACUCUGACAACACCAAAUCAGUAACAAGACCUCGACCAGGACACAAACUCAACACUACGGACUCUAAAACUGAAAUAUGCAAAGGUUAUGGCGUAGAUGGGUUGUAGGACGUGAAAACAAUAUGGCACUUGACUUAUGGGACGAACACAAGGACACUCGAAACUAAGGGUAGAUGUGAACCUAACGGUACGUCUGAAGCUUUGAUUACCACUUGUGGAGAACAAGGCCCGAUCUUCUGAAAGGUUCUGGUAACUAUCGAUUUGGUGGAAACGAGACACAAAUCAAUCCAGUUUGCGAACAACACAAUUCGAAACCCUGCAAUUCUUUUUAUUUUUUUUGAUAUUUUUCUUUUACUUAGGAGCACACAAGAAGUAAGCACAGGAAAUUUGAGCUUAAACAAGUGAAGGACGUGGCCUGUGGAAUUUUUUGAAGAUUGCGAAAACUAUGAAAAUAAAGUUUAGGAGGUGAAAACUCAAAUUUUCAGAGGCGAGUUUGGGGAUUCUAAAUUUGUCGCACCCGCCUAUGGCGGGGAUAGACAGAUCCAAAAAUUUUUCUGAUUGAUUUUGAUACAUGGAACGUCAAAAUUGGAGUUCGUAGGCGAAAGUUAUCGCUGUUUUACGAACGGACUCUGAAUUAGAGGACAAAACGGUCCGGAAGUGGGAAAAAUUUGCGGUGGUGGCUAGAAAUUGAUGGAAGCGGUGGGAAAAAACACACAAACUUGACUCAAACAAGACCUAAUCAGUAACAAGACCUCGACCAGGACACAAACUCAAAACUACGGAUUCUGAAACUGAAAUAUGCAAAGGCUAUGGCGCGGAUGGGUUGUAGGACAUGAAAACAAUAUGACACUAGACUUAUGAGACGAAUACAAGAACACUCGAAACUAAGGGUAGAUGUGAACCUAAUGGUAUGUCUGGUGCUUUGAUUACCACUUGAGGAGAACAAGUGUGGCCCGAUCUUCCGAAAGGUUCUGGUAACUAUCGAUUUGGUGGAAACGAGACACAAAUCAAUCCAGCUUACGAACAACACGAUUCGAAACCCUGCAAUUAUUCUUUUUUAAUAUUUUUCUUUUACUUAGAAGCACUCAAGAAGUAAGCACAGGAAAUUUGAGCUUAAACAAGUGAAAAACGUGACCUGUGGAAACUUUUGAAAAUUGCGAAAAAUAUGAAAAAAAUAUUUGGAGGUGAAAACUCAAACUUUAGAGGCGAAUUUGGGAAUUCUAAAAUUGUCAAACCCGCAUACGGUGGGGAUAGACAGAUCCAAAAAUUUGGUUUGAUCGAUUUUGAUAUAUGGAACAUCAAAAUCGGAGUUCGUAUGCGAAAAUUAUGGCUGUUUUACGAACGGACACCGAAUUAGAGGACAAAACAGUCUGGUACUGGGAAAAAUUGGCGCGGUGGCUAUAAAUUGAUGGAAACGGUGGGAAGAAACACACAAAUUGGACUCUAACAAGACCUAACCAGUAACAAGACCUCGACCAGGACACAAACUCAACACUACGGACUCUGAAACUGAAAUAUGCAAAGGCUAUCGCGCGGAUGGGUUGUAGGACAUGAAAACAAUAUAGCACUAGACUUAUGGGACGAACACAAGGACACUCGAAACUAAGGAUAGAUGUGAACCUAACGUUACAUGUGAAGCUUUGAUUAACACUUGAGGAGAACAAGUGUGGCCCGAUCUUCCAAAAGGUUCUAGUAACUACCAAUUUGGUGGAAACAAGACCCAAAUCAAUCUACCUUGCGAACAACGCGGUUCAAAACCCUGCAAUUAUUUUUACUUUUAUUAUGAUAUUUUUAUUUUACUUAGGAGCACUCAAGAAGUAACCACAGGAAAUUUGAGCUUAAACAAGUGAAAGACGUGGCCUGUGGAAAUUUUUGAAGAUUGCAAAAAAUAUAAAAAAAACAUUAGGAGCUGAAAACUCAAAAUUCAAGGGCAAAUUUGGGGUUUCUAAAUUUAUCGAACCCGCCUCUAGCGGAGAUAGACAGAUCCAAAAAUUUGUUCUGAUCGAUUUUGAUAUAUGAAACGUCAAAAUUGGAGUUCGUAUGCGAAAGUUAUGGCUAUUUUACGAGCGGACUUCGAAUUAGAGGACAAAACGGUCCGGAAGUGGGAAAAAUUUGCGGUGGUGGCUAGAAAUUGAUGGAAACUGUGGGAACAAACACACAAACUGGACUCUAACAAGACCUAACCAGUAACAAGAUCUCGACCAGGACACAAACUCAAAACUACGGGUUCUGAAACUGAAAUAUGCAAAGGCUAUGGCGCGGAUGGGUUGUAGGACAUGAAAACAAUAUGGCACUGGACUUAUGAGACGAACACAAGGACACUCAAAACUAAGGGUAGAUGUGAACCUAACGGUAUGUCUGAUGCUUUGAUUACCACUUGAGGAGAACAAGUGUGGCCCGAUCUUCCGAAUGGUUCUGGUAACUAUCGAUUUGGUGGAAACGAGACACAAAUCAAACCAGUUUGCGAACAACACGAUUCGAAACCCUGCAGUUCUUUUUAUUUUUUUUGAUAUUUUUCUUUUACUUAGGAGCACUCAAGAAGUAACCACAGGAAAUUUGAGCUUAAACAAGUGAAGGACGUGGCCUGUGGAAUUUUUUGAAGAUUGCGAAAAAUAUGAAAAUAAAGUUUAGGAGGUGAAAACUCAAAUUGUCAGAGGUGAGUUUGGGAAUUCUAAAUUUGUCGCACCCGCCUAUGGCGGGGAUAGACAGAUCCAAAAAUUUUUCUGAUCGAUUUUGAUAUAUGGAACGUCAAAAUCGGAGUUCGUAGGCGAAAGUUAUCGCUGUUUUACGAACGGACUCUGAAUUAGAGGACAAAACGGUCCGGAAGUGGGAAAAAUUUGCGGUGGUGGCUAGAAAUUGAUGGAAGCGAUGGGAAAAAACACACAAACUUGACUCAAACAAGACCUAAUCAGUAACAAGACCUCGACCAGGACACAAACUCAAAACUACGGAUUCUGAAACUGAAAUAUGCAAAGGCUAUGGCGCGGAUGGGUUGUAGGACAUGAAAACAAUAUGGCACUGGACUUAUGAGACGAACACAAGAACACUCGAAACUAAGGGUAGAUGUGAACCUAAUGGUAUGUCUGGUGCUUUGAUUACCACUUGAGGAGAACAAGUGUGGCCCGAUCUUCCGAAAGGUUCUGGUAACUAUCGAUUUGGUGGAAACGAGACAAAAAUCAAUUCAGCUUACGAACAACACGAUUCGAAACCCUACAAUUCUUUUUAUUUUUAUUUUGAUAUUUUUCUUUUACUUAGGAGCACUCAAGAAGUAAGCACAGUGUUGACGGUCCUUAAGUACUAAAAUUAAUAAUCAAAUAAACAUGGAAAAGGAUCAAUAUGAAACAAAUAUCUAGAAUUAGGGUUUUAUCUGACAGAAUUCCACGAGCUUUGGUGUUUAUCUAUUUCUGCAGGGGGUUAUCAGAGAAUAUGGAGAGAAGGCCCACAUGUCAUGUUUACAACGAGAUAAUUACGUGCCGCGCAAUUUUCCUCAAUCUAGAAGAGUCCAGAAGCCACGGGAACGAACGAGAGCACGAUCGGGCUCGGGGUCAGGGCGGCCGCCCACCCCCCUUGGGUGCCCGCCCAGGUUUGGAACCCAAUAGGGACUCUGCUUCGGGACUACGCUCCACCGACCUAAAGGAUCAAUCUAAACCAUACAAUCAAUGUCGGUUUGAUCUGACGGCCCAAAUUCACUUGAAGGGACUAUAAAACCAAGGCCUACCCCCCUAGAGAGGAGAAGAGAAGAAAUCAUUAUUCAGAGGUAGCCAUCAAAGUUAGGGUUUAGAGCUUCUCUCCCAUAGAGAAUUAGAAUUAGCUACUCCCUAAUCCUUCAAGUUUAGAGGUUUGAUUAGAUAGCAAUUAGAGAAGUAGAGCACUACGCUCUGGAUUCGAUCUUCGGUAAUAAAGAUUGGUAUUAUUCAUAUCUUUCUCUAAUUCUUUGUUCUAAUUGCAUUACGUCUCUAAUUAUUAUGUUCUUAGUUUGCUCUAGUUCUAUAUUUGAUAUGGUUCUAAUUGAUAAUGAGUUUAUGUAUAAGUUUGCAAUGCGCUUAGCUCUUGAUGCGAGGGAGUUAGGUGAUAGAUCACAUGUGAGCGUGGUGCUUAGAUGUUAUUUAUCUGCAAAUGUAUCCUAUUGGCCGGGUCGUGUGGUAGUUCGCGAUAGUGACAGCUUCGUUGAUUCUUAUAUAGUCCACCCUCCGUUGAUAGGACAGGCAGAACCGGUAUUGUGGAGUAAGUCAUGCGACGCUCUGAUUUACUUUAUCAAUGUUCCUUAUACAUGAAUGAAGAGUCUUUUAUGCUAUAUAUGAUCUUGUAGAUAACUAGAGUAGAUUAUGACUUAGUAGUUAGUAGAUAACUUAGAAUCCAUUCUCUAGCUAAUCCGACAUCACCUACAUAUAUGAGGAGUAGUCUAUUUUCUAAUCGCUGUGUUAUCUACCCAUGAACUUAUAAUUCAUUAUCAUUAUCUUUAUGGUUUACCCCCUGCUAAAGUAAGUGAGUGUGUGACGAGUUUCUCAUUAGUAAUCAUGUUCUUGCAAGUUUAUCUCUAGUCUAUGCCUUGAUAGAUUUUGCCCCUUACUUUAAUUUCAUCCCUUGAGCAAAAUUAUAAAUAACGAUACCUGGAAUACUUAUCCUGGUGAAAUGCUACAAUGAGGUGUUUUAUCUGUACGCUUGCGGAUAGAAUAGAUUAUUUUCUAGAGAGCCUUUACAUUUAUAAAUACCUUUUGUACACUCCAGCACCAUGCUGGGGAUGACAACCUAGUAUCUAAGUGGUGUUAGCUAGUGUCAACAAGCAUUUCUGGCGCCGUUGCCGGGGAGUCUCAUGAAUAAGUCAUAAAGGUGUACAAAAGGGUAAUACUUAGGAAAGCUAGAAAAUCAGUCAAGGUUAUUCAUAUAAAAUAUUAGACUAGACUAUAGAGAAAUAAUUGCAUAAAAACAGCUACUAAGUGAGAGAUCAUAACAAGGCACCUCAGCUUUGGCAGGUUCACCCUGUUGUUUUUUUAUGUUUAUAUUUUUAUACAGGGUAUAUCAGGAUUGACUUUGGGUACAUUCAACUCUUCAUCAUCAGAACCAAAGCAAUCAAGAGAAGAAGAAGAUAGCUAUGAAUUGCUGAAGCUAUGGCACAAAAGACCUUGCAAGAAUUCUCUGCUCCAAGUCUUGAGAACAUUCCAACUGGUCCAAGAAUUGCAGUAGAAGAAGGAGUACCCGAGUUUGAGCUCAAGUCAAGCCUCAUCAAUUUGGUACAAGCUACACAAUUCAGUGGAAAGGCACAUAAAGAUGCUAGUGCACACUUGCAGAAUUUCUUAGAGAUUGGAAGCACAAUCCACAUCAACGGAGUUGACAAAGACGUCAUACUGCUUCGCCUUUUUCCAUUCUCACUAGAAGGAAAAGCGAGGAAGUGGUUCUACACUCAUCAAGAUAACAUCAACAACUGGACGAACUUGUCAGAUGCCUUUCUAUCAAAGUUUUUCCCUAUAGGCAAAACAACUGCCUUAAGAGGAAAUAUUGUCAGUUUCCAAUAGCAGAAGACAGAAGCCAUUUCAGAAGCAUGUGAGCGUUUUCAAAGAUACAUAUCAGAUUGUCCUCACCAUGGAAUGGCCACAUGGUUACUUAUGCAGACCUUCUACAAUGGAUUAACCCAGAAGGUUCGAGAGUGCCUAGAUGCAUCUGCUAAAGGAUCAUUCUUGGAGCUUACAACUGGAAAAGCAGAGAUAGUUUUGGAUAAGAUAGCAGAAAAUCAAAGCUGGUUCCAAGAUAAAGCUCAACAAUGUCAUCAAACUGAAGAAAUACCAGAAGAAGUAAAUGCAUUAUCAACUAAGAUGGAAACUUUGCUCCAUUGGAUUGACCAGAGGGCCAAGUUCAAAGAAGAUCAAAGUGCCAUGGAGACAGCAUACAAAUAUCAACCAACUUCGAGUCAACCCAAUAGCAAAGGUAUGAAUUUAGGUAAUACUUUCAAGCAACUUUCAUUAAAAGAGAUAAUUGCUCAACAAACCAAAAUUAAUGAUGAAGUUAAACAAAGGCUAGAUACAAAUGAAUCAUCUCUAAAAGAUAUACACAAUAAAAUGGAUUUUCUACUAACUGCCUUUGAUGAGCAAAACACUCUUAAUAAAAGGGUAGAGCUUAAAUUAAUAAAGAUAGCUGCUGCACUGCCUGUUGCUACUAACAUUGAGCAGGUAAAGAACAUAACUACUAGAGGAGGCAAAGCAACCAGAGAUCCCCCAUACCCAAAAGAGAAACAAAGAACGUCAGCACCAGUGCAACCAGCAGUGAUAGAAGAAGAAAGCCCAGUUGAAGCAGAAGAUCUGCUGCAACCACCAAGAAAUGGAGAAAUGAGGAAAGAUUUUUACGACACCAACUAUUUGCCAUUUCCUAGAAGAAAUAGAGGACUGCAGGCGGAUGAGCAGUUUGGUAAGUUUGUAGAGGUCAUUCAGAAAUUAUAUGUCAACGUACCUCUGCUCGAUGCCAUACAGGUACCUACAUAUGCAAAGUACAUCAGAGAUAUUCUUAACAAGAAGAGACCACUGCCCACCACUGAGGUUAUCAAGCUGACAGAAGAAUGUAGUGCGGCCAUCCUCAAUAAACCACCAAAGAAGAAGGAAGAUUCCAGAUGUGCCACUAUUGAUUGCUCGAUUGGAAAACAACACUUCAACAAUGCACUUUGUGAUCUCAGAGCAAGUGUCAGUGUGAUGCCAGCAUCAGUCUACAAAAAGCUUGAGCAUGCGACCCUAGAACCAACAUCAAUCUGCCUGCAACUAGCGGAUCAAUCGGUUCGACACCCGUUGGGCAUCGCCGAGAACAUUCCAGUCAAGAUCAGAGAUUUCCUGGUGCCAGUAGACUUCGUAGUACUGGACAUGAGUCCUGACUCAAAAGUGUCCAUCAUCCUUGAAAGGCCAUUUUUGAGCACUGUCAAUGCCCACAUUGAUGUCGGGAAGGGAGAAAUCAAGUUCAACAUAAACGGACAAGAAGAACACUUCACAUUCAAACCCAGACCAGAGAGAGACUCUACAGUGAAGGAAGUUCAUGAAGAAGCACUGGAGACACCAUCUCCGGAGGAAGGUAACUCAGAAGAUUAAAAGAUUUGGAGGUCCAGCUUGGGGGACCUAAAAAUCCCAAACCCUCACCGGGAGGUAAAUCGGUAUUUAUCCACAUUAUUAAUUUUCUCAUGUUUAAAUUCUUGCAUAAUUAAUUCUUGCAUUAGCAUAUAUAUUCAUAGAAUAAUUAUAAUAAUCAAAAAGCCCCCAUAUAAAUAAUAUUCAUGGAGUGUAACAACCCAUAUUUAUUAAUUAUUGUGGAGGCACAAAAAUAUUUUCCAUUAUCAUUAAGUUUCAAUUCUCAUAGAUUUUUUCUGCAUUAUAUUUAAUUAUAUUAAUCUUCUAGAAGCAUGACCCACACUCCUUGGGUCCCACAUGUCAUACACUUCACCUCACAUACAUCCCAUCACAUAAUUUCAUCCACCAAUAUGUUUCCACUUACCUGACAUCUUUCCACCGUCCAACCACCACCAACUCAAUAUUAUUCUGCGUGAGAUCAAAGCAAGGAAGCUAGUGGAGGAGGCACACCCAGGAUGGGCAUCACAAGUGGGCGCCCGCCCACCUACCAAGGGCGCCUGCCCUGCCCCUCUUCCUCCUAUAAAUAGCCACAUUCUACCUCCAUCUUCUUCACACAAACACUCCACAAAACCACACAAGUUUCCGUUUCCCGAGAAGGAGCUCUUGUAGUGAAGAGAAGAGAGUAGAGAGAAAGAGAAGAGUGGAAGAGAAGGUUGGGAGUACUUUUGAGAGAGUGAUUAUCACCUAGCAAGUAGUGAUCCCGUUGUCUAGCGGAAGUUGUUUAGGGAGGCUCUACCAAAAUAGAAAUUUGUUUUGAACAAAUAACCCCUGGACUACUGACAUUCCGGACAGCUGACCACUAACAUUUUCUCUCAUAUUUUCCACUAGUUGUGUUUUUGCCAACUUUUGUUUGCAGGAUGUUCAAGAAGGUGAAGAAUGCAGGGAAGGCUCUCAAGAACAUUGGUACAAGGAGUUCAGCCCGACACUCCUCACAGCCAUUAGAGAUGAGCGUUGACCCAACACCCACAUAAGCUCCGUCAUCUUCAUCAGGUCAGCAAGUCAAGGUCCUUCUCAAGAUAGAAGACCUUGGACUAAAGACCCGAAGAGAGAAAGAAGUCUAUCAACAAUUGAAAAACAAAGAUUUUAUUCACACCCCUACUCUUGAUCCAAUCUUACUACAAGAAACAGGUAUGGACACUGAAUUCGACUUAAUUUUCCAGAUGAUAGGUUGGAUAAAUUUUUGGAAUAUAACUGAGCUGGGUUCUCGUCUUCUCACCCUCGAAUUUCUUUGCACCUUACAAUAUUAUGAGGGGGAAAUUGUUUUUCGGAUGUUCAAACAGGAGAUUAUGUUGUCUUGGAGAAAGCUGAGCGACCAUCUUGGUUUCUCUUCAAGAUGCAUCCUGAACAUUGACUCCGAUUUACCUAAUUUUGAGAGACACCAGUUUUAGAGAGAAAUAUCUAGAGAUAAUUUUUAUAGUCAAGCCCGAACCAGCGAUAUGGAACACCCCACCCUUAGGAUGUUCCACAAAUGGCUUGGGUACAAUCUUUUCUAUCGUGAUGAUAUUAGGAAAGUAAGAGUAGGAGAUUUACAACUUUUAUAUGCUGCUAUUAGUAAAGUACCCACUUCACCUGUUACACUAUUUGGCUUAGUGUACCUAGUCUUCAGGGACCAGUAGGAUGUACUUCACUUAUCACUCGUCUAGCCUUUAAUCUUCACUUACUAGAAAACUCGUCAUUGGACUUCAUAUAUGAGUUAAGAAUUUAUCAUGGCUAUGACAUAUUUAGACAAGCUCGGAUGUUUAACAAAGAGGGGAAUGUAAUGUAUAUGCUCUAUGUUGAUAAAGGCAAGAUUCGGUUACCUAACCCGAACCUUGGCCUCUACGUUCUGCAAAACUUUUUGAUUGAGAUGGCAGCAACACUAGUGAACCAGAAAACUCCACAGCGAGUGGCAUCUGAAAGGAUGACCACUCACCGAGAACGCACCUGGUAUGGAGCUAACCCUGGACCAGAAGAAGCAGCGCACCUGCAUUAUUGCGAUUACAACCCCCGAGUCCUUCGAGACCCAUGGGUUCGUCAUGCGCAACCACAAGAGCCAACAGAGGAGACAUGGCCGGAGAGCCAAGAUCACCAGUGGACAAACCCGCCUUUUCAUACGGGCAGGUACUCCACUGAUCCAUAUGGAGCUUCAGGAUCUAGACCUCCGCCCCAAUUUGAUGCAGGACGAUACUCCGAUGCCUCCUACGCUUUCACGAAUGACUACUACCAAGAGGCCGGUGCUUUCUUCACUCGUACCGACAACACCCUCCUCGACAUCCAAAACACGCAAACAGAACAUGGAAGACUCCUGGAAGAACAACAAAAAUGGAACCAGGACCAUGCCGCUGCAGUACAAGAGCUGAGACAAGAUACAACAACAAUGAACGACAACAUCACAACCAUUAUGCGGUUCUGGAACAUCGGGUAAGACCGACGUCAACAUCCAGCUUGGGGGAGUUCCUCCCCAAUCUAUCAAGUAAGUUUUUAUUUGCUCUUCUUAUUUAUUCUAUUUUGUCUUAGUGUUUUAUUUAUCUUAUAAAGAAAAAAAAUAGAAAACCCAAUAAAUAUUUUCUUGCUUUAAUUUACUGCACUUUAUAAACAUGAAAGCAAAAUAAAAAGAGUGUGUAGAUAAGUGUGCUUUAUUUUCCUGCGAAGUUUAAUCUCUAGAAAAAAUAAAAAGACCAAAAAGAUGCAUGAUGGAAAUGAUGAACAGUUGCUCUGUUUGCUUACUUUCAAGUACCUAGCUUUUAUAUUAGAGUUCUUCCAGGAAUUACUAAAACAAAAAUUACUAUCUUUGGGAAGCAUAAAACUAAAGUCUAGGUAAGAGAAAGGCAUAAUACAAAGUUUGAGCUGCUGUUUAUCUUGUUUCUACUACACUGAGUUCUAGAGAUUUAUUUUGGAAACUUGCAAAUCACAUGAUGAGUUCCUAGCAUAAGAAAACUACCUACCACAGCCAUACUUGCUAUAACAUCUUUUACUAUAUUUACAUUGAGUUUGAUCGAGCUGUGUAGACCCUUAGGAGCUUUUCAUGUGGUUAAAUUAAGAUAUUCACUUGCACACAUCUACUACACUAUCCAUCACUAUUCAUUAAAAUUGCUAAAAAUAUUAUCACUCACUGUCCCGAAUAUUGUUAUUCUCUCUCUCUAAAAAGAUUCAAUGCAGAAGAGGCAUGGGUUAUGCAAAAAUAUGCGAGGAAAUAAAAAGGGGCAAGUGCCCGGAACCUCGAUAAAAGAAAAAGAGUAAGACGAGAGGUAAAAAUGGACAAGUGUCCGAAGUAGAAUUAGGGGUACAAAGAUGCCCACUUGAGCGGAAAAAAAUGGACAAGUGUCCGACAGUAGAAUUAGGGGUAUCUACUACCCACCUGAAAAAAAAAGAGAGAAGAAAAAGAUAGCCCAUGUUCUCCCAAAGCAAAGAUCAAAGAAGAGAAGAGAUAGCAAUAUGAGGAGUAAUGAAAAGUAAGUUUUAUUAUCACUUAUAUAUCUUCACCAUCACUAUCAUUGAUUCCAUCACACAUGCACAUCUUGAUUUAAUUAUAUGCUGAGUUCCUUUGGAUCCAUAGCUCGAUUAGACAACAUAUGUAUGAGCUGUUCUUCACCCCUAUGAGCUCCACUUAAAUAUUUCAUUAGCUAUAGGUAAGUGAUAUUAUGGUAAGGAUCCACAAAUACCACAUAUAGAGAGACUUGAGAGAAUCAUUGCUAGGAACUCUGAGUUUUAUUUUGAAAACUUAUGAAAAACUCUGGAACAAAGGUGAAGUAUAGACAGGAGGGAUAGUGCUUGACUUAACUAUUUUGUCUUUCGAUUACUUAAGAUUUAAGUGCAGACACUAAGCUCCAUAACACUUCACUCUAAUCUGGAAGAAUUUUUAUGUAAAAGCAUGUGUGCCUGUCAGGAAAGAAAACAUCGAAGCAACUUCUGAUUUGUCUAAGUUUAGCUAUUUGCUCAGGGACGAGCAAAGGGUAAGCUUGGGGGAGUUUGUUGACGGUCCUUAAGUACUAAAAUUAAUAAUCAAAUAAACAUGGAAAAGGAUCAAUAUGAAACAAACAUCUAGAACUAGGGUUUUAUCUGACAGAAUUCCACGAGCUUUGGUGUUUAUCUAUUUCUGCAGGGGGUUAUCAGAGAAUAUGGAGAGAAGGCCCACAUGUCAUGUUUACAACGAGAUAAUUAUGUGCCGCGCAAUUUUCCUCAAUCUAGAAGAGUCCAGAAGCCACAGGAACGAACGAGAGCACGAUCAGGCUCGGGGGCAGGGCGGCCGCCAACCCCCCUUGGGCGCCCGCCCAGGGUUGGAACCCAAUCGGGACUCUGCUUCGGGACUACGCUCCACCGACCUAAAGGAUCAAUCUAAACCAUACAAUCAAUGUCGGUUUGAUCUGACGGCCCAAAUUCACUUGAAGGGACUAUAAAACCAAGGCCUACCCCCCUAGAGAGGAGAAGAGAAGAAAUCAUUAUUCAGAGGUAGCCAUCAAAGUUAGGGUUUAGAGCUUCUCUCCCACAGAGAAUUAGAAUUAGCUACUCCCUAAUCCUUCAAGUUUAGAGGUUUGAUUAGAUAGCAAUUAGAGAAGUAGAGCACUACGCUGUGGAUUCGGAUCUUCGGUAAUAAAGAUUGGUAUUAUUCAUAUCUUUCUCUAAUUCUUUGUUCUAAUUGUAUUAUGUCUCUAAUUAUUAUGUUCUUAGUUUGCUCUAGUUCUAUAUUUGAUAUAGUUCUAAUUGAUAAUGAGUUUAUGUAUAAGUUUGCAAAGCGCUUAGCUCUUGACGCGAGGGAGUUAGGUGAUAGAUCACAUGUGAGCGUGGUGCUUAGAUGUUAUUUAUCAGCAAAUGUAUCCUAUUGGCCGGGUCGUGUGGUAGUUCGCGAUAGUGAUUUACUUUAUCAAUGUUCCUUAUACAUGAAUGAAGAGUCUUUUAUGCUAUAUAUGAUCUUGUAGAUAACUAGAGUAGAUUAUGACUUAGUAGUUAGUAGAUAACUUAGAAUCCAUUCUCUAGCUAAUCCGACAUCACCUACAUAUAUGAGGAGUAGUCUAUUUUCUAAUCGCUGUGUUAUCUACCCACGAACUUAUAAUUCAUUAUCAUUAUCUUUAUGGUUUACCCCCUGCUAAAGUAAGUUUCUCAUUAGUAAUCAUGUUCUUGCAAGUUUAUCUCUAGUCUAUGCCUUGAUAGAUUUUGCCCCUUACUUUAAUUUCAUCCCUUGAGCAAAAUUAUAAAUAACGAUACCUGGAAUACUUAUCCUGGUGAAAUGCUAUAAUGAGGUGUUUUAUCUGUGCGCUUGCGGAUAGAAUAGAUUAUUUUCUAGAGAGCCUUUACAUUUAUAAAUACCUUUUGUACACUCUGGCACCAUGCUGGGGAUGACAACCUAGUAUCUAAGUGGUGUUAGCUAGUGUCAACACACAGGAAAUUUGAGCUUAAACAAGUGAAAGACGUGACAUGUGGAAACUUUUGAAAAUUGCGAAAAAUAUGAAAAAAACUUUUGGAGGUGAAAACUCAAACUUUAGAGGUGAAUUUGGGGACUCUAAAAUUGUCAAACCCGCACACGGCAGGGAUAGACAGAUAUAAAAAAUUGGUUUGAUAGAUUUUGAUAUAUGGAACGUCAAAAUCGGAGUUCGUAUGCGAAAAUUGUGGUUGUUUUACGAACGGACACCGAAUUAGAGGACAAAACAGUCCGGAAGUGGGAAAAAUUUGCGCAGUGGCUAUAAAUUGAUGGAAACGGUGGGAAGAAACACACAAACUGGACUCUAACAAGACCUAACCAGUAACAAGAUCUCGACCAGGACACAAACUCAAUACUACGGACUCUGAAACUGAAAUAUGCAAAGGUUAUGGCGCGGAUGGGUUGUAGGAUAUGAAAACAAUUUGGCACUAGACUUAUGGGACGAACACAAGGACACUCGAAACUAAGGAUAGAUGUGAACCUAACGGUAUGUCUGAAGCUCUGAUUAACACUUGAGGAGAACAAGUGUGGCCCGAUCUUCCGAAAGGUUCUAGUAACUAUCAAUUUGGUGGAAACGAGACCCAAAUCAAUCCACCUUGCGAACAACGUGGUUCGUAUCCCUGCAAUUCUUUUUAUUUUUUUUGAUAUGUUUCUUUUACUUAGGAGCACUCAAGAAGUAACCACAGGAAAUUUGAGCUUAAACAAGUGAAAGACGUGGCCUGUGGAAUUUUUUGAAGAUUGCGAAAAAUAUAAAAAAAACUUUAGGAGGUGAAAACUCAAACUUUAGGGGCGAAUUUGGGGAUUCUAAAAUUAUCGAACCCGCCUCCAGCGGAGAUAGACAGAUCCAAAAAUUUGUUCUCAUCGAUUUUGAUAUAUGGAACAUCAAAAUCGGAGUUCGUAUGCGAAAGUUAUGGCUGUUUUACGAACGGACUCCGAAUUAGAGGAAAAAACGGUCCGGAAGUGGAAAAAAUUUGCGGUGGUGGCUAGAAAUUGAUGGAAACGGUCGGAAAAACACACAAACUGUACUCUAAUAAGACCAAAUCAGUAACAAGACCUCGACCAGAACAUAAACUCAACACUACGGAGAACAAGUGUGAACCUAACGAUACGUCUGAAGCUCUGAUUAACACUUGAGGAGAACAAGGCCCGAUCUUCCGAAAAGUUCUGGUAACUAUCAAUUUGGUGGAAACGAGACACAAAUCAAACCAGUUUGCAAACAACACGAUUCGAAACCCUGCAAUUCUUUUUUUUUGAUAUUUUUCUAUUACUUAGGAGCACUCAAGAAGUAACCACAGGAAAUUUGAGCUUAAACAAGUGAAGGACGUGGCCUGUGGAAUUUUUUGAAGAUUGCGAAAAAUAUGAAAAUAAAGUUUAGGAGGUGAAAACUCAAAUUUUCAGAGGUGGGUUGGGAAUUCUAAAUUUGUCGCACCCGCCUAUGGCGGGGAUAGACAGAUCCAAAAAUUUUUCUGAUUGAUUUUGAUAUAUGGAACGUCAAAAUUGGAGUUCGUAGGCGAAAGUUAUCGCUGUUUUACGAACGGACUCUGAAUGAGAGGACAAAACGGUCCGGAAGUGGGAAAAAUUUGCGGUGGUGGCUAGAAAUUGAUGGAAGCGGUGGGAAAAAACACACAAACUUGACUCAAACAAGACCUAAUCAGUAACAAGACCUCGACCAGGACACAAACUCAACACUACGGACUCUGAAAAUGAAAUAUGCAAAGGCUAUGGCGCGGAUGGGUUGUAGGACAUGAAAAGAAUAUGGCACCAGACUUAUGGGACGAACACAAGGACACUCGAAACUAAGGGUAGAUGUGAACCUAACGGUAUGCCUGAAGCUUUGAUUACCACUUGAGGAGAAUAAGUGUGUCCCGAUCUUCCGAAAGGUUCUGGUAACUAUCGAUUUGGUGGAAACGAGACACAAAUCAAUCCAGCUUGCGAACAGCACGGUUCGAAACCCUACAAUUCUUUUUAUUUUUUUUGAUAUUUUUCUUUUACUUAGGAGCACUCAAGAAGUAACCAUAGGAAAUUUGAGCUUAAACAAUUGAAAGACGUGGCCUGUGGAAUUUUUUGAAGAUUGCGAAAAAUAUAAAAAAAAACUUUAAGAGGUGAAAACUCAAACUUUAGGAGUGAAUUUGGGGAUUCUAAAAUUAUCGAACCCGCCUCUAGCGGAGAUAGACAGAUCCAAAAAUUUGUUCUGAUCGAUUUUGAUAUAUGGAACGUCAAAAUCGGAGUUCAUAUGCGAAAGAUAUGGCUGUUUUACGAACGGACUCCGAAUUAGAGGACAAAACGGUCCGGAAGUGGGAAAAAUUUGCGGUGGUGGCUAGAAAUUGAUGGAAACGGUGGGAAAAAACACACAAACUGGACUCUAACAAGACCAAAUUGGUAACAAGACCUCGACCACGACACAAACUCAACACUACGGACUCUGAAACUGAAAUAUGCAAAGGUUAUGGCGCGGAUGGGUUGUAGGACAUGAAAACAAUUUGGCACUAGACUUAUGGGACGAACACAAGGACACUCGAAACUAAGGGUACAUGUGAACCUAACUAUACGUCUGAAGCUUUGAUUACCACUUGAGGAGAACAAGGCCCGAUCUUCCGAAAGGUUCUGGUAACUAUCAAUUUGGUGGAAACGAGACACAAAUCAUUCCAGUUUGCGAACAACACGAUUCGAAACCCUGCAAUUCUUUUUAUAUUUUUUGAUAUUUUUCUUUUACUUAGGAGCACUCAAGAAGUAACCACAGGAAAUUUGAGCUUAAACAAGUGAAGGACGUGACCUGUGGAAUUUUUUGAAGAUUGCGAAAAAUAUGAAAAUAAAGUUUAGGAGGUGAAAACUCAAAAUUUCAGAGGCGAGUUUGGGAAUUGUAAAUUUGUUCCACCGCCUUUGGCGGGGAUAGACAGAUCCAAAAAUUUUUCUGAUUGAUUUUGAUAUAUGGAACGUCAAAAUUGGAGUUCGUAGGCGAAAGUUAUCGCUGUUUUACGAACGGACUCUGAAUGAGAGGACAAAACGGUCCGGAAGUGGGAAAAAUUUGCGGUGGUGGCUAGAAAUUGAUGGAAGCGGUGGGAAAAAACACACAAACUUGACUCAAACAAGACCUAAUCAGUAACAAGACCUCGACCAGGACACAAACUCAACACUACGGACUCUGAAAAUGAAAUAUGCAAAGGCUAUGGCGCGGAUGGGUUGUAGGACAUGAAAAGAAUAUGGCACCAGACUUAUGGGACGAACACAAGGACACUCGAAACUAAGGGUAGAUGUGAACCUAACGGUAUGUCUGAAGCUUUGAUUACCACUUGAGGAGAAUAAGUGUGUCCCGAUCUUCCGAAAGGUUCUGGUAACUAUCGAUUUGGUGGAAACGAGACACAAAUCAAUCCAGCUUGCGAACAGCACGGUUCGAAACCCUGCAAUUCUUUUUAUUUUGUUUGAUAUUUUUCUUUUACUUAGGAGCACUCAAGAAGUAACCAUAGGAAAUUUGAGCUUAAACAAUUGAAAGACGUGGCCUGUGGAAUUUUUUGAAGAUUGCGAAAAAUAUAAAAAAAAACUUUAAGAGGUGAAAACUCAAACUUUAGGAGUGAAUUUGGGGAUUCUAAAAUUAUGGAACCCGCCUUUAGCGGAGAUAGACAUAUCCAAAAAUUUGUUCUGAUCGAUUUUGAUAUAUGGAACGUCAAAAUCGGAGUUCAUAUGCGAAAGUUAUGGCUGUUUUACGAACGGACUCCGAAUUAGAGGACAAAACGGUCCGGAAUUCGGAAAAAAUUUGCGGUGGUGGCUAGAAAUUGAUCGAAACGGUGGGAAAAAACACACAAACUGGACUCUAACAAGACCAAAUUGGUAACAAGACCUCGACCACGACACAAACUCAACACUACGGACUCUGAAACUGAAAUAUGCAAAGGUUAUGGCGCGGAUGGGUUGUAGGACAUGAAAACAAUUUGGCACUAGACUUAUGGGACGAACACAAGGACACUCAAAACUAAGGGUACAUGUGAACCUAACUAUACGUCUGAAGCUUUGAUUACCACUUGAGGAGAACAAGGCCCGAUCUUCCGAAAGGUUCUGGUAACUAUCAAUUUGGUGGAAACGAGACACAAAUCAUUCCAGUUUGCGAACAACACGAUUCGAAACCCUGCAAUUCUUUUUAUAUUUUUUGAUAUUUUUCUUUUACUUAGGAGCACUCAAGAAGUAACCACAGGAAAUUUGAGCUUAAACAAGUGAAGGACGUGACCUGUGGAAUUUUUUGAAGAUUGCGAAAAAUAUGAAAAUAAAGUUUAGGAGGUGAAAACUCAAAAUUUCAGAGGCGAGUUUGGGAAUUGUAAAUUUGUUCCACCGCCUAUGGCGGGGAUAGACAGAUCCAAAAAUUUUUCUGAUUGAUUUUGAUAUAUGGAACGUCAAAAUUGGAGUUCGUAGGCGAAAGUUAUCGCUGUUUUACGAACGGACUCUGAAUGAGAGGACAAAACGGUCCGGAAGUGGGAAAAAUUUGCGGUGGUGGCUAGAAAUUGAUGGAAGCGGUGGGAAAAAACACACAAACUUGACUCAAACAAGACCUAAUCAGUAACAAGAUCUCGACCAGGACACAAACUCAACACUACGGACUCUGAAAAUGAAAUAUGCAAAGGCUAUGGCGCGGAUGGGUUGUAGGACAUGAAAAGAAUAUGGCACCAGACUUAUGGGACGAACACAAGGACACUCGAAACUAAGGGUAGAUGUGAACCUAACGGUAUGCCUGAAGCUUUGAUUACCACUUGAGGAGAAUAAGUGUGUCCCGAUCUUCCGAAAGGUUCUGGUAACUAUCGAUUUGGUGGAAACGAGACACAAAUCAAUCCAGCUUGCGAACAGCACGGUUCGAAACCCUGCAAUUCUUUUUAUUUUGUUUGAUAUUUUUCUUUUACUUAGGAGCACUCAAGAAGUAACCAUAGGAAAUUUGAGCUUAAACAAUUGAAAGACGUGGCCUGUGGAAUUUUUUGAAGAUUGCGAAAAAUAUAAAAAAAACUUUAAGAGGUGAAAACUCAAACUUUAGGAGUGAAUUUGGGGAUUCUAAAAUUAUCGAACCCGCCUUUAGCGGAGAUAGACAUAUCCAAAAAUUUGUUCUGAUCGAUUUUGAUAUAUGGAACGUCAAAAUCGGAGUUCAUAUGCGAAAGUUAUGGCUGUUUUACGAACGGACUCCGAAUUAGAGGACAAAACGGUCCGGAAGUCGGAAAAAUUUGCGGUGCUGGCUAGAAAUUGAUGGAAACGGUGGGAAAAAACACACAAACUGGACUCUAACAAGACCAAAUUGGUAACAAGACCUCGACCACGACACAAACUCAACACUACGGACUCUGAAACAGAAAUAUGCAAAGGUUAUGGCGCGGAUGGGUUGUAGGACAUGAAAACAAUUUGGCACUAGACUUAUGGGACGAACACAAGGACACUCGAAACUAAGGGUACAUGUGAACCUAACUAUACGUCUGAAGCUUUGAUUACCACUUGAGGAGAACAAGGCCCGAUCUUCCGAAAGGUUCUGGUAACUAUCAAUUUGGUGGAAACGAGACACAAAUCAUUCCAGUUUGCGAACAACAUGAUUCGAAACCCUGCAAUUCUUUUUAUAUUUUUUGAUAUUUUUCUUUUACUUAGGAGCACUCAAGAAGUAACCACAGGAAAUUUGAGCUUAAACAAGUGAAGGACGUGACCUGUGGAAUUUUUUGAAGAUUGCGAAAAAUAUGAAAAUAAAGUUUAGGAGGUGAAAACUUAAAAUUUCAGAGGCGAGUUUGGGAAUUGUAAAUUUGUUGCACCGCCUAUGGCGGGGAUAGACAGAUCUAAAAAAAUUUUCUGAUCGAUUUUGAAAUAUGGAACGUCAAAAUCAGAGUUCGUAGGCGAAAGUUAUGGCUGUUUUACGAACGGACUCCGAAUUAGAGGAUAAAACGGUCCGGAAGUGGAAAAAAUUUGCGGUGGUGGCUAGAAAUUAAUGGAAACGGUGGGAAAAACACACAAACUAGACUCUAACAAGACCUAACCAGUAACAAGAUCUCGACCAGGACACAAACUCAACACUACGGACUCUGAAAAUGAAAUAUGCAAAGGCUAUGGCGCGGAUGGGUUGUAGGACAUGAAAAGAAUAUGGCACCAGACUUAUGGGACGAACACAAGGACACUCGAAACUAAAGGUAGAUGUGAACCUAACGGUAUGUCUGAAGCUUUGAUUACCACUUGAGGAGAAUAAGUGUGUCCCGAUCUUCCGAAAGGUUCUGGUAACUAUCGAUUUGGUGGAAACGAGACACAAAUCAAUCCAGCUUGCGAACAGCACGGUUUGAAACCCUGCAAUUCUUUUUAUUUUUUUUUGAUAUUUUUUUUACUUAGGAGCACUCAAGAAGUAACCAUAGGAAAUUUGAGCUUAAACAAUUGAAAGACGUGGCCUGUGGAAUUUUUUGAAGAUUGCGAAAAAUAUAAAAAAAACUUUAAGAGGUGAAAACUCAAACUUUAGGAGUGAAUUUGGGAUUCUAAAAUUAUCGAACCCACCUCUAGCGGAGAUAGACAGAUCCAUAAAUUUGUUCUGAUCGAUUUGGAUAUAUGGAACGUCAAAAUCGGAGUUCAUAUGCGAAAGAUAUGGCUGUUUUACGAACGGACUCCGAAUUAGAGGACAAAACGGUCCGGAAGUGGGAAAAAUUUGCGGUGGUGGCUAGAAAUUGAUGGAAACGGUGGAAAAAAACACACAAACUGGACUCUAACAAGACCAAAUCGGUAACAAGACCUCGACCACGACACAAACUCAACACUACGGACUCUGAAACUGAAAUAUGCAAAGGUUAUGGCGCGGAUGGGUUGUAGGACAUGAAAACAAUUUGGCACUAGACUUAUGGGACGAACACAAGGACACUCGAAACUAAGGGUACAUGUGAACCUAACUAUACGUCUGAAGCUUUGAUUACCACUUGAGGAGAACAAGGCCCGAUCUUCCGAAAGGUUCUGGUAACUAUCAAUUUGGUGGAAACGAGACACAAAUCAUUCCAGUUUGCGAACAACACGAUUCGAAAUCCUGCAAUUCUUUUUAUAUUUUUUGAUAUUUUUCUUUUACUUAGGAGCACUCAAGAAGUAACCACAGGAAAUUUGAGCUUAAACAAGUGAAGGACGUGACCUGUGGAAUUUUUUGAAGAUUGCGAAAAAUAUGAAAAUAAAGUUUAGGAGGUGAAAACUCAAAAUUUCAGAGGCGAGUUUGGGAAUUGUAAAUUUGUUGCACCGCCUAUGGCGGGGAUAGACAGAUCCAAAAAAUUUUUCUGAUCGAUUUUGAAAUAUGGAACGUCAAAAUCAGAGUUCGUAGGCGAAAGUUAUGGCUGUUUUACGAACGGACUCCGAAUUAGAGGAUAAAACGGUCCGGAAGUGGGAAAAAUUUGCGGUGGUGGCUAGAAAUUAAUGGAAAUGGUGGGAAAAACACACAAACUAGACUCUAACAAGACCUAACCAGUAACAAGAUCUCGACCAGGACACAAACUCAACACUACGGACUCUGAAAAUGAAAUAUGCAAAGGCUAUGGCGCGGAUGGGUUGUAGGACAUGAAAAGAAUAUGGCACCAGACUUAUGGGACGAACACAAGGACACUCAAAACUAAAGGUAGAUGUGAACCUAACGGUAUGUCUGAAGCUUUGAUUACCACUUGAGGAGAAUAAGUGUGUCCCGAUCUUCCGAAAGGUUCUGGUAACUAUCGAUUUGGUGGAAACGAGACACAAAUCAAUCCAGCUUGCGAACAGCACGGUUCGAAACCCUGCAAUUCUUUUUAUUUUUUUUUUGAUAUUUUUCUUUUACUUAGAAGCACUCAAGAAGUAACCAUAGGAAAUUUGAGCUUAAACAAUUGAAAGACGUGGCCUGUGGAAUUUUUUGAAGAUUGCGAAAAAUAUAAAAAAAACUUUAAGAGGUGAAAACUCAAACUUUAGGAGUGAAUUUGGGAUUCUAAAAUUAUCGAACCCACCUCUAGCGGAGAUAGACAGAUCCAUAAAUUUGUUCUGAUCGAUUUGGAUAUAUGGAAUGUCAAAAUCGGAGUUCAUAUGCGAAAGUUAUGGCUGUUUUACGAACGGACUCCGAAUUAGAGGACAAAACGGUCCGGAAGUGGGAAAAAUUUGCGGUGGUGGCUAGAAAUUGAUGGAAACGGUGGAAAAAAACACACAAACUGGACUCUAACAAGACCAAAUCGGUAACAAGACCUCGACCACGACACAAACUCAACACUACGGACUGUGAAACUGAAAUAUGCAAAGGUUAUGGCGCGGAUGGGUUGUAGGACAUGAAAACAAUUUGGCACUAGACUUAUGGGACGAACACAAGGACACUCGAAACUAAGGGUACAUGUGAACCUAACUAUACGUCUGAAGCUUUGAUUACCACUUGAGGAGAACAAGGCCCGAUCUUCCGAAAGGUUCUGGUAACUAUCAAUUUGGUGGAAACGAGACACAAAUCAUUCCAGUUUGCGAACAACAUGAUUCGAAACCCUGCAAUUCUUUUUAUAUUUUUUGAUAUUUUUCUUUUACUUAGGAGCACUCAAGAAGUAACCACAGGAAAUUUGAGCUUAAACAAGUGAAGGACGUGACCUGUGGAAUUUUUUGAAGAUUGCGAAAAAUAUGAAAAUAAAGUUUAGGAGGUGAAAACUCAAAAUUUCAGAGGCGAGUUUGGGAAUUGUAAAUUUGUUGCACCGCCUAUGGCGGGGAUAGACAGAUCCAAAAAAUUUUUCUGAUCGAUUUUGAAAUAUGGAACGUCAAAAUCAGAGUUCGUAGGCGAAAGUUAUGGCUGUUUUACGAACGGACUCCGAAUUAGAGGAUAAAACGGUCCGGAAGUGGGAAAAAUUUGCGGUGGUGGCUAGAAAUUAAUGGAAAUGGUGGGAAAAACACACAAACUAGACUCUAACAAGACCUAACCAGUAACAAGAUCUCGACCAGGACACAAACUCAACACUACGGACUCUGAAAAUGAAAUAUGCAAAGGCUAUGGCGCGGAUGGGUUGUAGGACAUGAAAAGAAUAUGGCACCAGACUUAUGGGACGAACACAAGGACACUCGAAACUAAAGGUAGAUGUGAACCUAACGGUAUGUCUGAAGCUUUGAUUAUCACUUGAGGAGAAUAAGUGUGUCCCGAUCUUCCGAAAGGUUCUGGUAACUAUCGAUUUGGUGGAAACGAGACACAAAUCAAUCCAGCUUGCGAACAGCACGGUUUGAAACCCUGCAAUUCUUUUUAUUUUUUUUUGAUAUUUUUUUUACUUAGGAGCACUCAAGAAGUAACCAUAGGAAAUUUGAGCUUAAACAAUUGAAAGACGUGGCCUGUGGAAUUUUUUGAAGAUUGCGAAAAAUAUAAAAAAAACUUUAAGAGGUGAAAACUCAAACUUUAGGAGUGAAUUUGGGAUUCUAAAAUUAUCGAACCCACCUCUAGCGGAGAUAGACAGAUCCAUAAAUUUGUUCUGAUCGAUUUGGAUAUAUGGAAUGUCAAAAUCGGAGUUCAUAUGCGAAAGUUAUGGCUGUUUUACGAACGGACUCCGAAUUAGAGGACAAAACGGUCCGGAAGUGGGAAAAAUUUGCGGUGGUGGCUAGAAAUUGAUGGAAACGGUGGGAAAAAACACACAAACUGGACUCUAACAAGACCAAAUCGGUAACAAGACCUCGACCACGACACAAACUCAACACUACGGACUCUGAAACUGAAAUAUGCAAAGGUUAUGGCGCGGAUGGGUUGUAGGACAUGAAAACAAUUUGGCACUAGACUUAUGGGACGAACACAAGGACACUCGAAACUAAGGGUACAUGUGAACCUAACUAUACGUCUGAAGCUUUGAUUACCACUUGAGGAGAACAAGGCCCGAUCUUCCGAAAGGUUCUGGUAACUAUCAAUUUGGUGGAAACGAGACACAAAUCAUUCCAGUUUGCGAACAACACGAUUCGAAACCCUGCAAUUCUUUUUAUAUUUUUUGAUAUUUUUCUUUUACUUAGGAGCACUCAAGAAGUAACCACAGGAAAUUUGAGCUUAAACAAGUGAAGGACGUGACCUGUGGAAUUUUUUGAAGAUUGCGAAAAAUAUGAAAAUAAAGUUUAGAGGUGAAAACUUAAAAUUUCAGAGGCGAGUUUGGGAAUUGUAAAUUUGUUGCACCGCCUAUGGCGGGGAUAGACAGAUCUAAAAAAUUUUUCUGAUCGAUUUUGAAAUAUGGAACGUCAAAAUCAGAGUUCGUAGGCGAAAGUUAUGGCUGUUUUACGAACGGACUCCGAAUUAGAGGAUAAAACGGUCCGGAAGUGGAAAAAAUUUGCGGUGGUGGCUAGAAAUUAAUGGAAACGGUGGGAAAAACACACAAACUAGACUCUAACAAGACCUAACCAGUAACAAGAUCUCGACCAGGACACAAACUCAACACUACGGACUCUGAAAAUGAAAUAUGCAAAGGCUAUGGCGCGGAUGGGUUGUAGGACAUGAAAAGAAUAUGGCACCAGACUUAUGGGACGAACACAAGGACACUCGAAACUAAAGGUAGAUGUGAACCUAACGGUAUGUCUGAAGCUUUGAUUACCACUUGAGGAGAAUAAGUGUGUCCCGAUCUUUCGAAAGGUUCUAGUAACUAUCGAUUUGGUGGAAACGAGACACAAAUCAAUCCAGCUUGCGAACAGCACGGUUCGAAACCCUGCAAUUCUUUUUAUUUUUUUUUUGAUAUUUUUCUUUUACUUAGGAGCACUCAAGAAGUAACCAUAGGAAAUUUGAGCUUAAACAAUUGAAAGACGUGGCCUGUGGAAUUUUUUGAAGAUUGCGAAAAAUAUAAAAAAAACUUUAAGAGGUGAAAACUCAAACUUUAGGAUUGAAUUUGGGGAUUCUAAAAUUAUCGAACCCACCUCUAGCGGAGAUAGACAGAUCCAAAAAUUUGUUCUGAUCGAUUUGGAUAUAUGGAAUGUCAAAAUCGGAGUUUAUAUGCGAAAGUUAUGGCUGUUUUACGAACGGACUCCGAAUUAGAGGACAAAACGGUCCGGAAGUGGGAAAAAUUUGCGGUGGUGGCUAGAAAUUGAUGGAAACGGUGGGAAAAAACACACAAACUGGACUCUAACAAGACCAAAUCGGUAACAAGACCUCGACCACGACACAAACUCAACACUACGGACUCUGAAACUGAAAUAUGCAAAGGUUAUGGCGCGGAUGGGUUGUAGGACAUGAAAACAAUUUGGCACUAAACUUAUGGGACGAACACAAGGACACUCGAAACUAAGGGUAUAUGUGAACCUAACUAUACGUCUGAAGAUUUGAUUACCACUUGAGGAGAACAAGGCCCGAUCUUCCGAAAGGUUCUGGUAACUAUCAAUUUGGUGGAAACGAAACACAAAUCAUUCCAGUUUGCGAACAACACGAUUCGAAACCCUGCAAUUCUUUUUAUAUUUUUUGAUAUUUUUCUUUUACUUAGGAGCACUCAAGAAGUAACCACAGGAAAUUUGAGCUUAAACAAGUGAAGGACGUGACCUGUGGAAUUUUUUGAAGAUUGCGAAAAAUAUGAAAAUAAAGUUUAGGAGGUGAAAACUCAAAUUUUCAGAGGCGAGUUUGGGAAUUGUAAAUUUGUUGCACCGCCUAUGGCGGGGAUAGACAGAUCUAAAAAAUUUUUCUGAUCGAUUUUGAAAUAUGGAACGUCAAAAUCAGAGUUCGUAGGCGAAAGUUAUGGCUGUUUUACGAACGGACUCCGAAUUAGAGGACAAAACGGUCCGGAAGUGGGAAAAAUUUGCGGUGGUGGCUAGAAAUUAAUGGAAAUGGUGGGAAAAACACACAAACUAGACUCUAACAAGACCUAACCAGUAAAAAGAUAUCGACCAGGACACAAACUCAACACUACGGAAUCUGAAAAUGAAAUAUGCAAAGGCUAUGGCGCGGAUGGGUUGUAGGACAUGAAAAGAAUAUGGCACCAGACUUAUGGGACGAACACAAGGACACUCGAAACUAAAGGUAGAUGUGAACCUAACGGUAUGUCUGAAGCUUUGAUUACCACUUGAGGAGAAUAAGUGUGUCCCGAUCUUCCUAAAGGUUCUGGUAACUAUCGAUUUGGUGGAAACGAGACACAAAUCAAUCCAACUUGCGAACAGCACGGUUCGAAACCCUGCAAUUCUUUUUAUUUUUUUUGAUAUUUUUCUUUUACUUAGGAGCACUCAAGAAGUAACCAUAGGAAAUUUGAGCUUAAACAAUUGAAAGACGUGGCCUGUGGAAUUUUUUGAAGAUUGCGAAAAAUAUAAAAAAAACUUUAAGAGGUGAAAACUCAAACUUUAGGAGUGAAUUUGGGGAUUCUAAAAUUAUCGAACCCACCUCUAGCGGAGAUAGACAGAUCCAAAAAUUUGUUCUGAUCGAUUUGGAUAUAUGGAAUGUCAAAAUCGGAGUUCAUAUGCGAAAGUUAUGGCUGUUUUACGAACAGACUCCGAAUUAGAGGACAAAACGGUCCGGAAGUGGGAAAAAUUUGCGGUGGUGGCUAGAAAUUGAUGGAAACGGUGGGAAAAAACACACAAACUGGACUCUAACAAGACCAAAUCGGUAACAAGACCUCGACCACGACACAAACUCAACACUACGGACUCUGAAACUGAAAUAUGCAAAGGUUAUGGCGCGGAUGGGUUGUAGGACAUGAAAACAAUUUGGCACUAGACUUAUGGGAUGAACACAAGGACACUCGAAACUAAGGGUACAUGUGAACCUAACUAUACGUCUGAAGCUUUGAUUACCACUUGAGGAGAACAAGGCCCGAUCUUCCGAAAGGUUACAAUUUGGUGGAAACGAAACACAAAUCAUUCCAGUUUGCGAACAACACGAUUCGAAACCCUGCAAUUCUUUUUAUAUUUUUUGAUAUUUUUCUUUUCCUUAGGAGCACUCAUGAAGUAACCACAGGAAAUUUGAGCUUAAACAAGUGAAGGACGUGAUCUGUGGAAUUUUUUAAAGAUUGCGAAAAAUAUGAAAAUAAAGUUUAGGAGGUGAAAACUCAAAAUUUUAGAGGCGAAUUUGGGGAUUCUAAAUUUGUCGAACCCGCCCAAGGCGGGGAUAGACAGACCCAAAAUUUUUUUCUAAUUGAUUUUGAUAUAUGCAAUGAUAAAAUCGGAGUUCGUAGGCGAAAGUUAUGGCUGUUUUACGAACGGACUCCGAAUUAGAGGACAAAACGGUCCGGAAGUGGGAAAAAUUUGCGGUGGUGGCUAGAAAUUGAUGGAAACGGUGGGAAAAAACACACAAACUGGACUCGAACAAGACCUAACCAGUAACAAGACCUCAACCAGGACACAAACUCAAAACUACGGAUUCUGAAACUGAAAUAUGCAAAGGCUAUGGCGCGGAUGGGUUGUAGGACAUGAAAACAAUAUUGCACUAGACUUAUGAGACGAACACAAGGACACUCGAAACUAAGGGUAGAUAUGAACCUAACGGUAUGUGUGAUGCUUUGAUUACCACUUGAGGAGAACAAGUCUGGCCCGAUCUUCCGAAAGGUUCUGGUAACUAUCGAUUUGGUGGAAACGACACACAAAUCAAUCCAGCUUGCGAACAACACGGUUCGAAACCCUGCAAUUCUUUUUUUUUUGAUAUUUUCUUUUACUUAGGAGCACUCAAGAAGUAACCAUAGGAAAUUUGAGCUUAAACAAGUGAAAGACGUGGCCUGUGGAAUUUUUUGAAGAUUGCGAAAAAUAUAAAAAAAACUUUAGGAGGUGAAAACUCAAAUUUUAGGGGCGAAUUUGGAGAUUAUAAAAUUAUCGAACCCGCCUCUAGCGGAGAUAGACAGAUCCAAAAAUUUGUUUUGAUCAAUUUUGAUAUAUGGAACGUCAAAAUUGGAGUUCGUAUGCGAAAGUUAUGACUGUUUUACGAACGGACUCCGAAUUAGAGGACAAAACGGUCCGGAAGUGAGAAAAAUUUGCGGUGGUGGCUAGAAAUUGAUGGAAACGGUGGGAAAAAAACAUAAACUGGACUCUAACAAGACCAAAUCAGUAACAAGACCUCGACCAGGACACAAACUCAACACUACGGACUCUGAAACUGAAAUAUGCAAAGGUUAUGACGCGGAUGGGUUGUAGGACAUGAAAACAAUUUGGCACUAGACUUAUGGGACGAACACAAGGACACUCGAAACUAAGGGUACAUGUGAACCUAACUGUACGUCUGAAGCUUUGGUUACCACUUGAGAACAAGGCCCGAUCUUCCGAAAGGUUCUGGUAACUAUCAAUUUGGUGGAAACGAGACACAAAUCAUUCCAAUUUGCGAACAACACGAUUCGAAACCCUGCAAUUCUUUUUAUAUUUUUUGAUAUUUUUCUUUUACUUAGGAGCACUCAAGAAGUAACCACAGGAAAUUUGAGCUUAAACAAGUGAAGUACGUGGGCUGUGGAAUUUUUUGAGGAUUGCGAAAAAUAUGAAAAUAAUGUUUAGGAGGUGAAAACUCAAAAAUUCAGAGGUGAGUUUGGGAAUUGUAAAUUUGUUGCACCGCCUAUGGCGGGGAUAGACAGAUCCAAAAAUUUUAUCUGAUUGAUUUUGAUAUAUGGAACGUCAAAAUCGGAGUUCAUAUGCGAAAGUUAUGGCUGUUUUACGAACGGACUCCGAAUUAGAGGACAAAACGGUCUGGAAGUGGGAAAAAUUUGCGGUGGUGGCUAGAAAUUGAUGGAAACGGUGGGAAAAAACACACAAACUGGACUCUAACAAGACCAAAUCGGUAUCAAGACCUCGACCACGACACAAACUCAACACUACGGACUCUGAAACUGAAAUAUGCAAAGGUUAUGACGCGGAUGGGUUGUAGGACAUGAAAACAAUUUGGCACUAGACUUAUGGGACGAACACAAGGACACUCGAAACUAAGGGUACAUGUGAACCUAACUAUACGUCUGAAGCUUUGAUUACCACUUGAGGAGAACAAGGCCCGAUCUUCCGAAAGGUUCUGGUAACUAUCAAUUUGGUGGAAACGAAACACAAAACAUUCCAGUUUGCGAACAACACGAUUCGAAACCCUGCAAUUCUUUUUAUAUUUUUUGAUAUUUUUCUUUUCCUUAGGAGCACUCAAGAAGUAACCACAGGAAAUUUGAGCUUAAACAAGUGAAGUACGUGACCUGUGGAAUUUUUUGAAGAUUGCGAAAAAUAUAAAAAUAAAGUUUAGGAGGUGAAAACUCAAAAUUUCAGAGGCGAAUUUGGGGAUUCUAAAUUUAUCGAACCCGCCCAGGGCGGGGAUAGACAGACCCAAAAUUUUUUUCUAAUUGAUUUUGAUAUAUGGAAUGAUAAAAUCGGAGUUCGUAGGCGAAAGUUAUGGCUGUUUUACAAACGGACUCCGAAUUAGAGGACAAAACGGUCCGGAAGUGGGAAAAAUUUGCGGUGGUGGCUAGAAAUUGAUGGAAACGGUGGGAAAAAACACACAAACUGGACUCGAACAAGACCUAACCAGUAACAAGACCUCAACCAGGACACAAACUCAAAACUACGGAUUCUGAAACUGAAAUAUGCAAAGGCUAUGGCGCGGAUGGGUUGUAGGACAUGAAAACAAUAUGACACUAGACUUAUGAGACGAACACAAGGACACUCGAAACUAAGGGUAGAUGUGAACCUAACGGUAUGUGUGAUGCUUUGAUUACCACUUGAGGAGAACAAGUCUGGCCCGAUCUUCCGAAAGGUUCUGGUAACUAUCGAUUUGGUGGAAACGACACACAAAUCAAUCCAGCUUGCGAACAACACGGUUCGAAACCCUGCAAUUCUUUUUAUUUUUUUUUUGAUAUUUUUCUUUUACUUAGGAGCACUCAAGAAGUAACCACAAGAAAUUUGAGCUUAAACAAGUGAAAGACGUGGCCUGUGGAAUUUUUUGAAGAUUGUGAAAAAUAUAAAAAAACUUUAGGAGGUGAAAACUCGAAGUUCAGGGGCGAAGUUUGGGAUUCUAAAAUUAUCGAACCCGCCUCUAGCAGAGAUAAACAGAUCCAAAAAUUUGUUCUGAUCGAUUUUGAUAUAUGGAACGUCCAAAUCGGAGUUCGUAUGCGAAAGUUAUGCCUGUUUUACGAACGGACUCCGAAUUAGAGGACAAAACGGUCCGGAAGUGGGAAUAAUUUGCGAUGGUGGCUAGAAAUUGACGGAAACGGUGGGAAAAACACACAAACUGGACUCUAACAAGACCAAAUUGGUAACAAGACCUCGACCACGAUACAAACUCAACACUACGAACUCUGAAACUGAAAUAUGCAAAGGCUAUGGCGCGGAUGGGUUGUAGGACAUGAAAACAAUUUGGCACUAGACUUAUGGGACGAACAUAAGGACACUCGAAACUAAGGGUACAUGUGAACCUAACUGUACGUCUGAAGCUUUGAUUACCACUUGAGGAGAACAAGGCCAGAUCUUCCGAAAGGUUCUGGUAACUAUCGAUUUGGUGGAAACGAGACACAAAUCAUUCCAGUUUGCGGACAACACGAUUUGAAACCCUGCAAUUCUUUUUAUAUUUUUUGAUAUUUUUCUUUUACUUAGGAGCACUCAAGAAGUAACCCCAGGAAAUUUGAGCUUAAACAAGUGAAGGACGUGGCCUAUGGAAUUUUUUGAAGAUUGCGAAAAAUAUGAAAAUAAUGUUUAGGAGGUGAAAACUCAAAAUUUCAGAGGCGAGUUUGGGAAUUGUAAAUUUGUUGCACUGCCUAUGGUGGGGAUAGACAGAUCCAAAAAUUUUUUCUGAUCGAUUUUGAUAUAUGGAACGUUAAAAUCGGAGUUCGUAGGCGAAAGUUAUGGCUGUUUUACGAACAGACUCCGAAUUAGAGGAGAAAACGGUCCGGAAGUAGGAAAAAUUUACGGUGGUGGCGAGAAAUUGAUGGAAACAGUGAGAAAAAACACACAAACCGGACUCAAACAAGACCUAACUAGUAACAAGCCCUCGACCAGGACUCAAACUCAAAACUACGGAUUCUGAAACUGAAAUAUGCCAAGGCUAUGGCGCGAAUGGGUUGUAGGACAUGAAAACAAUAUGGCACUAGACUUAUCAGACGAACACAAGGACACUCGAAACUAAGGGUAGAUGUGAACCUAACGGUAUGUCUGAUGCUUUGGUUACCACUUGAGGAGAACAAGUGUGGCCCGAUCUUCCGAAAGGUUCUAGUAACUAUCGAUUUGGUGGAAACGAGACACAAAUCAAUCCAACUUGCGAACAACACGAUUCGAAACCCUACAAUUAUUUUUAUUUUUUUUGAUAUUUUUAUUUUACUUAGGAGAACUCAUGAAGUAACCACACGAAAUUUGAGCUUAAACAAGUGAAAGACGUGGCCUGUAGAAUUUUUUGAAGAUUGCAAAAAAUAUAAAAAAACUUUAGGAGGUGAAAACUCAAAUUUCAGGGGCGAAUUUGGGGAUUCUAAAUUAUCGAACCCGCCUCUAGCGGAGAUAUAUAGAUCCAAAAAUUUGUUCCGAUCGAUUUUGAUAUAUGGAACGUCAAAAUCGGAGUUCGUAUGCGAAAGUUAUGGCUGUUUUACGAACGGACUCCGAAUUAGAGGACAAAACGGUCCGGAAGUGGGAAAAAUUUGCGGUGGUGGCUAGAAAUCUAUGGAAAUGGUGGGAAAAAACACACAAACUGGACUCUAACAAGACCAAAUCAGUAACAAGACCUCAACCAGGACACAAACUCAACACUACGGACUCUGAAACUGAAAUAUGCAAAGUUUAUGGCGCUAAUGGGUUGUAGGACAUGAAAACAAUUUGGCACUAGACUUAUGGGACGAACACAAGGACACUCGAAACUGAGGGUAGAUGUGAACCUAAUGGUACGUCUAAAGCUUUGAUUACCACUUGAGGAGAACAAGGCCCGAUCUUCUGAAAGGUUCUGGUAACUAUCGAUUUGGUGGAAACGAGACGCAAAUCAAUCCAGUUUGCGAACAACACUGCAAUUCUUUUUAUUUUUUAUGAUAUUUUUCUUUUACUUAGGAGCACUCAAGAAGUAACCAUAGGAAAUUUGAACUUAAACAAGUGAAUGACGUGGCCUGUGGAAUUUUUUGAAGAUUGCGAAAAAUAUGAAAAUAAAGUUUAGGAGGUGAAAACUCAAAUUUUCAGAGGCGAGUUUGGGAAUUCUAAAUUUGUCGCACCCGCCUAUGGCAGGGAUAGACAAAUUGAAAAAUUUUUUCUGAUUGAUUUUGAUAUUUGGAACGUCAAAAUCGGAGUUCGUAUGUGAAAAUUAUGGUUGUUUUACGUAGGUACACCGAAUUAGAGGACAAAACAGUGCGGAAGUGGUAAAAUUUUGCGCGGUGGCUAUAAAUUGAUGGAAACAGUGGGAAGAAACACACAAAUUGGACUCUAACAGGACCUAACCAGUAACAAGAUCUCGACCAGGACACAAACUCAACACUACGAACUCUGAAACUGAAAUAUGCAAAGGCUAUGGCGCGGAUGGGUUGUAGGACAUGAAAACAAUGUAGCACUAGACUUUUGGGACGAAAACAAGGACACUCGAAACUAAGGAUAGAUGUGAACCUAACGGUACGUCUGAAGCUUAAGGAUAGAUGUGAACGUAACGGUAUGUCUGAUGCUUUGAUUACCACUUGAGGAGAACAAGUGUGGCCCGAUCUUCCGAAAGGUUCUGGUAACUAUCGAUUUGGUGAAAACGAGACACAAAUCAAUCCAGCUUACGAACAACACGAUUCGAAACCCUACAAUUCUUUUUUUUUGAUAUUUUUCUUUUACUUAGGAGCACUCAAGAAGUAAGCACAGAAAAUUUGAGCAUAAACAAGUGAAAGACGUGACCUGUGGAAACUUUUGAAAAUUGCGAAAAAUAUGAAAAAAACUUUUGGAGGUGAAAACUCAAACUUUAGAGGCGAAUUUGGGGAUUCUAAAAUUGUCAAACCCGCACACGGCGGGGAUAGACAUAUCCAAAAAUUUGGUUUGAUCGAUUUUGAUAUAUGGAACGUCAACAUCAGAGUUCGUAUGUGAAAAUUAUGGUUGUUUUACGUACGUACACCGAAUUAGAGGACAAAACAGUGCGGAAGUGGGAAAAUUUUGCGCGGUGGCUAUACAUUGAUGGAAACAGUGGGAAGAAACACACAAAUUGGACUCUAACAAGACCUAACGAGUAACAAGAUCUCGACCAGGACACAAACUCAACACUACGGACUCUGAAACUGAAAUAUGCAAAGGCUAUGGCGCGGAUGGGUUGUAGGACAUGAAAACAAUGUAGCACUAGACUUAGGGGACGAAAACAAGGACACUCAAAACUAAGGAUAGAUGUGAACCUAACGGUACGUCUGAAGCUUUGAUUACCACUUGAGGAGAACAAGUGUGGCCCGAUCUUCCGAAAGGUUCUGGUAACUAUCGAUUUGGUGGAAACGAGACCCAAAUCAGUCCACCUUGCGAACAACACGAUUCGAAACCCUGCAAUUCUUUUUAUUUUUUUAUUUGAUAUUUUUCUUUUACUUAGGAGCACCGAAGAAGUAGCCACAGGAAAUUUGAGCUUAAACAAGUGAAAGACGUGGCCUAUGGAAUUUUUUGUAGAUUGUGAAAAAUAUGAAAAUAAACUUUAGGAGGUGAAAACUCAAACUUUAGAGGCGAAUUUGGGGAUUCUAAAUUUGUCGGACCCGCCAAAGGCGGGGAUAGACAGACCCAAAAUUUUUUUCUAAUUGAUUUUGAUAUAUGGAAUGAUAAAAUCGGAGUUCGUAGGCGAAAGUUAUGGCUGUUUUACGAACGGACUCCGAAUUAGAGGACAAAACGGUCCGGAAGUGGGAAAAAUUUGCGGUGGUGGCUAGAAAUUGAUGGAAACGGUGGGAAAAAACACACAAACUGGACUCGAACAAGACCUAACCAGUAACAAGACCUCAACCAAGACACAAACUCAAAACUACGGAUUCUGAAACUGAAAUAUGCAAAGGCUAUGGCGCGGAUGGGUUGUAGGACAUGAAAACAAUAUGGCACUAGACUUAUGAGACGAACACAAGGACACUCAAAACUAAGGGUAGAUGUGAACCUAACGGUAUGUGUGAUGCUUUGAUUACCACUUGAGGAGAACAAGUCUGGCCCGUUCUUCCGAAUGGUUCUGGUAACUAUCGAUUUGGUGGAAACAACACACAAAUCAAUCCAGCUUGCGAACAACACGGUUCGAAACCCUGCAAUUCUUUUUAUAUUUUUUGAUAUUUUUCUUUUACUUAGGAGCACUCAAGAAGUAACCACAGGAAAUUUGAGCUUAAACAAGUGAAGUACGCGGGCUGUGGAAUUUUUUGAGGAUUGCGAAAAAUAUGAAAAUAAUGUUUAGGAGGUGAAAACUCAAAAAUUCAGAGGUGAGUUUGGGAAUUGUAAAUUUGUUGCACCGCCUAUGGCGGGGAUAGACAGAUCCAAAAAUUUUAUCUGAUUGAUUUUGAUAUAUGGAACGUCAAAAUCGGAGUUCGUAGGCGAAAGUUAUGGCUGUUUUACGAACGGACUUCGAAUUAGAGGACAAAACGGUGCGGAAGUGGGAAAAAUUUGCGGUGGUGGCUAGAAAUUGAUGGAAACGGUGGGAAAAAACACACAAACUGGACACAAACAAGACCUAACUAGUAACAAGACCUCGACCAGGACACAAACUCAAAACUACGGAGGCUAUGGCGCGGAUGGGUUGUAGGACAUGAAAACAAUAUGGCACUAGACUUAUGAGACGAACACAAGGACACUCGAAACUAAGGGUAGAUGUGAACCUAACGGUAUGUCUGAUCUUUGGUUACCACUUGAGGAGAACAAGUGUGGCCCAUCUUCCGAAAGGUUCUGGUAACUAUCCAUUUGGUGGAAACGAGACACAAAUCAAUCCAGCUUGCGAACAACACGAUUCGAAACCCUACAAUUCUUUUUAUUUUUUUUGAUAUUUUUCUUUUACUUAGGAGCACUCAAGAAGUAACCACAGGAAAUUUGAGCUUAAACAAGUGAAAGACAUGACCUGUGGAAAGUUUUGAACAUUGCUAAAAAUAUGAAAAAAAGUUUUGGAGGUGAAAACUCAAACUUUAGAGGCGAAUUUGGGGAUUCUAAAAUUGUCAAACCCGCACACGGUGGGGAUAGACAGAUCUAAAAAUUUGGUUUGAUCGAUUUUAAUAUAUGGAACGUCAAAAUCAGAGUUCGUAUGCGAAAAUUAUGGCUGUUUUACGAACGGACACCGAAUUAGAAGACAAAAUAGUCCGGAAGUGGGAAAAAUUUGCGGCGGUGGCUAGAAAUUGAUGGAAACGGUGGGAAGAAACACACAAAUUGGACUCUAACAAGACCUAACCCGUAACAAGACCUCGACCAGGACACAAACUCAACACUACGGACUAUGAAAAUGAAAUAUGCAAAGGCUAUGGCACGGAUGGGUUGUAGGACAUGAAAAGAAUAUGGCCCCAAACUUGUGGGACGAACACAAGGACACUCGAAACUAAGGGUAGAUGUGAACCUAACGGUAUGUCUGAAGCUUUGAUUACCACUUGAGGAGAAUAAGUGUGGCCCGAUCUUCCGAAAGGUUCUGGUAACUAUCGAUUUGGUGGAAACGAUACACAAAUCAAUCCAGCUUGCGAACAACACGGUUCGAAACCCUGCAAUUCUUUUUAUUUUUUUGAUAUUUUUCUUUUACUUAGGAGCACUCAAGAAGUAACCACAAGAAAUUUGAGCUUAAACAAGUGAAAGACGUGGCCUGUGGAAUUUUUUGAAGAUUGCGAAAAAUAUAAAAAAAACUUUAGGAGGUGAAAACUCGAACUUCAGGGGCGAAUUUCGGGAUUCUAAAAUUAUCGAACCCGCCUCUAGCAGAGAUAGACAGAUCCAAAAAUUUGUUCUGAUCGAUUUUGAUGUAUGGAACGUCAAAAUCGGAGUUCGUAUGCGAAAGUUAUGGCUGUUUUACGAACGGACUCCGAAUUAGAGGACAAAACGGUCCGGAAGUGGGAAUAAUUUGCGGUGGUGGCUAGAAAUUGAUGGAAACGGUGGGAAAAACACACAAACUGGACUCUAACAAGACCAAAUUGGUAACAAGACCUCGACCAGGAUACAAACUCAACACUACGGACUCUGAAACUGAAAUAUGCAAAGGCUAUGGCGCGGAUGGGUUGUAGGACAUGAAAACAAUUUGGCACUAGACUUAUGGGACGAACAUAAGGACACUCGAAACUAAGGGUACAUGUGAACCUAACUGUACGUCUGAAGCUUUGAUUACCACUUGAGGAGAACAAGGCCCGAUCUUCCGAAAGGUUCUGGUAACUAUCGAUUUGGUGGAAACGAGACACAAAUCAUUCCAGUUUGCGAACAACACGAUUUGAAACCCUGCAAUUCUUUUUAUAUUUUUUGAUAUUUUUCUUUUACUUAGGAGCACUCAAGAAGUAACCACAGGAAAUUUGAGCUUAAACAAGUGAUGGACGUGGCCUGUGGAAUUUUUUGAAGAUUGCGAAAAAUAUGAAAAUAAAGUUUAGGAGGUGAAAACUCAAAAUUUCAGAGGCGAGUUUGGGAAUUGUAAAUUUGUUGCACUGCCUAUGGUGGGGGUAGACAGAUCCAAAAAUUUUUUCUGAUCGAUUUUGAUAUAUGGAACGUCAAAAUCGGAGUUCGUAGGCGAAAGUUAUGGCUGUUUUACGAUCAGACUACGAAUUAGAGGACAAAACGGUCCGGAAGUAGGAAAAAUUUGCGGUGGUGGCGAGAAAUUGAUGGAAACAGUGAGAAAAAACACACAAACUGGACUCAAACAAGACCUAACUAGUAACAAGCCCUCGGCCAGGACACAAACUCAAAACUACGGAUUCUGAAACUGAAAUAUGCCAAGGCUAUGGCGCGAAUGGGUUGUAGGACAUGAAAACAAUAUGGCACUAGACUUAUCAGACGAACACAAGGACACUCGAAAAUAAGGGUAGAUGUGAACCUAACGGUAUGUCUGAUGCUUUGAUUACCAAUUGAGGAGAACAAGUGUGGCCCGAUAUUCCGAAAGGUUCUGGUAACUAUCGAUUUGGUGGAAACGAGACACAAAUCAAUCCAGCUUGCGAACAACACGAUUCGAAACCCUACAAUUCUUUUUAUUUUUUUUGAUAUUUUUCUUUUACUUAGGAGCACUCAAGAAGUAACCACAGGAAAUUUGAGCUUAAACAAGUGAAAGACCUGACCUGUGGAAAGUUUUGAAAAUUGCUAAAAAUAUGAAAAAAAGUUUUGGAGGUGAAAACUCAAACUUUAGAGGCGAAUUUGGGGAUUCUAAAAUUGUCAAACCCGCACACGGUGGGGAUAGACAGAUCAGAAAAUUUGGUUUGAUCGAUUUUAAUAUAUGGAACGUCAAAAUCGGAGCUCGUAUGCGAAAAUUAUGGCUGUUUUACGAACGGACACCGAAUUAGAAGACAAAACGGUCCGGAUGUGGGAAAAACUUGCGGCGGUGGCUAGAAAUUGAUGGAAACGGUGGGAAGAAACACACAAAUUGGACUCUAACAAGACCUAACCAGUAACAAGACCUCGACCAGGACACAAACUCAACACUACGGACUCAGAAACUGAAAUAUGCAAAGGCUAUGGCGCGGAUGGGUUGUAGGAUAUGAAAACAAUAUGGCACUAGACUUGUGAGACGAACACAAGGACACUCGAAACUAAGUGUAGAUGUGAACCUAACGGUAUGUCUGAUGCUUUGGUUACCACUUGAGGAGAACAAGUGUGGCCCGAUCUUCCGAAAGGUUCUAGUAACUAUCGAUUUGGUGGAAACGAGACACAAAUCAAUCCAGCUUGCGAACAACACGAUUCGAAACCCUACAAUUAUUUUUAUUUUUUUUUGAUAUUUUUCUUUUACUUAGGAAACUCAUGAAGUAACCACACGAAAUUUGAGCUUAAACAAGUGAAAGACGUGGCCUGUAGAAUUUUUUGAAGAUUGCAAAAAAUAUAAAAAAACUUUAGGAGGUGAAAACUCAAAUUUCAGGGGCAAAUUUGGGGAUUCUAAAUUAUCGAACCCGCCUCUAGCGGAGAUAUAUAGAUCCAAAAAUUUGUUCCGAUCGAUUUUGAUAUAUGGAACGUCAAAAUCGGAGUUCGUAUGCGAAAGUUAUGGCUGUUUUACGAACGGACUCCGAAUUAGAGGACAAAACGGUCCGGAAGUGGGAAAAAUUUGCGGUGGUGGCUAGAAAUUGAUGGAAAUGGUGGGAAAAAACACACAAACUGGACUCUAACAAGACCAAAUCAGUAACAAGACCUCAACCAGGACAGAAACUUAACACUACGGACUCUGAAACUGAAAUAUGCAAAGUUUAUGGCGUGGAUGGGUUGUAGGACAUGAAAACAAUUUGGCACUAGACUUAUGGGACGAACACAAGGACACUCGAAACUGAGGGUAGAUGUGAACCUAAUGGUACGUCUAAAGCUUUGAUUACCACUUGAGGAGAACAAGGCCCGAUCUUGUGAAAGGUUCUGGUAACUAUCGAUUUGGUGGAAACGAGACGCAAAUCAAUCCAGUUUGCGAACAACACGAUUCGAAACACUGCAAUUCUUUUUAUUUUUUAUGAUAUUUUUCUUUUACUUAGGAGCACUCAAGAAGUAACCACAGGAAAUUUGAACUUAAACAAGUGAAGGACGUGGCCUGUGGAAUUUUUUGAAGAUUGCGAAAAAUAUGAAAAUAAAGUUUAGGAGGUGAAAACUCAAAUUUUCAGAGGCAAGUUUGGGAAUUCUAAAUUUGUCGCACCCGCCUAUGGCAGGGAUAGACAAAUCCAAAAAUUUUUUCUGAUUGAUUUUGAUAUUUGGAACGUCAAAAUCGGAGUUCGUAUGCGAAAGUUAUGGCUGUUUUACGAACGGACUCCGAAUUAGAGGACAAAACAGUGCGGAAGUGAGAAAAAUUUGAGGCGGUGGCUAUAAAUUGAUGGAAACGGUGGGAAGAAACACACAAAUUGGACUCUAACAACAAAUAACCAGUAACAACACCUCGACCAGGGCACAAACUCAACACUACGGACUCUGAAAACUGAAAUAUGCAAAGGCUAUGGCGCGGAUGGGUUGUAGGACAUGAAAACAAUAUAGCACCGGACUUAUGGGACGAACACAAGGGCACUCGAAACUAAGGGUAGAUGUGAACCUAACGGUAUGUCUGAAGCUUUGAUUACCACUUGAGGAGAAUAAGUGUGGCCCGAUCUUCCGAAAGGUUCUGGUAACUAUCAAUUUGGUGGAAACGAGACACAAAUCAAUCCAGCUUGCGAACAACACGGUUCGAAAACUUGCAAUUAUUUUUAUUUUUUUUGAUAUUUUUCUUUUACUUAGGAGAACUCAAGAAGUAACCACACGAAAUUUAAGCUUAAACAAGUGAAAGACGUGGCCUGUGGGAUUUUUUGAAGAUUGCGAAAAAUAUAAAAAAAACUUUAGGAGGUGAAAACUCAAAUUUCAGGGGGGAAUUUGGGGAUUCAAAAAUUAUCGAACCCGCCUCUAGCGGUGAUAGACAGAUCCAAAAAUUUGUUUUGAUCGAUUUUGAUAUAUGGAACGUCAAAAUCAGAGUUCGUAAGGAAAAGUUAUGGCUGUUUUACGAACGGACUCCGAAUUAGAGGACAAAACGGUCCGGAAGUGGGAAAAAUUUGCGGUGGUGGCUAGAAAUUGAUGGAAACGGUAGGAAAAAACACACAAACUGGACUCUAACAAGACCAAAUCAGUAACAAGACCUCAACCAGGACACAAACUCAACACUACGGACUCUGAAACUGAAAUAUGCAAAGGCUAUGGCGCGGAUGGGUUGUAGGACAUGAAAACAAUAUGGCACUAGACUUAUGAGACGAACACAAGGACACUCGAAACUAAGGGUAGAUGUGAACCUAACGAUAUGUCUGAUGAAUUGAUUACCACUUGAGGAGAUGCCCCUGCUUCACCAACUCCGAAGCCCUAGAUCAUCUUCCUUGUGACGAGAUGGCCAUCAACUUCACCGUUCCUGAGGUCAGUUCUUCAUCCCACCUUUUGUGCCUUUUCUCGCAUCCCUGUUCAUCCGCAAUUCAUUUUACUAAACAUUUUCCUUUUUUCUUUUUGUUCUUGUUCUUCCUUAUAUACCCAAAACCAUUAGGAUUUGUCCAACAAAAUUGUCAUCACCACCGAUCAACCACACCUCCAAUGCCCUGGCCUGUUAGGGAAUCCAGAUCCAACCGACCUCAUUAACGCAGAAACCAACAGGAUCCCUUUUAGAGCCGAAAACUUUUCUUUGGAUCUAUGGAAGGAUACUUUCCGUUCUUGGCCCAGUCCUACCGUGGGAUGGACGGAUUGGUUCUUGAGGGUCAGCCACUCAAAUGAAGUCCAGUGGGGGGAGAGAAAACUAGACCAAUGCAUCAGGCUGUCUAUUGCCGAUAUGCAUAGAAAUGAGUCAUUGCUGGUAGCUGCAUCAUACUUCUGGUCAGACAUGCUCAACGCCUUUGUCUUUGGCCAUGGCCCUACUUCCCCUACUCUUGCCGAUGUAGCUCUGCACACUGGCCUAGAUGUAUCUUCUGCCGAUAGCACCCAUUUUUUCGACACCAAGCCCAGUGCCAAGGUAGAAACUCGUUCCAUCGGCGGUUGGUCAGGGUAUAUUCAGAAAUAUAAACGAACUGGCCCUGUAAACAUAAAGGAGCAGACCAACUUUCUGAACAUGUGGCGGGACAAAUUCGUGUUUUGCGGCCGAUCGGCAGGACCAUCCUCCGUCUAUUUAGCAGCAGCAGAAAACUUAGCUAAUGGUGGCCGAUUUCCCCUCGGCCGAUACCUGCUUGGUGCAGCCUACCACCUCCUUCACCAAGUGACUAGGAAACUCUUACUCGGCCGAUACCCUAAACCCUAAACCCUAAACCUUGUAUGAAGGCUUGACCAAAGAGGAACGAGCAUGGUUGGCUUAUGACGAUCCAGACACCAUGUUUCCUCUAGUUUUCAACCCGUUCAAUGAUGCUCUUGACACGGAUCACGAAGUGAAGAUGGCACUGGUCACUCCCAGAGCUAUACCAGUGAAUUUCUUUGGUAGUGGGAAAACCUCCAUCCAGACCUAUGAGUUUUAUAACACAUCGGCAUUAGCUCGUCAAUUAGCUUUCGGCCAGCUGCCGAUUGCACUCUGUUAUGCCGAUGUGAUAAAACCCAGGGAAGCCAUCACUAGCCUUCAUGAAUGGAUUCGAGUGGCCCAACUGCCAUCAAGUGCCAAUACAGAUGUAGACCUGUCAGAGUGGGUUCCAGCCGCCUUCAUCACUCAGGCAUACAAGCAAUGGUGGGCAGAAUGGAAGGAACAUCUGUUCUGCAGAUCGGAUCUCACGUAUCGCGGAAUGAUCGACCCCGAGUACAAGGUUCCCGAUGACACUGUAAGUAUCUUUGAACCGAUGUUUCAAUUUUCUCAUUUUUACUUUCAUCGGUGAUUUACCUUUGCAUCAUCUUGCAGGUUGACAACACCCCUCCAUCGGUCAGCAGGAGUGGCAAGCCGAUUGACCUGUUUCCAUCAGGCCCAAUCUCCUUAAUCGGCAACAACGCUCCUACCCUGGCCGCCAUCAUGCAUCGAGGUGUACGCCUCAAGAAGGUCAUCACUAGGAGGACUCAGAUAUCUCCAUCGGUAGCUGCUUCCACCUUGGCACAGGCAUUCAAGGUAAUUGUUAAACCUUUUCAUUCAUACCGAUUCUUAUCACUGGGCGUGCCAAAAGAUGUGUUGGUGCAAAAGCUGAUCUGCAAACACAAAGGGCUAAUACCCGAUUUAAACGUUAAGGCGUGCCAACCGAUUUGACCUUACUAUCGGCAAAGGUAGUAACUCGAAUACUUUGGUCCCGACAACAGCGAUGCGCUCGGAUGUCACGGCCAAGAGGUAUUCACGCGGAACUUGAGAAUACGCCGAGCUUAAGUCGACGAAUUCCUAAGAACUCGUAACGAAAAGGAAAAAGUAUGACGAAGUCGUCGAAAAAGUAGAUGAAUGGAAUAUGAGUAAAAAUGUGUGUUUGAUUGAUUGAUUGAUAUCUUCAUUACAAGGAGACACGACUAGAAUUCGAAUUCAAAUUUAAACAGAAUCCGUGUACAAAACGAUCUAAAUAACUAAGGAAAACAUAAAACCAUCCUCACGUGACAAACCAGAACAUCCCCACCAGCCGAUCGGCAAUUUCCAGGUUCUCCCUCUGUAUCACCGGCAGACUCCUUUGUCAUAGCCAUCGGCACAAACACAUCAUCACCUAUGGACUUGGUCACGUUCAACCAUCCUUCCAUCGGCAACCAUCUUCAUCGGCAACUCACCCUGUAGAUCAAGCACCACCGUCCUAUUUUGACGAUUUACACUUUACCGAUCAUGGACACGUGCCCAAAAACGGUGUCAACACAUGCCCCCCAAUUUCGGAGUAUGAGAUCAUUAAUGCUCCGAAAUUCUCUGCAGUAAUGAUGCCUUUUCCGCAAUUAGUGCUCCCAAUCUGGUAACCGACAUCCUUAAUCUGAACAACUCUGAUCCUAUUCCUCUGCAGGUUCCUCGAAAUCCUCAACUUCCCCAAACGGACAUUUCCACUUUAGUCGCACAUCGGCAAUAUUACCGUUACAGGGACUUGCCGAUGGACGUCCAUAUCUUAUCCUUUCAAACGGCUAUCUCCACGUUACUCGCCCAUCGGCAAUAUGACCGUUACAAGGCGCUGCCGAUGGACCGACUAGGAGAUCUCGCACAGUGAAAUAUCUAUGGAUAAUGACCGCUUCCUGUCAAAUCGGCUGCACAAUCCCUUGAUUACCGUGCGAACAGUUACCAUAUCUACCUGAGUACCCUCAGAUUUCACGGAUACGGCGAAGAGAUAAGUCAGAUUUGCCCUUGCCCGUUUUGUCCUAUAAAUAGUUCCUUCUCGGGUACUCCUUCUCCAUCACAUCAUUCCACGGUUCCAACUCCACUCUCCCGGCGACGGCGCUGUCCAAGAGCUCAAAGAUCUCCAACGAAGCCCCUGCUUCACCAACUCCGAAGCCCUAGAUCAUCUUCCUCGUGACGAGAUGGCCAUCAACUUCACCGUUCCUGAGAUCAGUUCUUCAUCCCAACUUUUGUGCCUUUUCUCGCAUCCCUGUUCAUCCGCAAUUCAUUUUACUGAACAUUUUCCUUUUUUCUUUUUUGUUCUUGUUCUUCCUUAUAUACCCAGAACCAUUAGGAUUUGUCCAACAAAAUUAUCAUCCCCACCAAUCAACCACACCUCCAAUGCCUUGGCUCGUUAGGGAAUCCAGAUCCAACCGACCUCAUUAACGCAGAAACCACCAGGAUCCCUUUUAGAGUCGAAAACUUUUCUUUGGAUCUAUGGAAGGAUACUUUCCGUUCUUGGCCCAGUCCUACCGUGGGAUGGACGGAUUGGUUCUUGAGGGUCAGCCACUCAAAUGAAGUCCAGUGGGGGGAGAGAAAACUAGACCAAUGCAUCAGGCUGUCUAUUGCCGAUAUGCAUAGAAAUGAGUCAUUGCUGAUAGCUGCAUCAUACUUCUGGUCAGACACGCUCAACACCUUUGUCUUUGGCCACGGCCCUACUUCCCCUACUCUUGCCGAUGGAGCUAUGCUCACUGGCCUAGAUGUAUCUUCUGCCGAUAGCACCCAUUUUUUCGACACCAAGCCCAGUGCCAAGGUAGAAACUCGUUCCAUCGGCAGUUGGUCAGGGUAUAUUCAGAAAUAUAAAUGAACUGGCCCUGUUAACAUAAAGGCGCAGACCAGUUUUCUGAACAUGUGGCUGGACAAAUUCGUGUUUUGCGGCCGAUCGGUAGGACCAACCUCCGUCUAUUUAGCAGCAGCAGAAAACUUAGCUAAUGGUGGCCGAUUUCCCCUCGGCCGAUACCUGCUUGGUGCAGCCUACCACCUCCUUCACCAAGUGACUAGGAAACUCUUACUCGGCCAGUCUAUCGGCAACUUGGGAUGUCCUUGGUUGUUCAUCAACAUGUGGCUCAGUCUCCACAUGCACAAGCGUCUUGAGUUUGACCUUUUUGCACAGCGUUUCCCAAGGGACAUAGCCGAGAACUAUGAUCUGGAUGAAGAAGAAUCGACAACACGCCCUCCCCUAAACUUCGGUGAGGCUGUCAUAGUUUUACCUGGUACAGGGGGUAAUGCAGACCAGGUCAGCCGAUUCUUCCAAACCUUGUAUGAAGGCUUGACCAGAGAGGAGCGAGCAUGGUUGGCUUAUGACGAUCCAGACACCAUGUUUCCUCUAGUUUUCAACCCAUUCAAUGAUGCUCUUGACACGGAUCACGAAGUGAAGAUGGCACCGGUCACUCCCAGAGCUAUACCAGUGAAUUUCUUUGGAAGUGGGAAAACCUCCAUCCAGACCUAUGAGUUUUAUAACCCAUCGGCAUUAGCUCGUCAAUUAGCUUUUGGCCAGCUGCCGAUUGCACUUUGUUAUGCCGAUGUGAUAAAACCUAGGGAAGCCAUCACUAGCCUUCUUGAAUGGAUUCGAGUGGCCCAACUGCCAUCAAGUGCCGAUACAGAUGUAGACCUGUCAGAGUGGGUUCCAGCCAUCUUGAUCACUCAGGCAUACAAGCAAUGGUGGGCAGAAUGGAAGGAACAUCUGUUCUGCAGAUCGGCUCUCACGUAUCGCGGCAUGAUCGACCCCGAGUACAAGGUUCCCGAUGACACUGUAAGUAUCUUUGAACUGAUGUUUCAAUUUUGUCAUUUUUACUUUCAUCGUUGAUUUACCUUUGCGUCAUCUUGCAGGUUGACAACACCCCUCCAUUGGUCAGCAGGAGUGGCAAGCCGAUUGACCUGUUUCCAUCAGGCCCAAUCUCCUCAAUCGGCAACAAUGCUCCUACCCUGGCCGCCAUCAUGCAUCGAGGUGUACGCCUCAAGAAGGUCACCACUAGGAGGACUCAGAUAUCUCCAUCGGUAGCUGCUUCCACCUUGGCACAGGUGUUCAAGGUAAUUGUUAAACCUUUUCAUUCAUACUGAUUCUUAUUUUACAUCUGCCACACUUGUACUCAUAAAUCUUUUCCAUAUCAUCAGACCGGCGCAUCGGCAAAGACCAGAAGCAAAGGUGCCGAUGCCCCUCAGUCUAGCCAGCAGAAGAGAAGAGGUGCCAAGAGUACAAGGGCACAAGCAAAGCGCCAAAACGUAGCAAUGCCUUCUCCUCCCCCGGUAUCUCCAAUCCCGGUAGAAUCUUCUCCUUCUCCUCCAGAAGCCCAGAUGCAACAAGUGCCAUCUCCACCUCCAAUGCAAGAAGCACCACAAGUGGGAGAACCCCAACCAGAAGAGCCUCAACCAGAAGUACCUCAACCAGAAGACACAUCGGCUGAUGUGCAUGAACAAACUACCGAUCCAGCAGGUUCCAUUAUAGCACUGGUGGUCUCUUCCGUCCAGACAAGCACUGCUCUUCCCCAAGGUAACACAUUUUUAUAAUAUUACUGCCAAUGAACUUAUUCUUUUUUGGCCUUAUAACCCCUUCUGUUAAUUUUCAGCUGACGUAGUUCCAUCGGCAACUCUGGCCGAUCAACCCGUGGCUCCAUCGGCAUCUUCCAGUCAAAGGCGAGAGAUUGCCUUGAAGCAAGUAAGCCAUCCAAUCUCCAUCAGUAAUAUUUGCCGAUGCUCUGACCAUAGAAUGACUCACUUCGUUUUCCUUUUCAGGAACAGGAUUCUCCCGAUAGCCUAUUCUCCUUUCCAUUGAUAUCUCCGAAGAUGAAGGUGAGGAAGCAAGUUCCUCCCGGGCAGUUGGGAUCGCAUCGGCAGAGAUCAGGGCAAAGCUCGAAGAACUGUCGGCUCUCCUCCAUCAAGACACGGCUCAAUUGGUCGAUGACUCUGACCCGACCAAGGCUCUGUUCAAGGCUCUCAGAGGCUAGAUUCCUGCUGAUGUUGAUGAAAUCCUCUUCCAGGCCGCACAUCUGGAGAGCCAUCAGCUGCAGUACCAGAAAGCUGCCCAGCGCCUUGCCGAUAGAGCGGCUCAUGCCCAACUCUCCAAGGAGACGAUGAAGGUGAAACUCCUUGCCGAUGAGAAGCACAAGAACAUCGGCAUUUUACAGUCCUCGGGAGAUGUAUUGAAGCAGAAGAUUUCCGAUCUAUCGGCGAGAAGAGAAGCCCUGCUGGCAGAACUCAAGCAAGUAGAGGAUGCUCUGUCCCAAGCCCGACAAGAAGAAAGCCAACUGCCAGAGACAAUUAAGCUUCUCGAGCAAGAACGAAACACCCAUGGCCGCAAGGCGCUGCAGAUGAAAAAGAAGCUGAAGCUAGUGGAAGGCUCUGCCGAUGACGACGUGAAGGAGAUAGAGGAAGCCAACCAGAUUUGACUGCGCGCCAUAUCGGCGAUCCAGGCGCUGUUGAGCACAUGAACCCUUCAUUGGCAACACAUCCUUGCCCCUCUGCACUUUCCAGCUCUCUUGUUGUUUAGUCUAGCCAAUACGACUGUUAUCGGCAUCUUUUGAAACAUUAAGUCCGGCCCCAGAUACACUUCAAUCUAGCCGAUAGGAGUGUUAUCGGCAUUUAAACCUUUUAUGCAUCGACCCAUAUACUUCGGUAGUACUUUUUCAGAUAUUUGCCAUUUAAUGCUCUGGAAAAUUCAACUCCUUCGAGAGUUUCUAGAAUAUAGGCAUUACCAGGAGCCGACCGACUUAUCCGAUAGGGACCCUCCCAAUUGGGAGACCACUUCCCAAAUUUUGAACUUUUAGUCCCGAUCGGCAAGACCAACUUCCAUACCAAGUCAUCAUCGGCAAAUUCCUUAGCCUUUACUUUCUUAUCAUACCAUCUAGCAACUCUCUUCUUAUUUUCUUCUAUACUCAUUAAAGCCUUUAACCGAUGUCCUGCUAGAUCAGGUCAUCAAAGUAGCAUAAUCAUCGGCAGCCAAUUAAUCCUGAAAAGAUAGUCGCCUAGAUCCAGCCUUAAUUUCCCAAGGCAACACUGCAUCAUGUCCAUACACCAACUGAUAAGGUGAAACCUUGGUUGAUCCAUGACAAGCCAUUCGAUAGGACCAUAAAGCUUCAUUUAACAAUGUGUGCCACCGCUUAGGAUUUUCUUCAAUUUUUAGUUUGAUAAGCUUGAUAAUUCCCUUGUUAGAUGCCUCGGCUUGCCCAUUAGCUUGAGCAUAAUAAGGAGAAGAGUUUAACACCUUAAUUCCCAUACCGAUUGUGAAUUCAUCAAAUUCCCCUGAUGUGAACAUAGUACCUUGGUCGGUAGUAAUUGUCUGAGGAAUCCCAAAUCGGUAAAUAAUGUGCUCCUUCACAAAAUCAAUCAUAUUGGCUGAGGUAACUUUCUUCAAAGGAAUAGCCUCAACCCAUUUGGUGAAAUAAUAGGUGGCAACCAUGAUAAACUUAUGCCCUUUGCGAGAUGGCGGAUAAAUCUGACCGAUUAAGUCAAUAGCCCAUCCCCGGAACGGCCAAGGUUUGAUAAUAGGAUUCAUGGCCGAUGCGGGUGCUCUUUGAAUAUUACCAAAUUUCUGACAUCCUUGACAUCCCUUGAAAUAUUUAAAGCAAUCUUCAUGUAUGGUCGGCCAAUAAUACCCGUUCCUCCUAAUCAUCCACUUCAUCUUAAAAGCCGACUGAUGUGCUCCACAUACUCCUUCAUGGAUUUCUCCCAUCAAACUCUUAGCUUCAUCAUCACCCAAGCAUCGGAGAAGAAUCCCAUCAAUAGUUCGAUAAUAUAAUUCAUCUUCGAGGAGCACAUACUUGGUGGCUUGAAACCGAAUUCGUCUUUCAACUUUCUUAGAUGGAUCUUUCAAAUAAUCAAAGAUUUCUUUUCUCCAAUCAUCGGCACCAAUUGCCGAUAUUGCAUUAAUCAUAGGCUGAUAUCCCGAGGCAUGCUGAGCCAACCGAUUGGCCUCUUCAUUAUGCAAUCGAGGAACAUACUCUAAUUGGAAAUCCUUGAAUUCCUUCAACAAUUGCAUACUCCGCUCGUAAUAAGUUAUGAGAACUUCACUUUGGCAUUCAUAGCUUCCAGUCAAUUGAUUUAUAACCAGCAUAGAAUCUCCGAAGACCUCGACAGCAUUAGCAUGAACUUCCCUUAACAAUUCCAAUCCCUUUAUUAAAGCUUGAUACUCAGCCUGAUUAUUCGUCGACGUGGCAACAAUCGGCAAGGAAAACUCAUACUUCCUUCCCUGAGGUGAAAUUAAUACUAUACCGAUUCCUGCCCCCCGGUCACAUGUAGAUCCAUCAAAGAAAAGUGUCCAAGGUAUAAUUUCCAAAGCCUCCACUGCACCGCGAUGUUGAGUUACAAAAUCGGCCAUAACCUGCCCUUUAACUGCCUUAGCCGAUUCAUAACGCAGAUCGAACUCCGACAGCGCCAAAAUCCAUUUACCGAUCCUGCCACUCAUAAUCGGCAUGGAUAGCAUGUACCGGACUACAUCAUCCUUGCAAAUAACAGUGCAUUCGGCCGAUAACAAGUAAUGCCUUAACUUGACACAAGAGAAAUAUAAGCACAAGCAUAGUUUCUUAAUAGCCGAAUACCUGGUCUCAGCAUCAAUCAACCUUUUGCUUAAGUAAUAAAUUACACGCUCCUUCCCCUCAAACUCUUGAAUUAAAGCCGAACCGAUGACCAUCCCAUCGGUAGACAAAUACAAUCUGAAGGGCUUCCCUUGCUGAGGUGGAAUCAGAACUGGAGGAUUCACUAAAUAAUUCUUGAUUUCAUCCAGAGCCAACUGCUGUUCCUUCCCCCAAACAAACUCUUGAUCAGCCUUUAACUUAAGAAGAGGACUGAAAGCACGAAUCUUACCAGACAAAUUAAAUAUAAACCUUAUGAUAAAAUUUACCUUGCCGAUCAAGGACUGGAGCUCGGUCUUGUUGGUUGGGGCCACUAUUUUAUUGAUGGCGUCAAUAGAUCUUCGACUGAUUUCAAUCCCCCUUUGGUGUACAAUGAAACCAAGAAAUUGUCCUGCCGAUACACCAAAUGCACACUUAUUGGGGUUCAUUUUCAAACCAUGGUUCCUUGUGCACUCCAACACCUUUCGUAAAUCAGCAAGAUGCUUUGUGAAGUCUCCAGACUUAACCACCACAUCAUCAAUAUAAAUCUCCACCAGCUUGCCGAUGAACUCAUGAAAUAUAAAAUUCAUGGCCCUUUGAUAAGUAGCACCAGCAUUCUUUAAGCCAAAGGUCAUGACUAUCCAUUCAAACAAUCCAACGUGACCAGGGCAUCUGAACGCGGUCUUUGGAAUAUCCUCUUCAGCCAUGAAUAUUUGAUUGUAUCCUGUAUUGUCAUCCAUAAAGCUAAUAAUCCGAUGCCCAGCCGCAGCGUCAACUAGCAGAUUGGCAACUGGCAUUGGGUAUCCAUCCAUCGGUGUAGCUAUGUUAAGAUUCCUGAAAUCAAUGCAGACCCGAAGCUUCCCGUUCUUCUUGUAGACCGGAACAACAUUGGAAAUCUACUCGGCAUACCGACAUUGCCGAAUAAACUUGGCUUCAAUAAGUUUGGUUAUUUCAGCCUUAAUAUCAGGGAGAAUAUUAGGAUUACAUCGGCGAGCCGGUUGCUGAUGUGGCCGAAAUCCAGACUUGAUAGGUAACCGAUGUUCAAUAAUUGAUCGGUCCAAACUAGGCAUCUCAGUAUAAUCCCAAGCAAAGCAAUCUUUAAAUUCCUUUAACAAAUCGGUUAACUGUUCCUUACACUCAGAAUCUAAUUUAGCACUAAUAAAAGUGGGUCUAGGCUUAUCACCACUACCUAUAUCUACUUCUACUAGAUCAUCGGCCCAUGUGAAUCCCUGGCCUAACUUUCCAUCAUCGGCGAACCUAUCCAUUAAAAACCUUCAUCAGAACUGACUGCUUGGAUCGGUGGAAUGUCGUAAUCGGCAACCUUGAGAAAAUCCUUUUCCCAAAUUUCUCCUGAAAUACACCUAGUCCUUUCGUAGGUGUCUGCCUCUGCCGAUGCGAUGGCAUAAGAAGAAUCUCCUGGGACAAUUUCAAUCUUGUCACCUACCCACUGGACCAAGCAUUGGUGCAUUGUAGACGGGAUGCAACAAUUAGCAUGAAUCCAAUCUCUUCCUAACACUAAGUUGUAAGCACCCUUUCCACUGAUCACGAAGAAGGUUGUCGGCAAGGUCUUACUGCCGAUGGUCAACUCUACGCAUAUUGCUCCCUUGACCGGAGACACAUUUCCUUCAAAAUCCUUAAGCAUCAUAUCAGUCUUGGUUAAAUCCUGAUCCCCUUUUCCAAGCUUCCGAUACACUGCAUAUGGCAUGAUAUUAAUGGCGGCUCCACCAUCAAUUAGAAUCUUGGUCAUCGGCUGACCAUCCACUUUUCCUUUAACAAACAGGGCCUUGUGGUGCUGCCUUUCAUCAUCGGCGGGCUUCUCGAAGAUAGCCGUCAUCGGAUCUAGAGCCAACUGAGCUAUUUGGUCGGAAAACUCCACCUCAUCAUCACUGGAUGGUGCAAGGAACUCCAUCGGCAACAUAAAUACCAUGUUGACAUCUGCCGAUGGACCUUUCCCCUUAGGAUCUGAUUGUUGCUGAUCCCUAGACUGUCUGGAGUUUUCCCCCUUGCUCAACUCUUCACGCCUUUCGCGCUGCAGUCUUCUCUUCUGAGUCCUGGUCAACCCCUCCGGACACCAUGGAGGAAGCUGCUGUUGCCUUACCGAUGGGCGGCGAUUUUCUCCUGACUCAAUUCGGUAAGUAUUGGCAUCUCGGCAGAAGAUGAACUCAUCGGGAACCCGUGCAUUAGCCAUCUCUUCGAGUUCUUCCUGGUUCCUGGGAAAAUAUUGAACACGAUCACCAAGCCUGUCAUGCACGCUGAGCCUGCCCCCCAACCGAUCGUGAACGGACGCUCUUCCUCUAAUCGGCCCAUUAGACCGCCGAUUGUCGUCGUGGUAGCGCCGAUCGGAUCUAUCAUACUGAUCAUAACCGUUGCACUCAGGGCAAUCUAUGACAGUGGGAAGCUUGACAUUCUCCUCCCAAAAAUAAAUGAAGAACGGGCAAUUCCAGUGAUCCCUAUGUCGAUUCCAUUCUUGUCGGCGUCUUUCCUCUUCUAGAUGAUAAUCCUCUUGCUAGCGCCGGUACCGAUCUUCUCGUUGUUGCCAAGUCUCCCGAGGCCUCCUGUGAGUUAUCACAAUACCAGAUCGGGGAGGCCUUCCUGAGUUAGCUCCCUCCUGGAUCAAGCCUUUUCCUUUGGCAUCGGCAGUAGUGACCUGAUGCUGAGGAUCCACCGAUGCACUUCUUUCAGCUGCUUCCGACGUCAAGACCUUGGCCUUUCCCUUAGCAUCCAACAUGUUCGUUGGGAAACGAUGUUGAUCAAUCUUCAUCGGCUUUUGGGUCUUGGAAGUGUCGAAUUUGAUUCUUCCAGACUCUAUAGCCAAUUGCAGCUGCUGUCUGAAAACCUUGCACUCAUUAGUGUCGUGAGAAGUUGCAUUGUGCCACUUGCAAUACUUCAUCCUUUUUAAUUCUUCAGCCGAUGGGAUCACAUGAUUAGGUGACAGCUUGAUCUGACCUUCCUGAAGUAGAAAGUCUAAUAUCCUAUCGGCCUUAGUGGUGUCAAACGCGAACUUCUCUGGUUCUUUAUGUCCAAAAGGACAAGACAUCGGCUUUUUAUUUUUCACCCAUUCUGCCAAGCCGAUGACUGGUUCUUCAUCAGAGUCCGAGCUUACCGCUUCAUCCACAAAUGAUACCUUUUUAUUCCAUGCUCUCUUGGGUUCAAACGGCUUGAUAUCUUGAUCAGAGAUUCUCUGCACCAGAUGACUUAAGCUUUCAAACUCUUGAGAUGCAUAUUUGUCCCUUAUGUGUGGCAACAAACCCUAGAAAGCCAAAUCAGCUAGCUGCCGAUCAUCCAGAACCGGGCUAUAGCAUUUGUUCUUAACCUCCCGUAUCCUCUGCACAAAACUCUCAACCGAUUCAUCAUUGCGUUGCCUUAAUUUGACCAAAUCGGUGAUUUUCUUUUCAUGGACCCCCGAAAAGAAAUAUUUGUGGAAUUGUUUCUCCAAAUCGGCCCAAGUAAUCACUGAGUUGGGAGGCAAUGAUAUAAACCACGUGAAAGCCGAUCUAGACAACGAUGACGAGAAUAAGCGAACCCUUAACUCGUCCCUGUUACCAGCUUCCCCGCAUUGAAUGAUGAACCUGUUGACGUGCUCCAUGGUUGACGUGUCAUCCUGCCCAGAAAACUUAGUAAAAUCCAGUACCUUGUACCGAUUCGGAGGCAGGAUCAAAUCGUAUGCGGGAGGAUACGGUGUCCGAUAAGAGUAAGUGUUGACUUUGGGUUUUAUCCCAAAUUGGUCCCUCAUUACUUCAGCAAUCUUAUCAGCCCAAUAAGCAUCGGCAUCUUGCUGAUGAGGUGGUUGUGGAUCUGGCACCUACUGGUAAGCUUCCACGUGUCUGUGCGGCACACGAUCUGCAUGAAAUAUUGGAUUAAUCAUUUGGCCCUCAAUCUGCGGACUACCAAGCUGUUGCCCGCCAAUCUGCUACCCGAGAUUCAUUGGCUGGUUAGGGAUCCCCUGAUUCUGGAACCCGGGAUAGAUCUGUCCUUGCUAGAACCUGGUAGCUUGAUGACUCUGUUGGGGCGUUUGCGGAAAGACUUGCUGCCCAAGCCAUCCAGUAUUGGCAUUCAUCGGCAUAGGUCCUGCCGAUGACUGAUAAUUGGGCAUUAUCAUUGAAUUGACAUACCCUGGUUGAGUCAAAGACCUCUGUUGCAUCAGCAUUGAGUCUGCCGAUGCGUUAGGCAUCUGGAACGUUAGAGCUUGAGAAUUCCCAGUGUAAGGUCUUGGAGUAGUAGUCGUAGUAUACUGGGGACUCUGGUUCAUCGACAUACUUGGAGGUGCCGAUGCCAUAGGAGCCUUGCCUCUCAUAUCAGUUGCCUGAGAUGUGCCAGGUGUCUUCAUGUUUUCCGGGGGCAUACCAUAACCCCACCAGUUGGGAGGAGGGACCAGUGCUGACAUUGCCGACGCCAAUAAAUCUGUAGUGAGCCUAAUCUGCUCAUCUGAAGUCGGCGGAUUGGUUGUCAUCGGCGUAGAUUGUGCAUUGGUGACUCCCAACGUGCUUGGAGGAACGGUAGUCUGUGUUCCCACAGCGGCUGUAGUGGCCGAUGGUGCUGUGACCAUCGGCGACCCUGGCUAGUGAUAAGAGGGGCCCACAUAAUCUGGUGGCAAUUGUCCUUCCUUCAAGGUUCGGGCCACAGCAUUGAAGACCGUAUUAGACAGUACACCAUCUUGGUUGAUCAAAGCACGGUUGAUAGCACUAUCAACCAUCUCCUGAAGUUUACCAGGAUUGGCUUCAAAAGUAACCUGCCGAGGCGUCGGCAAUGCAUCCUUCUGGAUCACUUCGCCGCUCCUGUUCAUACUGAAGGAUCUCAGGCACUGCUGUUUGUAAUCCUCCAUGGCUUUAGCAAUAGCUCGCUUCUGCUCAUCCUUGAGAUUGGCUUCCGUCACGGGGAUGACGUUCUCUUGAUCAAACUCAGAAGUCGACAUGAUGAUCUUGAUCUUGAAUCUGUCCCACUGGGCGUGCCAAAAGAUGUGUUGGUGCAAAAGCUGAUCUGCAAACACAAAGGGCUAAUACCCGAUUUAAACGUUAAGGCGUGCCAGCCGAUUUGACCUUACUAUCGGCAAAGGUAGUAACUCGAAUACUUUGGUCCCGACAACAGGGAUGUACCCGGAUGUCACGGCCAAGAGGUAUUCACGCGGAACUUGAGAAUACGCCGAGCUUAAGUCGACGAAUUCCUAAGAACUCGUAACGAAAAGGAAAAAGUAUGACGAAGUCGUCGAAAAAGUAGAUGCUUGGAAUAUGAGUAAAAACGUGUGUUUGUUUGAUUGAUUGAUAUCUUCAUUACAAGGCCCUAGGGUCUACAUUUAUACCCUGCUCAAAGAGCUACAACCAGACACGACUAGAAUUUGAAUUCCAAAUUUAAACAGAAUCCGUGUACAAAACGAUCUAAAUAACUAAGGAAAACGUAAAACCAUCCUCACGUGACAAACCAGAACAUCCCCACCAGCCGAUCGGCAAAUUCCAGGUUCUCCCUCCGUAUCAUCGGCAGACUCCUUUGUCAUAGCCAUCGGCACAAACACAUCAUCACCUAUGGACUUGGUCACGUUCAACCAUCCUUCCAUCAGCAACCAUCUUCAUCGGCAACUCACCCUGUAGAUCAAGCACCACCGUCCUAUUUUGCCGAUCUACACUUUACCGAUCAUGGACACGUGCCCAAAAACGGUGUCAACAUAACCACAGGAAAUUUGAGCUUAAACAAGUGAAAGACGUGGCCUGUGGAAAUUUUUGAAAAUUGCAAAAAAUAUGAAAAAAACUUUUGGAGGUGAAAACUCAAACUUCAGAGGCGCAUUUGGGGAUUCUAAAAUUGUCAAACCCGGAUACGGUGGGGAUAGACUGAUCCAAAAAUUUGGUUUGAUCGAUUUUGAUAUAUGCAACGUCAAAAUCGGAGUUCGUAUGCGAAAACUAUGGUUGUUUUACGAACGGACUCCGAAUUGGAAGACAAAACAGUCCGGAAGUGGCAAAAAUUUGCGGCGGUGGCUAGAAAUUGAUGGAAACGGUGGGAAAAAAUACACAAACUAGACUCAAACAAGACCUAACCAGUAACAAGACAUCGACCAGGACACAAACUCAACACUACGGACUCUGAAACUGAAAUAUGCAAAGGCUAUGGCGCGGAUGGGUUGUAGGACAUGAAAACAAUAUGGCACUGGACUUAUGGGAGGAACACAAGGACACUCGAAACUAAGGGUAGAUGUGAACCUAACGGUAUGUCUCAUGCUUUGAUUACCACUUGAGGAGAACAAGUGUGGCCCGAUCUUCCGAAAGGUUUAGGUAACUAUCGAUUUGGUGGAAACGAGACACAAAUCAAUCCAGCUUGCGAACAACACGAUUCGAAACACUACAAUUCAUUUUAUUUUUUUUAUAUUUUUCUUUUACUUAGGAGCAAUCAACAAGUAACCACAGGAAAUUUGAGCUUAAACAAGUGAAAGACUUGGCCUGUGGAAAUUUUUGAAAAUGGCGAAAAAUAUGAAAAAAACUUUUGGAGGUGAAAACUCAAACUACAGAUGCGAAUUUGGAGAUUCUAAAAUUUUCAAACCCGCACACUACGGGGAUAGACAGAUCCAAAAAUUUGGUUUGAUCGAUUUUGAUAUAUGGAACGUCAAAAUCGGAGUUCGUAUGCGAAAAUUAUGGCUGUUUUACGAACGGACUCCAAAUUAGAAGACAAAACGGUCCGGAAGUGGGAAAAAUUUGCGGCGGUGGCUAGAAAUUGAUGGAAACGGUGGGAAGAAGCACACAAAUUGGACUCUGACAAGACCUAACCAGUAACAAGACCUCGACUAGGACACAAACUCAACACUACGGACUCUGAAACUCAAAUAUGCAAAGGCUAUGGCACAGAUGGGUUGUAGGACAUGAAAACAAUAUGGCACUAGACUUAUGAGACGAACACAAGGACACUCGAAACUAAGGGUAGAUGUGAACCUAAUGGUAUGUCUCAUGCUUUGAUUACCACUUGAGGAGAACAAGUGUGGCCCGAUCUUGCGAAAGGUUCUGGUAACUAUCGAUUUGGUGGAAUCGAGACACAAAUCAAUCCAGCUUGCGAACCACACGAUUCGAAACCCUACAAUUAUUUUUAUUUUUUUAUAUUUUUCUUUUACUUAGGAGCACUCAAGAAGUAACCACAGGAAAUUUGAGCUUAAACAAGUGAAAGACGUGGCCUGUGGAAAUUUUUGAAAAUUGCGAAAAAUUUGAAAAAAACUUUUGGAGGUGAAAACUCAAACUUUAGAGGCGAAUUUGGGGAUUCUAAAAUUGUCAAACCCGCACACAACCAGGAUAGACUGAUCCAAAAAUUUGGUUUGAUCGAUUUUGAUAUAUGGAACGUCAAAAUCGGAGUUCGUAUGCGAAAAUUAUGGCUGUUUUACGAACGGACUCCGAAUAAGAAGACAAAACGGUCCGCAAGUGGGAAAAAUUUGCGGCGGUGGCUAGAAAUUGAUGAAAACGGUGGGAAAAAACACACAAACUGAACUCAAACAAGACCUAACCAGUAACAAGACCUCGACCAGGACACAAACUCAACACUACGGACAAAGGCUAUGGCGCGGAUGGGUUGUAGGACAUGAAAACAAUAUGGCACUAGACUUAUGGGACGAACACAAAGAUACUCGAAACUAAGGGUAGAUGUGAACCUAACGGUAUGUCUCAUGCUUUGAUUACCACUUGAGAAGAACAAGUGUGUCCCGAUCUUCCGAAAGGUUCCGGUAACUAUCGAUUUGGUGGAAACGAGACACAAAUCAAUCCAGCUUACGAACAACACGGUUUGAAACCCUGCAAUUCUUUUUAUUUUUUUUUGAUAUUUUGCUUUUACUUAGGAGCAUUCAAGAAGUAAGCACAGGAAAUUUGAGCUUAAACAAGUGAAAGACGUGGCUUGUGGAAUUUUUUGAAGAUUGCGAAAAAUAUAAAAAAAUUAGGAGGUGAAAACUCAAACUUCAGAGGCGAAUUUGGGGAUUCUAAAAUUACCGAACCUGCCUUUGGCUGAAAUAUGCAAAGACUAUGGUGCGGAUGGGUUGUAGGACAUGAAAACAAUAUGGCACUAGACUUAUGGGACGAACACAAGGACACUCGAAACUAAGGGUAGAUGUGAACCUAAUGGUAUGUCUCAUGCUUUGAUUACCACUUGAGGAGAACAAGUGUGGCCCGAUCUUCCGAAAGGUUCUGGUAAAUAUCGAUAUGGUGGAAACGAGACACAAAUCAAUCCAGCUUGCAAACAACACGAUUCGAAACCCUACAAUUCUUUUUAUUUUUUUAUAUUUUUCUUUUACUUAGGAGCACUCAAGAAGUAACCACAUGAAAUUUGAGCUUAAACAAGUGAAAGACGUGGCAUGUGGAAAUUUUUGAAAAUUACAAAAAAUAUGAAAAAAACUUUUAGAGGUGAAAACUCAAACUUCAGAGGCAAAUUUGGGGAUUCUAAAAUUGUCAAACCCGCACACGGCGGGGAUAAACUAAUCCAAAAAUUUGGUUUGAUCGAUUUGGAUAUAUGGAAAGAAAUUGAUGAAAACGGUGGGAAAAAACACACAAACUGGACUCAAACAAGACCUAACCAGUAACAAGACCUCGACCAGGACACAAACUCAACACUACGGACAAAGGCUAUGGCGCGAAUGGGUUGUAGGACAUGAAAACAAUAUGGCACUAGACUUAUGGGACGAACACAAAGACACUCGAAACUAAGGGUAGAUGUGAACCUAACGGUAUGUCUCAUGCUUUGAUUACCACUUGAGGAGAACAAGUGGUUCUGGUAACUAUCGAUUUGGUGGAAACGAGACACAAAUCAAUCCAGCUUGCGAACAACACGAUACGAAACCCUACAAUUCUUUUUAUUUUUUUAUAUUUUUCUUUUACUUAGGAGCACUCAAUAAGUAACCACAGGAAAUUUGAGCUUAAACAAGUGAAAGACGUGGCCUGUGGAAAUUUUUGAAAAUUGCGAAAAAUUUGAAAAAAGUUUUGGAGGUGAAAACUCAAACUUUAGAGGCGAAUUUGGGGAUUCUAAAAUUGUCAAACCCGCACGCAGCGGGGAUAGACUGAUCCAAAAAUUUGGUUUGAUCGAUUUUGAUAUAUGGAACGUCAAAAUCGGAGUUCGUAUGCGAAAAUUAUGGCUGUUUUACGAACGAACUCCGAAUUAGAAUACAAAACGGUCCGCAAGUGGGAAAAAUUUGCGGCGGUGGCUAGAAACUGAUGGAAACGGUGGGAAAAAACACACAAACUCGACUGAAACAAGACCUAACCAGUAACAAGACCUCAACCACGACACAAACUCAACACUACGGACAAAGGCUAUGGCGCGGAUGGGUUGUAGGACAUGAAAACAAUAUGCCACUAGACUUAUGGGAUGAACACAAGGACACUCGAAACUAAGGGUAGAUGUGAACCUAACGGUAUGUGUCAUGCUUUGAUUACCACUUGAGGAGAACAAGUGUGGCCCGAUCUUCCGAAAGGUUCUGGUAACUAUCGAUUUGGUGGAAUCGAGACACAAAUCAAUCCAGCUUGCGAACAACACGAUUCGAAACCCAACAAUUCUUUUUUAUUUUUUUUAUAUUUUUCUUUCACUUAGGAGCACUCAAGAAGUAACCAUAGGAAAUUUGAGCUUAAACAAGUGAAAGACGUGGCCUGUGGAAAUUUUUGGAAAUUGUGAAAAAUAUGAAAAAAACUUUUGGAGGUGAAAACUCAAACUUCAGAGGCGAAUUUGGGGAUUCUAAAAUUGUCAAACCCGUACACGGCGGGGAUAGACAGAUCCAAAAAUUUGGUUUGAUCGAUUUUGAUAUAUGGAACGUCAAAAUCGGAGUUCGUAUGCGGAAAUUAUGGCUGUUUUACGAACGGACUCUGAAUUAGAAGACAAAACGGUCCGGAAGUGGGAAAAAUUUGCGGCGGUGGCUAGAAAUUGAUGGAAACGGUGGGAAGAAGCACACAAAUUGGACUCUAACAAGACCUAACGAGUAACAAGACCUCGACUAGUACACAAACUCAACACUACGGACUGUGAAACUGAAAUAUGCAAAGGCUAUGGCGCGGAUGGGUUGUAGGACAUGAAAACAAUAUGGCACCAGACUUAUGGGACGAACACAAGGACACUCGAAAUUAAGGAUAGAUGUGAACCUAAUGGUAUGUAUAAAGCUUUGAUUACCACUUGAGGAGAAUAAGUGUGGCCCGAUCUUCCGAAAGGUUCUCAUAACUAUCGAUUUGGUGGAAACGAGACACAAAUCAAUCCAGCAUACGAACAACACGGUUUGAAACCCUGCAAUUCUUUUUAUUUAUUUUUUUUGAUAUUUUGCUUUUACUUAGGAGCACUCAAGAAGUAAGCACAGGAAAUUUGAGCUUAAACAAGUGAAAGACGUGGCUUGUGGAAUUUUUUGAAGAUUGCGAAAAAUAUAAAAAAAUUAGGAGGUGAAAACUCAAACUUCAGAGGCGAAUUUGGGGAUUCUAAAAUUACCGAACUAGCCUUUGGCUGAAAUAUGCGAAGGCUAUGGCGCGGAUGGGUUGUAGGACAUGAAAACAAUAUGCCACUAGACUUAUGGGACGAACACAAGGACACUCGAAACUAAGGGUAGAUGUGAACCUAAUGGUAUGUCUCAUGCUUUGAUUACCACUUGAGGAGAACAAGUGUGGCCUGAUCUUCCGAAAGGUUGUGGUAAAUAUCGAUCUGGUGGAAACGAGACACAAAACAAUCCAGCUUGCGGACAACACGAUUAAAAACCCUACAAUUCUUUUUAUUUUUUUAUAUUUUUCUUUUACUUAGGUGCACUCAAGAAGUAACCACAUGAAAUUUGAGCAUAAACAAGUGAAAGACGUGGCAUGUGGAAAUUUUUGAAAAUUACAAAAAAUAUGAAAAAAACUUUUAGAGGUGAAAACUCAAACUUCAGAGGCAAAUUUGGGGAUUCUAAAAUUGUCAAACCCGCACACGGCGAGGAUAGACUGAUCCAAAAAUUUGGUUUGAUCGAUUUGGAUAUAUGGAACGUCAAAAUCGGAGUUCGUAUGCAAAAAUUAUGGUUGUUUUACGAACGGACUCCGAAUAAGAAGACAAAACGGUCCGCAAGUGGGAAAAAUUUGCGGCGGUGGCUAGAAAUUGAUGAAAACGGUGGGAAAAAACACACAAACUGAACUCAAACAAGACCUAACCAGUAACAAGACCUCGACCAGGACACAAACUCAAAACUACGGACAAAGGCUAUGGCGCGGAUGGGUUGUAGGACAUGAAAACAAUAUGCCACUAGACUUAUGGGAUGAACACAAGGACACUCGAAACUAAGGGUAGAUGUGAACCUAACGGUAUGUCUCAUGCUUUGAUUACCACUUGAGGAGAACAAGUGUGGCCCGAUCUUCCGAAAGGUUCUGGUAACAAUCGAUUUGGUGGAAACGAGACACAAAUCAAUCCAGCUUGCAAACAACAUGAUUCGAAACCCUACAAUUCUUUUUAUUUUUUUAUAUUUUUCUUUUACUUAGGAGCACUCAAGAAGUAACCACAGGAAAUUGGAGCUUAAACAAGUGAAAGACGUGGCCUGUGGAAAUUUUUGAAAAUUGCGAAAAAUUUGAAAAAAACUUUUGGAGGUGAAAACUCAAACUUUAGAGGCGAAUUUGGGGAUUCUAAAAUUGUCAAACCCGCACACAGCGGGGAUAGACUGAUCCAAAAAUUUGGUUUGAUCGAUUUUGAUAUAUGGAACGUCAAAAUCGGAGUUCGUAUGCGAAAAUUAUGGCUGUUUUACGAACGAACUCCGAAUUAGAAUACAAAACGGUCCGCAAGUGGGAAAAAUUUGCGGCGGUGGCUAGAAAUUAAUGGAAACGGUGGGAAAAAACACACAAACUCGACUGAAACAAGACCUAACCAGUAACAAGACCUCGACCAGGACACAAACUCAACACUACGGACAAAGGCUAUGGCGCGGAUGGGUUGUAGGACAUGAAAACAAUAUGCCACUAGACUUAUGGGAUGAACACAAGGACACUCGAAACUAAGGGUAGAUGUGAACCUAACGGUAUGUGUCAUGCUUUGAUUACCACUUGAGGAGAACAAGUGUGGCCCGAUCUUCCGAAAGGUUCUGGUAACUAUCGAUUUGGUGGAAUCGAGACACAAAUCAAUCCAGCUUGCGAACAACACGAUUCGAAACCCAACAAUUCUUUUUUAUUUUUUUUAUAUUUUUCUUUCACUUAGGAGCACUCAAGAAGUAACCAUAGGAAAUUAGAGCUUAAACAAGUGAAAGACGUGGCCUGUGGAAAUUUUUGGAAAUUGUGAAAAAUAUGAAAAAAACUUUUGGAGGUGAAAACUCAAACUUCAGAGGCGAAUUUGGGGAUUCUAAAAUUGUCAAACCCGCACACGGCGGGGAUAGACAGAUCCAAAAAUUUGGUUUGAUCGAUUUUGAUAUAUGGAACGUCAAAAUCGGAGUUCGUAUGCGGAAAUUAUGGCUGUUUUACGAACGGACUCUGAAUUAGAAGACAAAACGGUCCGGAAGUGGAUAAAAUUUGCGGCGGUGGCUAGAAAUUGAUGGAAACGGUGGGAAGAAGCACACAAAUUGGACUCUAACAAGACCUAACGAGUAACAAGACCUCGACUAGUACACAAAUUCAACACUACGGACUGUGAAACUGAAAUAUGCAAAGGCUAUGGCGCGGAUGGGUUGUAGGACAUGAAAACAAUAUGCCACUAGACUUAUGGGACGAACACAAAGACACUCGAAACUAAGGGUAGAUGUGAACCUAACGGUAUGUCUCAUGCUUUGAUUACCACUUGAGGAGAACAAGUGUGGCCCGAUCUUCCGAAAGGUUCUCAUAACUAUCGAUUUGGUGGAAACGAGACACAAAUCAAUCCAGCUUACGAACAACACGGUUUGAAACCCUACAAUUCUUUUUUUUUUGAUAUUUUCCUUUUACUUAGGAGCACUCAAGAAGUAAGCACAGAAAAUUUGAGCUUAAACAAGUGAAAGACGUGGCUUGUGGAAUUUUUUGAAGAUUGCGAAAAAUAUAAAAAAAUUAGGAGGUGAAAACUCAAACUUCAGAGGCGAAUUUGGGGAUUCUAAAAUUACUGAACCUGCCUUUGGCUGAAAUAUGCGAAGGCUAUGGUGCGGAUGGGUUGUAGGACAUGAAAACAAUAUGGCACUAGACUUAUGGGACGAACACAAGGACACUCGAAACUAAGGGUAGAUGUGAACCUAAUGGUAUGUCUCAUGCUUUGAUUACCACUUGAGGAGAACAAGUGUGGCCCGAUCUUCCGAAAGGUUCUGGUAAAUAUCGAUCUGGUGGAAACGAGACACAAAUCAAUCCAGGUUGCAAACAACACGAUUCGAAACCCUACAAUUCUUUUUAUUUUUUUAUAUUUUUCUUUUACUUAGGAGCACUCAAGAAGUAACCACAUGAAAUUUGAGCUUAAACAAGUGAAAGACGUGGCAUGUGGAAAUUUUUGAAAAUUACAAAAAAUAUGAAAAAAACUUUUAGAGGUGAAAACUCAAACUUCAGAGGCAAAUUUGGGGACUAUAAAAUUGUCAAACCCACACACGGCGGGGAUAAACUGAUCCAAAAAUUUGGUUUGAUCGAUUUGGAUAUAUGGAACGUCAAAAUCGGAGUUCGUAUGCGAAAAUUAUGGUUGUUUUACGAACGGACUCCGAAUUAGAAGACAAAACGGUCCGCAAGUGGGAAAAAUUUGCGGCGGUGGCUAGAAAUUGAUGAAAACGGUGGGAAAAAACACACAAACUGGACUCAAACAAGACCUAACCAGUAACAAGACCUCGACCAGGACACAAACUCAACACUACGGACAAAGGCUAUGGCGCGGAUGGGUUGUAGGACAUGAAAACAAUAUGGCACUAGACUUAUGGGACGAACACAAAGACACUCGAAACUAAGGGUAGAUGUGAACCUAACGGUAUGUCUCAUGCUUUGAAUACCACUUGAGGAGAACAAGUGUGGCCCGAUCUUCCGAAAGGUUCUGGUAACUAUCGAUUUGGUGGAAACGAGACACAAAUCAAUCCAGCUUGCCAACAACACGAUUCGAAACCCUACAAUUCUUUUUAUUUUUUUAUAUUUUUCUUUUACUUAGGAGCACUCAAGAAGUAACCACAGGAAAUUGGAGCUUAAACAAGUGAAAGACGUGGCCUGUGGAAAUUUUUUAAAAUUGCGAAAAAUAUGAAAAAAAUUUUUGAGGUGAAAACUGAAACUUCAGAGAUGAAUUUGGGGAUUCAAAAAUUGUCAAACCCGCAUACGGCAGGGAUAGAUAGAUCCAAAAAUUUGUUCUGCUCGAUUUUGAUAUAUGGAACGUCAAAAUCGGAGUUCGUAUGCGAAAGUUAUGGCUGUUUUACGAACGGACUCCGAAUUAGAGGACAAAACGGUCCGGAAGUGGGAAAAUUUUGCGGUGGUGGCUAGAAAUUGAUGGAAACGGUGGGAAAAAACACAUAAAGUGGACUCAAACAAGACCUAACCAGUAACAAGACCUCGACCAGGACACAAACUCAACACUACAGACUCUGAAAUAUGCAAAAACUAUGGCGCGGAUGGUUUGUAGGACAUGAAAACAAUAUGGCACUAGACUUAUGGGAUGAACACAAGGACACUCGAAACUAAGGGUAGAUGUGAACCUAACGGUAUGUCUCAUCCUUUGAUUACCACUUGAGGAGAACAAGUGUGGCCCAAUCUUCCGAAAGGUUCUGGUAACCAUCGAUUUGGUGGAAACGAGACACAAAUCAAUCCAGCUUGCGAACAACACCAUUCGAAACCCUACAAUUCUUUUUAUUUUUUUUAUAUUUUUCUUUUACUUAGGAGCACUCAAGAAGUAACCAUAGGAAAUUUGAGCUUAAACAAGUGAAAGACGUGGCCUGUGAAAAUUUUUGAAAAUUGCGAAAAAUCUGAAAAAAAACUUUUGGAGGUGAAAACUCAAACUUCAGAGGUGAAUUUGGGGAUUCUAAAAUUGUCAAACCCGCAAACGUCGGGGAUAGACAGAUCCAAAAAUUUGGUUUGAUCGAUUUUGAUAUAUGGAACGUCAAAAUCAGAGUUCGUAUGCGAAAAUUAUGGCUGUUUUACGAACGGACUCUGAAUUAGAAGACAAAACGGUCCGGAAGUGGGAAAAAUUUGCGGCGGUGGCUAGAAAUUGAUGGAAACGGUGGGAAGAAGCACAAAAAUUGGACUCUAACAAGACCUAACGAGUAACAAGACCUCGACUAGGACACAAACUCAACACUACGGACUGUGAAACUGAAAUAUGCAAAGGCUAUGGCGCAGAUGGGUUGUAGGACAUGAAAACAAUAUGGCACCAGACUUAUGGGACGAACACAAGGACACUCGAAAUUAAGGGUAGAUGUGAACCUAAUGGUAUGUAUAAAGCUUUGAUUACCACUUGAGGAGAAUAAGUGUGGCCCCAUCUUCCGAAAGGUUCUCAUAACUAUCGAUUUAUUGGAAACGAGACACAAAUCAAUCCAGCUUACGAACAACACGGUUUGAAACCCUGCAAUUCUUUUUAUUUUUUUUGAUAUUUUGCUUUUACUUAGGAGCACUCUAGAAGUAAGCACAAGAAAUUUGAGCUUAAACAAGUGAAAGACGUGGCUUGUGGAAUUUUUUGAAGAUUGCGAAAAAUAUAAAAAAAUUAGGAGGUGAAAACUCAAACUUCAGAGGCGAAUUUGGGGAUUCUAAAAUUACCGAACCUGCCUUUGGCGGAGAUAGACAGAUCCGUUCUGAUCCAUUUUGAUAUAUGGAACGUCAAAAUCGGAGUUCGUAUGCGAAAGUUAUGGCUGUUUUACGAACGGACUCCGAAUUAGAGGACAAAACGGUCCGGAAGUGGGAAAAAUUUGUGGUGGUGGCUAGAAAUUGAUGGAAACGGUUGGAAAAAACACACAAACUGGACUCAAACAAGACCUAACCAGUAACAUGACCUCGACCAGGACACAAACUCAACACUACGGACUCUGAAACUGAAAUAUGCGAAGGCUAUGGCACGGAUGGGUUGUAGGACAUGAAAACAAUAUGGCACUAGACUUAUGGGAUGAACACAAGGACACUCGAAACUAAGGGUAGAUGUGAACCUAAUGGUAUGUCUCAUGCUUUGAUUACCACUUGCGGAGAACAAGUGUGGCCCGAUAUUUCGAAAGGUUCUGGUAAAUAUCGAUCAGUUGGAAACGAGACACAAAUCAAUCCAGCUUGCGAACAACACGAUUCGAAACCCUACAAUUCUUUUUAUUUUUUUUAUAUUUUUCUUUUACUUAGGAGCACUCGAGAAGUAACCACACAAAAUUUGAGCUUAAACAAGUGAAAGACGUGGUGAAAACUCAAAUUUUCAGAGGCCAAUUUGGGGAUUCUUUAUUUCUCGAACCCGCCUAUGGCAGGGAUAGACAGAUCCAGAAAAAAAUUCUGAUCGAUUUUGAUAUAUGGAACGUUAAAAUCGGAGUUCGUAUGCGAAAGUUAUGACUGUUUUACGAACGGAUUCCGAAUUAGAGGAGAAAACGGUGCGGAAGUGGGAAAAAUUUGCGGUGGUGGCUAGAAAUUGAUGGAAACGGUGGGAAAAAACACAGAAACUGGACCUAACCAGUAACAAGACCUCGACCAGGACACAAACUCAACACUACGGACUCUGAUACUAAAAUAUGCAAAGGCUAUGGCGCGGAUGGGUUGUACGACAUGAAAACAAUAUGGCACUAGACUUAUGGGACGAACACAAGGACACUCGAAACUAAGGGUAGAUGUGAACCUAACGGUAUGUUUGAUGCUUUGAUUACCACUUGAGGAGAACAAGUGUGGCCCGAUCUUCCGAAAGGUUCUGGUAACUAUUGAUUUACUGGAAACGAGACACAAAUCAAUCCAGCUUGCGAACAACACGAUUCGAAACCCUACCAUUCUUUUUAUUUUUUUGAUAUUUUUCUUUUACUUAGGAGCACUCAAGAAGUAACCAUAGGAUAUUUGAGGUUAAACAAGUGAAAGAUGUGGCAUGUGGAAUUUUUUGAAGAUUGCAAAAAAUAUGAAAAAAAACUUUAGGAGGUGAAAACUCAAACUUCAGAGGCGAAUUUGGGGAUUCUAAAAUUAUCAAACCUGCCCAUGGCGGGGAUAGAUAGAUCCAAAUUUUUUUUGAUCCAUUUUGAUAAAUGUAACGUUAAAAUCAGAGUUCGUAUGUGAAAGUUAUGGCUGUUUUACGAACGGACUCCGAGUUAGAGGACAAAAUGGUCCGAAAGUGGGUAAAAUUUGCGGCAGUGGCUAGAAAUUGAUGGAAACGGUGGGAAGAAACACACAAAUAGGACUCUAACAAGACUGUUGAUAGUCCUUAAGUAUCAAAUUUAAUUAUCAAAUAAACAAAGAAAAGGAUCCAAAUGAAAUCAACAUCUAGACUUAGGGUUUUAUCUGACAGAAUUCCACGAGUUUUGGUUUUUGUCUAUUUCUGCAGGGGGUUAUGAGGAAAUACGGAAGAAAGGCCCACACAUCGGGAUUACAUAGAGAUAUCAAUGUGCCGCACUAUUAUCUUACAUCUAUAAGACUCCAGAAGCCACGGGAAGGAAGCGGAGGCCGAACGGGGCCAGGCACUGGGCGCCCGCCCAGUUGACCUGGGCGCCCGCCCCCUCCUGGAGUCCAAACAGGACUCUCUUUUGGGAAAGAUCUCCAUCGACCUAAAGGAUCAAGGAUAACCGUUCAAUCUAUGUCGGUUUGAUCCAACGACCCAUAUUCACUUGAAGGGACUAUAAAACCAGACCCCCUGGCCCCUGGAGGAGAGAGCCUCUCAACCCUAAUUCAUUAUUCCUCAAGGGAGAAGAAGCCACUGAUCAAGAUUAGAGCCACCACAUCAAUUAGACAUCUAGAUUAGCAUAGCUACAUAGGAUUAGAACUAGAAGGAGUCAAUCUUUGAUUCGUUUCCGGAUCUGUCAAAAAGAUUCUUGGUAAUUCUCUAAUUGUGCUUCUAAUUGUUCUUCUAAUUAUCUUUGUUCUUCAAUAUUAUGAAUAUGACUUUGUUCUACUUCAAUAUAUUGCUUAUGACUUUGCUCUACUUGUUUAUAUUCAAGAUUAUAUUGUUCUUAGUUUAUCAUAGUUAUAUACUUGGCUUAGUUAGAUUGGAUCUGUAUAAAUGUUUAUGAUCCAUGGGUAAAUGAUAGAUAUUGUGUAGGCGUGGUGCUUAUACCGUAUUUAUCUACGAUUGUACCCAAUAUGACAGAUCGUGGGGUAGUUCGUGAUAGUUACAGCUUCAUUGAUUCUUAUAUAGUUCCCCUCUCGUGUAUAAUACAGGGGAGUGAUUGCUAUGUUUUUCAUUUACCUUGCAAAUAUCACUAUGCAUGGGCAUAGUCUUGUCUCGCAAUGAUUGCUAAGUAUGCUUGCACUAACUAUGAUAAUGCUAGACUAUAUAGUUGAGAAUAACUUAGGAAAUAUUCUUGUAGUUCGUUCUAAUACCAUGCUAAUGACUUUCUAGAGUAUCUAAUUGAGGUGCUUAUCAUAUUUAUAUGUGGCUAAGUUAUGCUGAUCAGAUUAAUUAUCUUUGUCACUAUUCAUUACUUCAUAUAUCUUUUAUGUGACACUUAUCCCUGUAUGAAAGAGUUAGAUAAAUGUUCUCAAUUAUACAUGCAAUGAUAGAUACUCAAUCUCAUAUUCCAUUCUGUAAUCAAUAUUGAUGAUUGUUAAUCCUUCCCAGUGGUAAAAAUAUAAAUAACGAUACCUGGACUACUUCCCGGUUAAAAUGCUACCUCGGUAUUAAUCUGUGCGCAUGCAGAUCCCAUUCAUUAUUUAUUUAGAAGAGCAAUUGCAUAUUUCAAUACCGCUCUCUUAUAUCAUGCUGGGGAUGACAGCUUGGCUUAAGUGGUAUGAGAGAUAGGUUUGGCAUUUUUGGCACCGUUAUCAGAAUUAGAAAACUAAGUCUACUUUUGGUAAUGAUGUUAAGAAUACCCAACAAGCAUUUUUGGCGCCGUUGCCGGGGAAGGUUGAUUACUAAUCAGGAAUGAAUUUAAGAUUUCGAGUUAUCAUUCGCAUCACUAAUAUGAUUGAGCUUAUCAAUUCUCUCAUACAGUUUUACCCCGAUAUUUUCUAUUUUAUCUUAUGCAGGGGAAUGUAUGAAUAGAAGACAUCUUCCAGGAAAUUUUGUUGAUAAUCCCGAAGCCUUAUUCAGAAAAAACUAGAGCCAAGCUCAAGAAGAGAUCAUCAACACUACAGCAAGAAGCUUCAUCCAAUCAAGAAGAUCACCGGAACUUGUCUUCAGAGUUCGAAGCCAUGGCGAACAAAUCAAUCUGCGAGUUCUCAGCUCCCACUACGGACAACAUCCGCACUGGACCUGCUGCAGAGAUCGAUGGCAACUUUGAGCUCAAGCCUAGACUUAUCAACAUGGUGCAAUCCAACCAGUUCUGUGGGAAGGCACACGAAGAUGCUAGUGCUCAUCUCCAACACUUCCUGGAGAUAUGCAGCACAUUUACCAUAUCAGGAGUUUCCAGAGAUGCUAUACUACUUCGCAUCUUCCCAUUCUCACUGUUAGGAAGAGCGAAGCAGUGGUUUUACGCUACAAAGGAGAAGAAUACUACAUGGGCACUCUGCUCAACAAACUUCCUGGCUAAGUUCUUUCCCAUGGGCAAGACCAAUGCUCUUCGUGGGAAGAUUACAAGUUUUCAGCAACAAAAUGAUGAAUCCGUUCCAGAAGCAUGGGAGCGCUUCCAAGACUACAUCCUAGAAUGUCCCCAUCAUGGAAUGGAGAGUUGGCUACUGAUGCAAACAUUUUAUCAUGGGCUCGGCAACAGUGCCCGAGAGACCAUGGAUGCUGCAGCUGGAGGAGCAUUCCUAUCACUUACCAUAUCACAAGCCACAGCUCUUGUGGAGAAGAUGGCGUCCAACCAAAGCUGGAAUGAAGAAAGGACCCAGACACGCAAGAGAGGUGGAGGUAUGCAUCAGCUCAAGGAGGUAGACAUGCUAUCUGCAAAGCUAGACCUGCUCAUGAAGAAGCUCGAUGAUAGAGCUGGAGAUAAGAAAGAAGUUAUGCACAUCUACGACUCUCACAUGACUUGUGAGGAGUGUGGAGACACUAGGCACUCAGGCAAUCACUGCCCUGAGAUGCUUGAGGAUGUGAAUUACAUCAUCAUCAUCAUCAACAACAACAACAACAACUACAACCGUCCUCAACAAAAUCAAGGUUCGAAUCAACAGAGGCCUAACUACUCAGGUAAUUAUCAAGGUAACAAUUCUUACAACAAUAAUAAUAAUUUUCCACCUCUGAGAGAGUUAGUGUCUAAUCAAGGAAAGCUAAUGGACAACCUGUCUAAGAAAUUGGCAUCUAAUGAUAAAAUGCUGGAAAAUAUAAAUAAUAGAAUGGAUAAUUUCUCUACUGCCAUCAAGAAUCAAAUUAGCUUUAAUAAAAUGAUUGAAUCUCAGUUAAAUCAAAUAGCUGCUGCUAUUCCUACUACUAACCUCGGUAUACCAUCACAAUCGGAAGGAUUAGAACCUGCAAAUCUUGUAGACAUGUUUGAUGCAGGUAGUAACUGGAGUAACCCCGUCACUGAGUUCACUACUGACCUUCUGCUGGUCAAGAGAGGCGAUCCAGGACGCCCCGUCAUCCCGAUCUCCAUCGGCAUGGUGGACGUCCCAGAAGCACUCUGCGACUUUGGCUCUAGCGUCAACAUUAUACCCAGAGUACUCUAUGAAAAAUUCUACACAUAUCCUUUAUUAUAGACAACCAUGUGUUUGUAGUUUGCAGAUCGGGCAUUAAGUUUUCCAAAAGGAAUAUUGAAGAACCUUUGCGUUCGAGUUGGUACCUUAUAUGCCCCAGCAGACUUCAUGGUGAUAGAGACCGGUAAUGAUGAAAGGGCACCCAUCAUCUUAGGGAGGCCAUUCUUAAACACCUCAGGAGCUGUCAUCUACGCUAGUGCUGCCAAGAUUAGUUUCUACAUUAAAGGGAGGAAGGAGACAUUUUCCUUCAAGAACAAGACUACACAAAUCCCAGAUCAAUCUAGAUGUGAAUCAAGGAAGAGGACCAACAGGAGGAACAGGAACAAGCAAGUGUGGACCGAGUCAGCCAAGAUGGUCACUGCAAUUCAAGGAGGUCAAGAUCAUCAAAUUAAGUCACUGUUUUUGACCAAGAAGGACGACCCAGGAAUGCCAAGCAUCUAUUGCUCCAUAAAUGGAUACAACUUCUACAAGACGACUUGCGACACCGGAUCGAGCGUCAACAUAAUGGCCGCAGUCACCUAUCGGCUCUUUUUCGGAACCAUGCCAUUAAAACCAACAUACAUUCAACUCCAGAUGGCAGAUCAGACAUUUCGAGAAGUUAAAGGAACAGUAACUGAUGUCCCUGUCAAAAUAGACGAUCAUUUUGUCUACACAGACUUUCAGGUUAUUGACAUGGGAGAAGACGAGUACGAUCCACCCAUCAUCCUUGGAAGACCGUUCCUCAGCACCGUUAAAGCAAUCAUCUACAUUGGAACCAGAGAAGUCCAUAUGCACUUCCCCUGAGAGAAGGUACGCCGCUAUUUUACUGACCCUAACUAUAUCGUUGAAGACUCUAAGCAGGUCAGAAAACGACGCAAUCGCAACCAGAGGAGGGAAAUCAUCAAGGACGGAUGGGCAGACUAUGAAGGAGAAGUUGUAAGGUCAGAAGACGUACAGUUUAAACAGAAUUAUCCUGAGGAGACCGUAGCACCGAGUCAGGUGUGGAAAGAAAAGAUAACUAUACAUGAAGAAGAGGCGCCGCCAGAAGUACCGACUACGCCACCCAACGAAUCCCAGGACAAUUGAGAAAACGGAGAGUCCCGUUCGGAGGACUUAAAAACACUGAACGCCUUGCCAAGAGGUAAACUUGGUAGUUAUCCUUUUCCUUUCAAUUAUUUUAAAAUAGUUUGCUUAGUUAAUUAUGUUAAUACCAUCCUAAAAAGAAAAUAAAAAUGUUAAAAAACAGUAAGCCCCAUGUGAGUAUAUGAGUGGCAUGAAACCUAUAAGUACAUUCACUGUGGUGGCAUAAAAAUUAAAAUAAAUAUUUCUUUUCUGCUUUAUAAAAUGAAAAUAUAAAAAAGGGAGUAAUAUUUAUUAAGGAGCCUCAACAUGAUAAAGGCUAGAUAUUUAUGCUAACACUUAAUCAGUUCCACAAAGCUUUGUUGUCUAUUUGAGCUCCACAGAAUUUAAGAAUCGGGAAGACUAGCAGACGGAGGACAUUCUAAUCGCUGUCAAGAUACUGCCGACUUUCAAAUACACCUCUGCCACCUGCUAGCUACAUCAAGAGAAAUUACAUCAAAAUUCAGCUUGGGGGAGAGCACCCCCAUUUAUCUCGCUAAGUAUUUCUAACUAUCUUUAUACUUAUAUUAUAUGAAAAUAUAAAUAUACAUAGUUAUGGAAAACCAAAUAAAGAUUUUAUGCUUAUAUAUAUAUAGCUUUUGCUUAGUGUGUUUAAUAAAUAAAUAAAGUGGCUAUGCUAAUCUGAAUCUUAAUAAUAAAACUCUAGCAUGGGUAUAAUGAAUAGUUGCUCUGCCUAAUUUUUAAAAUUUUGAAGUUCUCUCUCAAGUUUAGACAUAAUUGUUAUAAUUUAAAUCUUGCUCUAAACCUAAACUUGUGGGAAGAAAACUUGAUCUGAAGUCUAAGUUGUUAACAGAUAUGAUAUGGGAAGGUUGAGCUGCUGUUUCUGUUCCUAGAAAUGCUAGAAUUCUGGAGAAUUUUAUCUUUGAAAAAUCUUUAAAAUAUUGCAUGAUGAGUUCCUGUAUGAUGAGAGUUUAAAUUCCUACCACAGCCAUAUAUACAUGCUUGCUAGACUUUGAGCCACACAUUUACUUUUUACUGCUUAUGAGCAUUGAGUGUGGUCAAGCUGUUUAGACCCUUAGGAACUUGUCAUGUGGUUUAAAUCAAGAUUCACUUGCACGUUCACUCACAUAUGCUACUUCUACUCCGGAAGUACCAUCCACAUAUAUCCAGUCAUUUCCUUCUCCAUAACCACCCAAAAACACUCUACUCCUAAUCCGGGAGAGAAUAGCCAAAAACAUUUCUGUUUUCCCCUGUGAAAUAAAUGCUCAAAUUAUCUUGUUACUACCACUUGCUAUAUUAUCUCAAGAGAUGAGUGCUCUAAAAAGAGAAAAGAAAAGAUACGAGGAAAUAAAAAGGGGCAAGUGCCCGGAACCUCGAAAGAAAAGAAAAGUGAGACGAGAGGUAACAAUGGAUAAGUGUCUGACAGUAGAAUUAGGGGUACAAGAUACCUACCUGAGAGGAAAGAAAAAGAAAAAUAUAAAGCAUCUCAUUCUCCUCACAAAGUUUCAAAAAGCAAGGAAGGUAUGUAUCCCCUCAAAGAGCAAAAGUAGAAUUAGACUUUCACCAUUGUUAUCACCAUCAUCACCAUACACCAUUCAUUCACCACACAUGCACAUCUUGAUUUGACUUAUUGAUUUGUUUCUUUGGAUCCAUGGUUUGACUAUGUAAUAAAUGUCUUGUAAGUAUGUAUACUUUAUCUCCCACCUAUGAGCUCCAGAUAUCAAAAGCCUUAUUAGAGUAGGGUGAGAGAGAAGGCAAUGUCACUAUGCUUUAUACUACAAAUACCACAUAUUUGGAGAGAAGGCAUAUACCAUCACUGCCUUGGUAAGGAUCCAGAAAUACUACAAAAGAGAGUUAUGAGAGAGUCAUACAAGGAAUCUCUGAGUUUUAUUUGAAAAUCUGCAAAAACUCCAGAGCUAUAGCUGAUCAAGAAUAAGAGACAUGGCACUUGACUAGACUGUUCUAUCUUUUAACUACUCAAGACAGAAGAGACGAUUACAAGUCCCAUGGUGAAAGGUAAAGUAAGUAAGUUUUAAGUCUUGACAGUUUACUCUAACUCAGAGAUGGGAUCUUAUUUAGAAGCAUGUGUACCGACAACUUUUAAAGAUAUUGCAACAACUUCUGAUCCAUCACUGAGUCUAUCCUUGCUCAGGGACGAGCAAGAGGUAAGCAUGGGGGAGUUUGUUGACGGUCCUUAAGUAUCAAAUUUAAUUAUCAAAUAAACAAAGAAAAGGUUCCAAAUGAAAUCAACAUCUAGACUUAGGUUUUAUCUGACAGAAUUCCACGAGUUUUGGUGUUUGUCUAUUUCUGCAGGGGGUUAUCAGGAAAUACGGAAGAAAGGCCCACACGUCGGGAUUACAUAGAGAUAUCAAUGUGCCGCACAAUUAGCUUACAUCUAGAAGACUACAGAAGCCACGGGAAGGAAGCGGAGGCCGAACGGGGCCAGGCACUGGGCGCCCGCCCAGUUGACCUGGGCGCCCGCCCCUCCUGGAGUCCAAACAGGACUCUCUUUCGGGAAAGAUCUCCACCGACCCAUGUUCAAGGAUAACUGUUCAAUCUAUCUCGGUUUGAUCCAACGGCCCAUAUUCACUUGAAGGGACUAUAAAACCAGACCCCCUAGCCCCUGGAGGAGAGAGCCUCUUAACCCUAAUUCAUUAUUCCUCAAGGGAGAAGAAGCCUCUGAUCAAGAUUAGAGCCACCACAUCAAUUAGACAUCUAGAUUAGCAUAGCUACAUAGGAUUAGAACUAGAAGGAGUCAAUCUUCGAUUGGUUUCCGGAUCUAUCAAGAGGAUUCUUGGUAAUUCUCUAAUUGUGCUUCUAAUUGUUCUUCUAAUUAUCUUUGUUCUUCAAUAUUAUGAAUAUGACUUUGUUCUACUUCAAUAUAUUGCUUAUGACUUUGCUCUACUUGUUUAUAUUCAAGAUUAUAUUGUUCUUAGUUUAUCAUAGUUAUAUACUUGGCUUAGUUAGAUUGGAUCUAUAUACAUGUUUAGGAUCCAUGGGUAAAUGAUAGAUAUUGUGUAGGCGUGGUGCUUAUACCGUAUUUAUCUGCGAUUGUACCCAAUAUGCCAGAUCGUGGGGUAGUUCGUGCUAGUGACAGCUUCAUUGAUUCUUAUAUAGUCCCCCUCUCGUGUAUUGGGCUGGCAGAGCAACAUUAUUACAAGAGAGUGAUUGCUAUGUUUCUCAUUUACCUUGCUAAUAUCACUAUGCAUGGGCGUAGUCUUGUCUCGCAAUGAUUGCUAAGUAUGCUUGCACUAACUAUGAUAAUGCUAGACUAUAUAGUUGAGAAUAACUUAGGAAAUAUUCUUGUAGUUCGUUCUAAUACCAUGCUAAUGACUUUCUAGAGUAUCUAAUUGAGGUGCUUACCAUAUUUAUAUGUGGCUAAGUUAUGCUGAUCAGAUUAAUUAUCUUUGUCACUAUUCAUUACUUCAUAUAUCUUUUAUGUGACACUUAUCCCUGUAUGAAAGAGUUAGAUAAAUGUUCUCAAUUAUACAUGCAAUGAUAGAUACUCAAUCUCAUAUUCCAUUCUAUAAUCAAUAUUGAUGAUUGUUAAUCCCUUCCCAGUGGUAAAAAUAUAAAUAACGAUACCUGGAAUACUUCCCAGUUAAAAUGCUACAUCGGUAUUAAUCUGUGUGCUUGCAGAUCCCAUUCAUUAUUUAUUUAGAAGAGCAAUUGCAUAUUUCAAUACCGCGUCUCUUAUGUCAUGAUGGGGAUGACAACUUGGCUUAAGUGGUAUGAGAGAUAGGUUUGGCAUUUUUGGCACCGUUAUCAGAAUUAGAAAACUGAGUCUACUUUUGGUAAUGAUGUUAAGAAUACCCAACAAAAACCUAACCAGUAACAAGACCUCGAUCAGGACACAAACUCAACACUACGGACUCUGAAACUAAAAUAUGCAAAAGCUAUGGCGCGGAUGGGUUGUAGGACAUGAAAACAAUAUGGCACUAGACUUAUGGGACGAACACAAGGACACUCGAAACUAAGGGCAGAUGUGAACCUAAUAGUAUGUCUGAAGCUUUGAUUACCACUUGAGGAGAACAAGUUUGGCCCGAUCUUCUAAAAGGUUCUGGUAACUAUCGAUUUGGUGGAAACGAGACACAAAUCAAUCCAGCUUGCAAACAACAUGAUUCGAAACCCUACAAUUCUUUUUAUUUUUUUUUAUAUUCUUCUUUAUUUAGGAGCACUCAAGAAGUAACCACAGGAGAUUUGAGCUUAAAACAAAGAAAGACGUGGCCUGUGGAAUUUUUUGAAGAUUGCGAAAAAUAUGAAAAUAAAGUUUAGGAGGUGAAAACUCAAAUUUUCUGAGGCGAGUUUGGGAAUUCAAAUUUGUCAAACCCGCCUAAGGCGGGGAUAGACAGAUCCAAAAUUUUUUUCUAAUCUAUUUUGAUAUAUGGAAUGUCAAAAUCGGAGUUCGUAUGCGAAAGUUAUGGCUGUUUUACGAACAGACUCUGAAUUAGAGGACAAAACGGUGCGGAAGUGGGAAAAAAUUUGCGGCGGUGGCUAGAAAUUGAUGGAGACAGUGGGAAGAAACACACAAAUUGGACUCUAACAAGACCUAACCAGUAACAAGACCUCGACCAGGACACAAACUCAACACUACGGAUCUGAAACUGAAAUAUGCAAAGGCUAUGGCGCGGAUGGGUUGUAGGACAUGAAAACAAUAUGACACUAGACUUAUGGGACAAACACAAGGACACUCAAAACUAAGGGUAGAUGUGAACCUAACGGUACGUCUGAUGCUUUGAUUACCACUUGAGGAGAACAAGUGUGGCCCGAUCUUCCAAAAGGUUCCGGUAACUAUCGAUUUGGUGGAAACGAGACACAAAUCAAUCCAGCUUGAGAACAACACGAUUCAAAACCCUACAAUUCUUUUUAUUUUUUUCUGAUAUUUUUCUUUUACUUAGGAGCACUCAAGAAGUAACCAAAGGAAAUGAGCUUAAACAAGUGAAAGAUGUGGCUUGUGGAAUUUUUUGAAGAUUGCAAAAAAUAUGAAAAAAAAACUUUAGGAGGUGAAAACUCAAACUUCAGAGGCGAAUUUGGGGAUUCUAAAAUUGUCGAACCCGCCCGUGACAGGGAUAGACAGAUCCAAAUUUUUUUUGAUCGAUUUUGAUAUACGGAACGUAAAAAUUGGAGUUCUUAUGUGAAAGUUAUGGCUGUUUUACGAACGGACUCCGAAUUAGAGGACAAAACGGUCCGGAAGUGAGAAACAUUUGUGGCGGUGGAUAGAAAUUGAUGGAAAUGGUGGGAAGAAACACACAAAUUGGACUCUAACAAGACCUAACCAGUAACAAGACCUCGACCAGGACACAGACUCAACACUACGGUCUCUGAAACUGAAAUAUGCAAAGGCUAUGCCGCGGAUGGGUUGUAGGACAUGAAAACAAUAUGGCACUAGACUUAUAGGGCGAACACAAGGACACUCGAAACUAAAGGUAGAUGUGAACCUAACGGUAUGCCUGAAGCUUUGACGUGGCCCGAUCUUCUGAAAGGUUCUGCUAACUAUCGAUUUGGUAGAAACGAGACACAAAUGAAUCCAGCUUGUGAACAACACGAUUCGAAACCCUACAAUUCUUUUUAUUUUUUUAUAUUUUUAUUUUACUUAGGAGCACUCAAGAAGUAACCACAGGAAAUUUGAGCUUAAACAAGUGAAAGACGUGGCCUGUGGAAUUUUUUGAAGAUUGCGAAAAGUAUGAAAAAAAACUUUAAGAGGUGAAAACCCAAACUUCAGAGGUGAAUUUGGGGAUUCCAAAAUUGUCGAACCCGCCUAUGGUGGAGACAGACAGAUCCAAAAAAAAUUUUCUGAUCGAUUUUGAUAUAUAGAAUGUAAAAAUCGGAGUUCAUAUGCGAAAGUUAUGGCUGUUUUACGAACGGACUCUGAAUUAGAGGAAAAAAUGGUCUGGAAGUGGGAAAAAUUUGCGGCGGUGGCUAGAAAUUGAUGGAAACGUGUCAACGAAAGCUAGUCGGCAGUCUACCUUGGGGUAUACCCACGGUAGUAGUUUAUCGGUAGACGGUGCGCAAGCUACGAACUUGAUGGUGACGCAAGACACGGACAAGGUUUUUAUCUUGGUUCGGCCGCCGUGAGGGCGUAAUACCUACGUCCUGCGUCUGAUUGUAUUGGAUUGUGUUGAGAGAAUAAUCUAUCCUAAGGGGGGUCCCUUGCCCUCCUUAUAUAGUCCGGAGGGCAGGGUUACAGAUCUAGAAACCAAUCCUAGUCGGUUACAAUUGCCAUAGAUAGUACGAUAUCAAUUCCUAUUCUAACCCACCAGAAUCCGGCUUGAUCUCCACGUCCUGUUUCCUUGCGCAAAACUCCAAGCAGUUGGAUCAAGCCUCGAACUGUCCUCGUGAUGGGCCAAGCCUUCUGGCCCAAGACUAGCCGUAAGGGUAUAAGGGUUUAUACCCCCACAGCUAGUCCCCGAGCACCAUGUAUUAUGAUGUUACACGUCGUCUUGAGCUUCUUCGAUCAGUGAGGCUUGACGUCUUCAAUAGGAAGGAAAGUCGCCAAAUAGUUGCAACGGUAUUUUGACCAACUCAAAAGACAGUUGAUCAACAUUGACAUCGAAGAAGCAGGUUUUUCGAAGAAUGCAUGGUGCUCUAAAUUAAAAAAGAUUUAUUUCCUAGUGAAGUGUGCCCACUUUACUUUUCUGAAAAGUAUAGACCUCAAAAAAGCAAGCAUAUUCACCGCAAGGUGAAGUGUGCCCACUUAGUCUCCGAGCCUGAUAGUAGGUGGCGUAGACACAUGGUGCCAGGUUCAAAAAGAUCUUCAUAGAAAUUUCAAAACUGUGAUGCAUCGCGAGAUGCAUCGUACCGAUGUAGUCCUUGAGCUUGCUGGAAAGCGAAGCAUGAACCUUGUAGCAAGGUCUAAAAAUUAAAUUUACCAGUCCCUGAGCAUAUUAGGUACGUCUGCGAAUAGACUAAUCGACCAGUCCCCUUACUCUUCAAAUUUGUGUGCUGAUCAACCAGUCCCCGAGCAUACAGUGCUCGGUGGUCGGUACAGUCCCCAUGACUUCAAAUUGAUGGGCUGGUCGACCAGUCCCCGAGCGUACUGUGCUCGGUGGUCGGUACAAUCCCCAGGACUUCAAAUUGAUGGGCUGGUCGACCAGUCCACGAGCGUACUGUGCUUGGUGGUCGGUACAAUCCCCAGGACUUCAAAUUGAUGGGCUGGUCGACCAGUCCCCGAGCGUACUGUGCUCGGUGGUCGGUAUAGGCCCCAGGUGUGUUACGCGUAAUCCUCCACCAAUUAUAUUUGUCUUUUGGAAAAAGUAUCCUGCCACAUUAAUGUGUGAUGUGACAAGACACCCUGACCUAUUGCCAAAUAGUUGCGUGAAAAGGUGCGCCGGGUAACUGUGCAGCCGCUCUUUGCGUUGUUCAAGAAAAAGAAACCAUCAAUUAUAUAGGAAAGCCCCCGUAUUAACUGCCGGUAAUUAUUGAAAACCGAAACGCCGCAUCCGCCGCAGGAGCCGCCCACUUCCCAAGAAUGUGGGAAAUGGAAGAGGUGGAGCCGUUGCCUAUAAAGACUCUACACCACGCCCGUAAUCUUUUACCCUGCCUUGGCCUUCAAACCUUCUAUCCUUGCCAUUUCUGCCUUCUGCAACCUCCAUCUCUAAUCGUCCAACUCACAAUCGCUUCCGCAGCGUCCAUGGCUAAGAGUGACUCGAAGAAGAGGGUUUAACUGAUGGCAAAGGAGUGGAAGAAGUCCCGGAGCAGCACGAGGUCACUCAACGACCUCGUCGGAAUGGGGCUACUUCACAGUCAAGAACUCUAUGGCUGGAGGUCGCCGGAAGGGCAAAGCUACCCCGACCCUCGUGCCGGUGAGAUUGUAGUUUUUGAAGAUUUUUUCAAGAGGGGCUUUGGGAUUCCUGUCCACCCUUUCCUCCAGGGUCUUCUUCUUUACUAUGAGGUCGGGAUCUGCAAUCUGCACCCGAACUCAAUUCUUCAUUUCUCCACCUUUAUUCAUCUGUGCGAGGCCAAUGUUAGAAUAGAGCCGCACUUCGACCUCUUUCGUUACCUUUUUUGUCUGUGGAAGGAAGGAGCAGUUGGAGGCUCCAAGAUUGCAGGUGGAGUAUACCUCAAUCUUCGUGAUGGGAUGAAGAACCGGUAGCUCAACUGCCCAUGGAACACUUCCCUCACUGAAUGGUACAAGAAGUGGUUCUAUAUCAGGGAAGAGCCGGGCAGCUCCACGUUCUGUGACAUGGGCUACAUCCCCGAGAAGAGGGUCAGCUGGACGGACCACCCGGACUUCACUAGUCAGGUGACCGACCCGAUGAAACUGAUCAACUAGUCCCGCUUAGACGGGCCAGGAGUGGUCGGUAACUUUAUUUGUCGUCGGGUGAUGCCCUGCCAGAGGAGGGUACACUCGGCAUACGAGUACGCGGGGAGCCAGGACCCGACCAGGAUGAGCCCUGAUGGUCUAGAGAAGGCAGAGGUGCAGCAGCUGAUGAACGAGUUGUUCAACUUUACAGACGACAACUUCGUUCGAAGCAGUGAUCGUAUGCAUGCCUUCAAGCUAGGGCGACCAGCUCCUAAGGUAAAUAAAUAAUGUUUUUGACUAGUAUUGCUUGUUGAGUACUUGGCCUCCGAAUUGAUGACUUGUCGUUGAUUCUUCUGCAGAUUGGAGACGUUGACCGGUGCGUAGUGUACGUGUCACUGGCACCUGGUAUGGAAAAUCCUGCGGGGAUGGACCCGCUAGAGGAUGACGCUGUCCCGCCCCGACCACCGAGGAUAGGGUAGCGGGGAAAUGGCCACUGGUAGUGGAUCAGUUCCCUACGGAGGCGUUGCCGGCAGAGAGCAGCCAAGCACCGAAGCGUCGUCGGCUAGUCAGGAUCGCCGACAACGAGGAGGAGGAGGAGGCGGCACCCUCUUUGGUUCAAAGGCCGCGCACUCGUCUGGACGUUGCGCCGGUCACCACUGGUCGGAUGACCAGCGAUCCUCCUACCCCACACGCCGAGCCGACGCGUGUUGGAGAGACAAGGGCAGCGGUGGCGACCGGUAGGACCAGGAGGAGGUUCUUUACAGCGACGCACAGGCGCUUCGAUCUGUAAGUUGUCUAAUCUUAAUUUCACACUUCGAUAUAUUUUGCGUUUUGCUGCUGCUACUUCUGACAUUGGUUAAAUGUCGCAUUUUUGUUAGCGCGGCGUCGGACGUUGACCCUGACAACAUUGCUAGCCGGGGGACGGCCAAGCCCGUGGUUGUCGUUGAAGAUACCGCGCCGCAGACUCCCAGGAGCAUGCCGAGGAGCAGCCCACGGUGGGGACCGUGGCGGAGACUGCCGAGGAGCACCCAGCUCCGGUGAGGACUGGAGCGGGCACCCCUACGAGGGAUGGAGAGUCUACGAGGACGCCUCCCCCACGCAGUGUUGCAGAGGAGGACGGAGCUCCAACUCCCCCGCCUGCUGAAGAAGGGAAGGUCCCAACCCCACCCCGAGCAGAGGCCUCAUCACCAAAGGACACCCCUGGCCUGGACCAGGGUCCAGUGAUGGCUGCGACCACGGCUGGGGGUAGUGCGGAGGGUGAAGGGACCCAAGCGGCCUCCGACGAUGAAGUGGAGGAGAUCUAGGGUCCCCCAAGAUGGUCGCCAACACGUUUACAUAUGGCGCCAACGCGGGGACCAUUUCAUUGGUCAUGAAGAACUCGCGGAGACGGAGGAGGCCGCGAGGGUGGAGCGCGCAGCCAAGUGACUUGUUGACGAGGUUAAGGUAAGUGGUCUUUUGCGCUACUCGAAAUGUAUAUGCAGCGUCUCUAGCUUCAAUAUACAUUCUUCCUGUAGGGCGCAAUGAAAACGGUGAAGUACCGGAAGAGGUGCUUCGACCAAAUUGAAGGAAUCGUGGCCGAGAAUAAGACAUUAGACACGGAAGUAGACCGUCUUCGGUCGGAGGCCGAGGAGAAGACGGCCGAGAUGGGUGCUCAGGAAGAGCGCCUGCUCGAUCUCAAUCGGCAAAUAGCCGACAAGGAUCGGGAAAGAAAAGGUUAGUCAUGUAUUCCGAGCAGUUUUAUAACUGCAUAGUCAUUUUUAUUGACCAGAAAUUGCCCCUGCAGACUUGGAGGAGGAGGUUGCACGCCUCCGACAAGAGAGAGAGAAGCUCGACCAGAAGCUUGCCGGGGCGCUGGAGACCGGGCGCCGAGCUGGCGAGGAGCUAAGCAACAAGAGUCGGGAGUUGUCCGGUAAGAACCGUGCUAUCCCUUUUUUCUUUGAUUGCUCAACUUUCCGUUUCUUGUUUGUAUACUGACCUCCCGCUUGGUUUAUAGUGCUCAAAGUAAAUACCAAGAAGCACUUCGACGAGCUGAUCAAGGACCGGGACUCCUAGAAGGCCAACUGCAUCAAACUUUGGAAAGGAGUGGCCCCGGUUCUUGAUUUGAUCAGCCCUGAGCUCCCUGAAGACCAGCCCCGCGCACCGAAGUUGACUCCGGUCGAGAAGGCGCAACGGGUGUGGGACUGGCUCCAGCAGUUUGUCAAGGACGCCGGGGAGUUCGCCGGUGCGCAUGUCCUCAGCAUGGUGCGCACCCACUACCCUCUGGUCGACUUGUCCAUACUGGAGAGGGGGUACCCCAAGGAGGUUGGUCCGCAGGAUGCAGACGACCUUCGUGUUGGUCUGCUUGACCUGUCGUCGACGGUGAUCGGCAACAUCAACCUCUGCGGGACGGCCACUCCCCCCGACCAGCCAGGGUCAGACAGAUUGGCCAGGGAGUUGUCGGGAGCGUCCCUUGCUGGAGAUGGGCGAUCAACGCCUGCGGUCUCGACCAGCCAGGCGCCGGUAGCCCCGACCCCUUCGACUGGGCAGCAAGGCCAAGCGGGUGAUCAGCCCGAGCAGUAGGCCUGUAGAGUAGUCUGUAGCAAUAGACUAGGGACCGCCCAGAGGGGUGUUUAUUGUAAAAUUUGUAUAUAAAGUUUGUAAUAAAGAUUGAUUUGUUGUAACCAUGGUUGUGAGCGCUGUAAUGUUGUCUGAGUGAUGUAUCACUGAAUUGGGUUAAUAAUCCUUAAGGAUUUUGAUCCCGGAGGGAGAUUGUUGUACUUGUCGAAAGCUCUACGUAAAAAAGUAUAUAGCGAAGAAGAGAAAAUUUUAUUAUUGAUAAUCAUAAGAAAUUUACAAACAAAAGGUACUGGAACUUAUGGAUAGAAACGGCGCAGGUUGUCUAUGUGCCAAGAAUUAGGCAGGCGUGUUCCGUCUGGGUACGCCAGUCUGUAAGAUGUAGGGCGUGUGACUUCGGCGACCACGAAGGGUCCUUCCCAAGGCGUGGAUAACUUGUGCGUUCCUUCCUAGCUUGUUUUCCACUUGAGUACCAGAUCACCGACCACGAAGGAGCGGUCUUUGACGUUCCUGUUGUGAUACCGCCUAAUGGCCUCGAGAUACUUUGCUGUUCGAAGGCAUGAGAUUAGGCGUCUUUCCUCCAUGCAGUUGAUUUCGAGCUCCCUGGCGAUGUCAGCCGAAGACUGGUCGAAAUUUUCGACUCUUGGAGAUCCAAAGGUUACGUCGGACGGGAGCACUGCCUCGGUGCCGUAAACCAUGAAGUAGGGUGAUACACCCGUGUUGCGACUAGCCUAUGUCCGGAGACCCCACGCCACGACCGGUAGCUCUUUCAUCCAUCGUCCAGGUGCUCUGUCGUUCUCGGUGUACAACCUUUUCUUUAAAGCAUCGAUAAUCAUUCCGUUCACGCGCUCUACUUGACCAUUAGCCCGUGGGUGAGCUACUGACACGUACUUUAUGACUAUGCCCCUGUCAUCGUAGAAGUCCCAAAAUGUAGUGCCAGUGAACUGAGUGCCCAGGUCGGUGAUUAUACUAUUGGGGAUCCCGAAUCUGUGUAUGAUUUGAUUAAGAAACUCCACAGCCUUCUCGGAGGUUGCUUUGACUAGUGGCAUGAAUUCGAUCAACUUCGAGAAUUUGUCGAUUAGUACGAAGACAAACUUGAAGUUGUCGGGGGCCGACUUAAAUGGCCCGAUCAUGUCGAGACCCCAGCAGGCGAAAGGCCAGGAGGACGGAAUGGUUUGAAUUUUGUGAGCGGGCACGUGGGUCCGCUUGGCAAAGAACUGGCAUCAUUCACAAUGUCGAACCAGUUUCUCAGCGUCGGCGACCGCUGUUGGCCAGUAAAAGCCUGCUCGGAAGGCCUUCCCGACCAGAGUUCUGGAGGCCGCGUGGUUGCCGCAGGACCCGGCGUGUAUGUCAUCUAAGAGCUUGAUGCCGACAUCUUGGGAUAUGCAUUUGAGCAAUACUUUGGAACUUGCGUUCUUUCGCAUAAGUUUGCCAUCCACCAGUAUGUAAUUUCUGGAUCGUCGAAUGAGGCGCUCGUUCUCCGUUUUGUCUUGAAAUUCCGAUCCAUCCGAUAUAUACCUGAUGAAGGGGGUGCGCCAAUCACGGCUGCUGCUUGCCGGAGUGGUGUCAUCUAUGAGCAUUGCCUCAUUGGGUUGCUUUUCGACCAGGUCUGUGCCCACACUUGGCACGUGGAUGUCCUGAACAAAAACGCCUUGCGGAAUCUGGGCCCGAGAUGAUCCUAACUUUGACAGCGCAUCCGCUGCGUGGUUCUUAUCCCGGACCACGUGGAUGUAUUCUAUGCCGUAGAAAUUGGAUUCCCAUUUGCGGAUUUCUUUGCAGUAGAGAUCCAUCUUCUCGUGGGUUGUGUCACAUUCCUUAUUUAGUUGGUUGAUGACUAGGGUGGAGUCGCCGUGGACGUAGAGGCGUUUGACUCCCAGUUCGACGGCCAAUCGUAUGCCGUGUAGGCAUGCUUUGUAUUCGGCGAUGUUGUUCGAUGUCGGGAAGAGGAUCCUAAGGACGUAACGUAGUUUGUCCUUGUUAGGCGACACGAAGAGUAUCCCGGCGCCGGCGCCAUUUAUGUUUAGGGAUCCGUCGAAGAACAUCGACCAGUGGUCAGGGGUGUCGGAGACGGAGGGCUCGUUGAGGUCCGUCCAUUCUGCAAUGAAAUCGACCAGGGCCUGAGACUUGACGGUAGUGCGGCUCUAGAAAUCCAGGGAGAAUGGGCAUAAUUCCAUUGCCCAUUUUACAAUUCUACCAUUGGCAUCUUUGUUGCGCAAAAUGUCCCCCAGGGGGAAACUGGUGGUUACCAAGACCCGAUGACCAUCAAAGUAAUGCUUCAGCUUCCUUGAAGUUAUUAAGAUGGCGUAGAUGAGCUUCUGUAUCUGAGGGUACCUGGUCUUGGACUCAUUUAAGACUUCGCUUAUGAAGUAGACUGGUCCUGCACUUUGUAUACGUGGCCUGGCUCGUCUCGCUCGACCACCAUUGCCGUGGAGACAACCCUAUCGGUUGCUGCGAUGUAAAGGAGUAGGUCUUCAUUGGGCUGAGGUGCUGUGAGAACGGGCGGUGAGGUGAGGAAAGUCUUGAGCUGGGUGAACGCAGCGUGAGCUUUCUCUGUCCAGGAGAAUUUUUCCAAUGCCUUUAAGAGUUUGAAGAAGGGGAGGCCUUUUUCUCCCAGUCUAGAGAUGAAACGGCUGAGAGCAGCCAUACAUCCGGUGAGCUUCUGAAUAUCCUUGACAUUCUUAGGUGGUCGCAUGUCGAGCACUGCUUUUACUUUUGAGGGAUUCGGUCGUAUGCCGUCGCGGCUGACGACGUUGCCAAGUAGUAGACUAGAGGGGACCCAAAAGAUGCACUUUUUGGGGUUAAGCUUCCACUUGUAUUUAUUUAGUGCCUUAAAGGUUCGGUCUAGGUUGUCGAUUAGAGUGCUCGCGUCCCUUGUUUUGACGACGACGUCGUCUACAUAUGCCUCGAUGAGGUCAUCACGAAUCUCGUCGUGGAGGCAUUGCUGAAUAGCCCAUUGAUAAGUGGCCCCAGCAUUUUUGAGCCCGAAGGACAUAGUCGUGUAGCAGUAUGCACCGAAAGGAGUGAUAAAAGAUGUUUUGAUCUUAUCGUCUUCCUUUAGCGAGAUCUGGUGAUAACCAGAGUAGCAGUCUAGAAAGGAGAGGAGUUCGCAUCCAGCCGUUGAGUCGACCACAUCGUCGAUGCGAGGGAGACCAUAGGGAUCUUUAGGACAAUGUUUAUUGAGAUCAGUGUAAUCAACGCAUAUUCUCCAUUCAUUGUUCUUUUUCCUUACAAGAACCGGAUUGGCAAGCCAAUCGGGAUGAUACACUUCUUUAAUGAAUCCGGCUGCUAGAAGCCGUGUUAUUUCUGUCCUAAUAGCCACCUUUUUGUCGCGAGCGAACCGUCGUAGCUUUUGCUUGAUGGGUCUUGCGGUCUUCGAGACGUUUAAGGAGUGCUCGAUCAGGUUUCGUGGGACGCCGGGCAUGUCUGCCGGUUUCCAUGCAAAAACGCUCACAUUGUCCCUUAGAAACCUGACGAGCGCGUCUUCCUAUUUAGUGUCCAGGUUGGCCCCGAUGAGGGCCGUCUUCUCGGGGCUGCCGUCGACCAGCUGUACUUCCUUGUGCUCUUUGGACUUUGAAUUUUUCCUCAGAGUCUCCUGCUCAGGUAGUCGGAGCUGGUCGGGUGGAAUCUACGUGGCUUGAGCUACGGUUUCUGCCAUGCGGAUCGAGAGGUCAAUCGCCUCGGUGAUCUUGAAGCUUUCCUCCUCGCAUGUGUAUGCGGUAUAGACAUUGCCUCUGACAGUUAGGACGCCUUUCUCUGUUGGCAUUUUAAGGACCAGGUAUGAGUAGUGUGGAACUGCCAUGAACUUUGUCAGCCCAGGAUUGCGUGGUAAGUUCCGUCGAAAUCGGCGACCACGAAGUUGACGAACUCUGUUCGAAAGUGGUCGGGCGUUCCAAAUUGGACGGGCAAUGUUAUUUGUCCGAGGGGUAUUGAGCUUUGACCCGGCAGAACUCCCCAGAACUGAGCGUCAUACGGCUUUAGCUGUGCCGGAGUUAUCUUGAGAGCAGGCAAGCUGUUGCGAAAGAGGAUGUCGAUGGAGCUUCCCCCGUCCACGAGCACGCACUCGAAUCUGACGCUGUUGAUGCAAGGAUCCAGGAUUAGAGGGAAACAUCCUGGUUUCGGGAUGGCGGCCCAUUGAUCCUUCCUGUUGAAGGAGAUCUCCCUGUGUGACCAGGGGGGAAAUUUUGGAUCGGCGAUCGGGCCGUCUGUGCUGUCCACGUUGAGGCAGGCUCUCUUCAGGAGCUUUCUUUCGCGCUUAGACUUGAUAGAAACUUUGCCUCCGAAGAUGGAGUGGACCACGUCGGUGGGACUGACAUACUAGUGUCGUGGGUCGCUAUCCUGGUCGUCAUCCUCGUCUUCGUGACCACGCCCGUCCUGCUUCCCGUUAUUCUUAGCAGAAUCUUCUUGAGCGGCCUGCCACGUGUAGAUGCUUUUAAGGACACAGCAUUCUUCCAUCAUGUGAUUGGACUUGGGUUGGAGUUGGCACGGUCCCUUCAACGUCUUGUUGUAGUCUUCCUGGUAGUCCCGCCGCCCAUUGGGGCGUUUGACCGUAUUCACCUCGUGAUCGUGGUCACGAGGGCGCUUGCCCCUGAAGUCAUCACGAUUAUCGCACCGCCUAUCCCAACCUUCUCUGUGGUCGCGGUUGUUAGGGCGACGAUGGUUCCUAUUGUCAAAACGACCAUGACUGUCGUCCCGUCGAGGAGGCUGGUCGGGACCUCUCGCAUCCUCUCGGAUGAGUUUUUCUGCGUCAUCAGCGUCGGCAUAGUUUUUUGCCAUGGCAAGGAGCUCGGCCAUCGUGGUCGGCCUUUUGCGCAGUAGCUUGUUCCUUAGUGCUUCGUGGAAGCGUAGCCCUUUGAUGAAAGCAGAUAUGGCCUCGUCGUGAGAAAUUUUCGGGAUUUUAAGGUGCAUAUCCGAGAAUCGUCGAAUGUAAUCGCGCAGAGGCUCGUUUUUCCUGUCCCUUAUCCUCUCAAGGUCGUACUUGUUCCCAGGCUGCUCACAGGUAGCGAUGAAAUUGUCCAUAAAUGCCUGGCGUAGUUCUUCCCAGGAGUCAAAAGAGUCCUCGGGCAGGCCAAGGAGCCAUUGAUGACCAGCCUGGUCGAGGACAACUGGGACGUAGUUAGCCAUGACGUGCUCAUCUCCUGCUGCUGAACGGACUGCAAUCUGGUAUAGAGUGAUCCAGUUUUCUGGGUUUUCCUUGCUGUCGUAUUUUUUAAGCUUCUCGAGUUUGAAGUUGCGGGGCCAUACGACUUGGCGAAGGUGCGAGGAAAACUGUCUCAGGCCGGGAGGGCCGUGCGCGGCAUCGUACUCAAUGCGCCGCAAGUUUUCAUGCACCGCUCUUUUCGUGGCGUGCCUGUUGAUGCGAUCCCGGUGUCCUUGGGAGGGAUGUUGUAUCGUAGAUCCCUGUCCUAGUUUACUUCCUGACCACGCCCUCGCUUCUGCUUGCGGUAGCCACCGGUGUCCCGACCACCGUCGCCGCGCCCAGCAUCCUUCCUACGAUUAUUGGGGGAGCAGUUGCGGUGGUGCUCGCUGAGUUGUGGUGAAGUCCGGCUGCGAUGAGUCUGGUCGGAAGAUACCUCUGCGUAGGAGAUAGCUUGGACCCUUUUGAGUAAGGUGGCUGUCUGUCCCAUCGCGGCGAUCAGGUGUGCGCGUACGCUGGAUCGGACGCCCUGGCACUCUGGAGUAUCAGGGAGUCAGUCCAGGUUUGCCAUAGCAACAGCCACAUUAGCACUUGGCGUUUUGUAGACUUGCUGAUCUCCGACCAUGUCGAAAGCUUCACUGAGGUUGUGGGGCACGAGUUGCCGUUCCUCAUCCGCGCGUCGCCGAGCACGGUCGGCAUUGCGUUGUUCAUGGAGCUGCUUUUGCUUGUCUGUCUCUGCAUCGACGACCGGUUCGUCGUUGCUGACAUUGAAGAUAAGAUCUCCCCGCCGGGGCGGAAAGAUCGGGAAGCGAGAGAAACCCAGAGGGUACGGUGGUAAAUCCAGGUCGUAAUCUACGUCCUCAGAGUUUAUAACCUCGGUGGGGAUGGCUGGAAGCCUGGUCGUUCGGUAGUUCUUGGAUUGACACCAUGUUGACGUAGUGGCGAGCCGGUCGACCGCUCUGUUUUGGUGACCAUCCCACCCUGUUGAAAAGGGAUUGGAUGUGCCGUGAGUAGUGAACGGCUGAGUUGUUUAGCCCAUAGGGAGGACUCUGGUCUGGGUCUGCCUUGAGUUCGGCGGACCGCCCCGUGGGGGUGGAGGUUAUUGUCAGGACGUCCCCAGUUGUUCGUGUGUGAUGACACGAGUUGGCCGGCGAGAGUCGAAAGAGUCUGUUGGCGCGACUUGAUCAGAUAGGCGUGAGAUCCCAUGUACCAGUCGGGAAGCUUCGAGGAGCCUGAGAUCAGCGCGAUCAAGGGCUCGGAAAAGAUCCGAGCCGUCGACCUUCUUUCCACUAUAACGAGGGAGCGGUGGUCGAGUGCUCGGUGUUAGCGUGAUCGGAGUCGACGCCGCUGUCGUCCCAGAUCGGAUCUUGGUUUCUUCCGAAGUCGCGAUCGCGGGGCCGCCGCCACGAGUCGUCCACGUGAUCUGGCCGAUGGUGAACGUGAGGACUUCAGGUACAGCCACGGAAGCUGGAAUGAUGACCAUCUUGUUCGCCGAGAGAGCUGUACGCACACCCCCUACCUGGCGCGCCACUGUCGACGAAAGCUAUUCAGCAGUCUACCUUGGGGUAUACCCACGGUAGUAGUUUAUCAGUAGACGGUGUGCAAGCUACGAACUUGAUGGUGACGCAAGACACAGACAAGGUUUUUAUCCAGGUUCGGCCGCCGUGUGGGCGUAAUACCUAUGUCCUACGUCUGAUUGUAUUGGAUUGUGUCGAGAGAAUAAUCUAUUCUAAGGGGGGUCCCUUGCCCCUCCUUAUAUAGUCCGGAGGGUAGGGUUACAGAUCUGGAAACCAAUCUAGUCGGUUACAAUUGCCAUAGAUAGUACGAUAUCAAUUCCUAUUCUAACCGACCAGAAUCCGGCUUGAUCUCCACGUCCUGUUUCCUUGCGCAAAACUCCAAGCAGUUGGAUCAAGCCUCGAACUGUCCUCGCGAUGGGCCAAGCCUUCUAGCCCAAGUCUAGCCGUAAGGGUAUAGGGGUUUAUACCCCCACACAAACGAUGGGAAGAAACACACAAAUUAGACUCUAACAAGACCUAACCAGUAACAAGACCUCGACCAGGACACAAACUAAACACUACGGACUCUGAAACUGAAAUAUGCAAAGUCUAUGGCGCGGAUGGGUUGUAGGACAUGAAAACAAUAUGGCACUAGACAUAUAGGGCGAACACAAGGACACUCAAAACUAAAGGUAGAUGUGAACCUAACGGUAUGUCUGAAGCUUUGAUUACCACUUGAGGAGAACAAGUGUGGCCCGAUCUUCCAAAAGGUUCUGCAAACUAUUGAUUUGGUGGAAACAAGACACAAAUCAAUCUAGCUUGCGAACAACACGAUUUGAAACCCUGCAAUUCAUUUUAUUUUUAUUUAUAUUUUUCUUUUACUUAGGAGCACUCAAGAAGUAACCACAGGAAAUUUGAGCUUAAACAAGUGAAAGACGUGGCCUGUGGAAUUUUUUGAAGAUUGCGAAAAAUAUGAAAAUAAAGUUUAGGAGGUGAAAACUCAAACUUCAGAGGCGAAUUUGAGGAUUCUAAAAUUGUCGAACCCCCCCAUGGCGGGGAUAGACAGAUCCAAAUUUUUUUUGAUCGAUUUUGAUAUAUGGAACGUCAAAAUCGGAGUUCGUAUGUGAAAGUUAUGGCUGUUUUACGAACGGACUCUGAAUUAGAGGACAAAACGGUCCGGUAGUGGAAAAAAUUUACGGCGGUGGCUAGAAAUUAAUGGAAAUGGUGGGAAGAAACGCACAAAUUGGACUCUAGCAAGACCUAACCAGUAACAAUACCUUGACCAGGACACAAGCUCAACACUACGGACUCUGAAACUGAAAUAUGCAAAGGCUAUGGCGCGGAUGGGUUGUAGGACAUGAAAACCAUAUGGCACCAGACUUAUGGGACGAACACAAGGAAACUCGAAACUAAGGGUAGAUGUGAACCUAACGGUAUGUCUAAAGCUUUAAUUACCACUUGAGGAGAACAAGUGUGGCCCGAUCUUCCGAAAGGUUCUGGUAACUAUCGAUUUGGUGGAAACGAGACACAAAUCAAUCCAGCUUGCGAACAACACGAUUCGAAACCCUACAAUUCUUUUUAUUUUUUUUGAUAUUUUUGUUUUACUUAGGAGCAAUCAAGAAGUAACCACAAUAAAUUUGAGCUAAAACAAGUGAAAGACGUGGCCUGUGGAAUUUUUUGAAGAUUGCGAAAAAUAUGAAAAUAAAGUUUAGGAGGUGAAAACUCAAAUUUUCAGAGGCCAAUUUGGGGAUUCUUAAUUUCUCGAACACGCCUUUCGUGGGGAUAUACUGAUCCAAAAAAAAUUUUCUGAUCGAUUUUGAUAUAUGGAACGUCAAAAUCGGAGUUCGUAUGCAAAAUUUAUGGCUGUUUUACGAACGGACUCCGAAUUAGAGGACAAAACGGUUCGGAAGUGGGAAAAAUUUGUGGUGGUGGCUAGAAAUUGAUGGAAAUGGUGGGAAAAAACACACAAACUGGACUCAAACAAGACCUCGACCAGGACACAUACUCAACACUACGGACUCUGAAACUGAAAUAUGCAAAGGCUAUAGCGCGGAUGGGUUGUAGGACAUGAAAACAAUAUGGCACUAGACUUAUGGGACGAACACAAGGACACUCAAAACUAAGGGUAGAUGUGAACCUAACGGUAUGUUUGAGGCUUUGAUUACCACUUGAGGAGAACAAGUGUGGCCCGAUCUUCCAAAAGAUUUUGGUAACUAUCGAUUUAUUGGAAACGAGACACAAAUCAAUCCAGCUUGCGAACAACACGAUUCGAAACCCUACAAUUCUUUUUAUUUUUUUGUGAUAUUUUUCUUUUACUUAGGAGCACUCCAGAAGUAACCAUAGGAAAUUUGAGGUUAAACAAGUGAAAGAUGUGGCCUGUGGAAUUUUUUGAAGAUCGUGAAAAAUACAAAAAAAACUUUAGGAGGUGAAAACUCAAGCUUCGGAGGCAAAUUUGGGGAUUCUAAAAUUAUCAAACCUGCCCAUGGUGGGGAUAGAUAGAUCCAAAAUUUUUUUUGAUACAUUUUGAUAAAUGGAACAUUA